GUGGAAACUCUUCUCGCAUAGCGAGCAACUCAGCCUCUAAUCGUGAUUUCCUCAUCUCAUACCCUAUGCGAAAAGAUAGAAUAAUGAGUAAAAAAUUUAGUGAACAUGUAAUAAAGCAAGAAUAUGAUGCAUGAAAUAGGAAGAAACAUACCCAUAUUGAUGACUUGUUUUUUUAAGUCAACAUUUUUAAACUGUUUGUUGAAAUUUGAUGCAAUGUGGCGAAUGCAAUACACAGACGAAACAUCUAGUCCAUUCCAGCCAACGCGUUCGGAUUGUAAAGCUGCUAGCAAACCGGUUCCCCUGUCUGAUAUAAUACACAAAUUUAGUUGUGGAGUAACAUAUCUUUGCAAAUAAUGCAAGAACCACAUCCAAGCUUCUUUAGUCUCGCUCUCAACAAUUGCAAAAGUAAGUAAAAAAUUGUUCCUACUACCAUCUUGUCUGAUGACAGUCAACAAAGUACCAUGAUAUUUGCCAGUUAAAAAUGUCUCAUCUACUUGCACAAGUGGCUUGCAAUAUUUGAAGCCUUCAAUGCAUGGAUUAAACGCCCAAAAUACACGGUUAAGAAUCACCCUGGGAGGGUUAUCGUCACCUUCCUCCAUUGAAGAUGAAGUUUUGUAUUUUACUAUGGUACCUGGUACAAAGUGUUAAGCAGCUGUGAACCAUAUAGGCAGGUAACUAUAUGAUUGUUCCCAACUUCCAAAUGCCAUUUCAAGAGCUUUUUGUUUAGUUGUCCAUGCCUUUUUGUAUGAAACAGUGUAAUGAAAUCGUUGUUGCAUGUCUGCAAUCAAGGUUUUGAUUUUGAUACUUGGAUUUGUUUUCACUAAAUGAACAAUAUUAUGGGCAAUUACAGAAGAAUCUAACCUAACAUGAUCUUGUGAUAUGGUAGAAUUUGUGCAUGUGUGAAUACCGUUUAAUUUCUUCAACUCCUACCUUUCGCGUAUUUUGCUGAACGAUACUCUCGCCCUCCAAUAACAUCCAUUACCAUAUUGAUUACACAUGACAACAUACUUGUCACUCUUGUUCUCGACCACAUCAAAAUUAAAUGAAUGCAUAAAAUGGAAUUGUUUAAUGGCAUUCACAGCGGCUUGUUUUGAUUCAAAUGUCAACCCUUCAUAAAGGUCAUUUGUACUAACACUCGCUGUCAUUUGAUAAGGAUUUGAGUAUUCUUGAUUUUCAGAAAGUUGGCUACUAAUAGUUUCAAAAUAUGAAGAUGACUCACUUUGAUUGCUUGGUUCACCAUGUUCACUAAAAUCAUGUUGUUGCUCGUCAUCACUGAAGUCACUAACAUUAUCUCUUAUUAUGGGUUCUUCAGUAGCCAUCUGCAAAAAAAAAAUAUUGAUUAGUAAGAAAUCAUUGGAUUACAUGUAACGUAAAAAAUUAAAACCUUUUUAAAUAUCUUUUUCGUGUAUGUAAUACUAAAAAAAUUAUCUCAGUAUGACUUUAACACGUCAAAAUCAGAGAACCAGGCUGAUUGUUGGAAUGCAACAGAUGCACCGAAGUGAGAAUGAACCCUCCUUUUAUAGGUUUCACGGGAGUGAACAGUGUAAUAAUAAUUUGUCUAACUCAUAUUCUAAAACACAAAAUAAUAACUAAACCGUAAAUUAAUAAUAACUAAACACUAUUAUUCUAAAACAUAAAUAAUAAUUUAACAAAAUUAAUUGAUCAUCUAUAAUAAUUUAUGUAACUAAACUGUAAAUUAAUAAUAACUAAACACUAAUAUUCUAAAACACAAAAUAAUAAUUUAACAAAAUUAAUUUAACAUCUAUAAUAAUUUAUCUAACUAAAUCGUAAAUUAAUAAUAAUUAAACACUAAUAUUAUAAAACAUAAAAUAAUAAUUUAACAAAAUUAAUUGAUCAUCUAUAAUAAUUUAUAUAACUAAACCGUAAAUUAAUAAUAACUAAACACUAAUAUUCUAAAACAAAAAAUAAUAAUUUAACAAAAUUAAUUGAUCAUCUAUAAUAAUUUAUAUAAUUAAACCGUAAAUUAAUAAUAACUAAACACUAAUAUUCUAAAACACAAAAUAAUAAUUUAACAAAAUUAGUUUAACAUGUAUAAUAAUUUAUCUAACUAAAACGUAAAUUAAUAAUAACUAAACACUAAUAUUCUAAAAUACUAAACCAUAAAUUAAUAAUAACUAAGUGAUAUUAAAAAUGUAAAACUAAUUAAUAGUGAAGUCGUACUCCAAAGUAAAAAGCAGUUUAUAAACAAAAAAAGAAUUAGAAAAUUGAAAGGCCAUCACUUGUGCAGCACAGAAAACAGCAAAGAAAAUCAGAAAACAGGUCCUUGAAAACAGCAUGUGCAGUGUAUUGUUAACUCAUGUUGUAGCACUGAAAUAACAAAAAACUGCAGGCAAGGGAAUAGCUUUAGAACCCGUGAAGGUUGCAUAGACAAGGCAGUGUAUUGUUAACUCAUGUAGUCAUGAAGCAUGCUUACACGAUUCCCAACUUGCAAUAAUUAACACCUAUAGCUGUUUCAUGAAGCAUAUUUUAGAAGUUGAAAAAUAAUUAACACGACUGCUAUAUAUAUAUAUAUAUAUAUAUAUAUAUAUAUAUAUAUAUAUAUAUAUUAUUAAUAAAGCUUUAUUAUAUGAUAGCAUGGGAAUUAACACGUAUAACAAUUACUUUCAAGUUUUAUCAUGUUUUGCUUUAAAACAUAUUUACUUAAGAUGAAUUAAAAAUGGGGUGUAGAAUUUUUUAUGGUUAAAAAUUGUCACAAAUAAUUUAAUAUUUAAUAAAUAGUCACACAAGCAAUUUCUACCGUCAGAAAAUAAACACUAAAUAAAAUAAUAAUAAAAUUAACAUUACAUCAUCAUUUAAUGGCAUAAAUAGAAGGUAAAUACUAAAAUCUUAAUGAAAAAAUUGUUUAGAGACUUUAGUCAGUUAAAUUUUAAGGACUAAAACUUAAAAUUUGAUUUUUAAGAUUAAGAACUUAGUUAACUCUUGAAAGCAUAUUUUAAGUCAAAUAAAAAUCACUCACAAAAUGUGUACGUAAGGGAAUCCAACUUUUAUGAUUUAUGAUAGACAAUGGACAAUUUAUGAUAGCAUGGGAAUCUUGCAGCUGCUACUAGCAACCUACAUAGUGAAAUGAUUUAUCAUAAAAUAGAAUCUUGACAAAAAGCAAUAAAGUAGUCAAAUUUAACUUAUUUUGUACAAAUGAUUUAUCAUAGCACGGACCAACUUCAUUGUGUAUAUUAUACUUAAAAAAUUGUUGAGCAAUAUUCUACAAGUUAACAUAUUAGACUUCAAAAAUUGUUGAGCACGGACCACCCUCCUUUCAUACCUCCCCCCUUUCACUUUUCCUCAUUCUUAUUUUCAUCCUUGUAUCCAUUUACCAAUGGCAUAUGCACAACCCGAACCAGUUGAUUGUUCGUUGUUGCGCUUACAAGACAAUCAUAUUUCAAAUCAAGUGUGGGAAGACCAAGAGAGAAUCAUCUGUCCGAGGUAUACUUCUGUUUGGGCUUUUACCCACUUGGAUCAAAUAGAUAAUCGGGUAAAAAAUCUAAUCAAUUUAGCUGGUUUCGGACAUAUUAUAAAUGCUGGAAAAGUUGAUAUUAACCAGCAUGUGGUUAGUGCAUUGGUUGAACGUUGGAAAACAGAGACACACACAUUUCAUUUUCCACAUAGAGAGGCAACCAUCACUUUACAGGAUGUGGCCCUACAAUUGGGCUUGAAGAUUGAUGGAUUGCCGGUAACCGAUUUCAUCACCGGCAAUGUACGUGUUGCUUGUUAGACAUUACUCGGGGAAACUCCACCUGAUAAGUAUGUAAAAGGUAAAAUGAUUUACCUAACUUGGUUGCGGCAAAAUUUUCAGCAACUUCCCGUUGAUGCUGAUGAUGUUGUCAUUGCACAACAUGCUAGAGCUCAUAUGAUGAUGAUUAUAGGCGGUUGUUUGAUGCCAGAUACAUCAGGUGCAAGAGUUCAUUUUAUGUAUCUUCUUUUAUUAUCAAAUUUAACCGAGGCAAGUCAUUAUAGUUGGGGUGCAACAGUAUUAACAUCCCUUUUCCGAGCUCUAGAUCGGGCUGUGAAACCGGACCAAACAGAAAUUUGUGGAUGUUUGUUGUUGCUACAGUCAUGGGCGUGGGACCGCAUUAAAUGUAUUACUCCAAAGAUAGAUCACCUAUCCAUGGAAGAAGUACAACAAGGACUCAGAUUUCCUCUUGCACGAAGGUGGUCUCAUCCAAGGACCGAACCAAAUAUUCCUAACAAUUCAGUGAGAUUGAUACACAUCAUAUUUGAUAAACUACAUAUUAAUGAGAUUCAUUUUUUAAUUUUCAUGAAUUAACUAUUUUUUCUAGUUUCCUAUUCCAUUAUAAAUAUGUUACAAUAAUAAUGUAUGUGUUGCAGUUCUUGUAGUUUCCUAUUCCAUUAUAAAUAUGUUACAAUAAUAAUGUAUGUGUUGCAGUUCUUGUAGACUUCUUAUGACACACCAGAAAUAAGGCCAUUAAUUAAUGAUGUAGAGGUAUCAAUGAUUGUUCGAGCAAAAGUCCCUUUCAUAUGUUUUGCAAUUGUCGAAUGGUAUCCAAUAGACAGGGUCAUGAGACAAUUUGGACUGCGACAAAUUAUUCCAGAUGACCCACCAAACCUAGAUCUAAUCCACGACAUAGAUAUGAGAGGGAGAACAGAUAUUUUUUGGUCUCACCAUCAUCGUCAGUGGAUUCUCAAAUGGAAUCAUUGGAAUAAUUAUAUUGUUCAUGGUGAAAUGGACCAAGGUCUUUUACAUGAAAAUUCAGAAUACAUGCAAUGGUAUAUACGUUGAACAAGACGAUAUAUAUCAUGUGAAGGAGCAGUAUCUACAAAGGUUGUAAAUCUACUUUACAAUUUUAAUCAUUCUUGAUAUCAUUAUUCAUUGUUAUUUCUAACUUUAUAAAUUUGAAUCACAGUAUUAUCCUGGUCAUCACCAACAUCAGUCAUAUGUGGAACCUAAUGUACCUCCGGUGCAUGUUCCUGAAUUUAUGUCCCAACAUCAUCCAUCACAAGCACAAUAUCAAUCAACAAGUUUUUCCGGUCAUGCAUCUCAAGGAUGUCAACAAAGUUUUCAACCACUGGGAUUCUCAUCAUAUAUACCUCAAUAUUCAUUUCAAGUCCCUUCUAUCUCAAAUGUUUUUUUUGGCUCCUCACAAAUGCUUGCCACCACUUUCAACACUCCUCCAUCUACAUAUAAUCUUGCACCAUUGAGUUCUUGUUAUCGUCCAUCAUUAGCUACUCAAAUAUGUGACAUGAGUCACGAAGAUGAGGACGAGAAUGAGGACGAGGAUGUGUUGGAAGCCCACGUUAUGUGCACGUUGCACGUUCCUUUAUAUUUUAUUACUUUGGAAAAAUUUGUUACUUCUGAAUCUGGUCCAUUUUCCAUCCACAUUCAUCUCAUAUCUUUGUAAAUAUAUUUGCAACCACCUUCAGUAACAAAUCACGUACCCAUCAUUUAUCUCACGUACCCAUCAUUUAUCUCACGUACUGAUAACUUCUUAUCUCACGUCUGAUAACUUCCUAUCUCACGUUCUGAUAAUAAGUUAAGAGCUCUGUGAUGGGCAGACUCUAUAAAUAGGAUGGGGUGCUCUCAGUUUUGUAUCACCAAAUCCACUUCUCUAUUCAGAAAAAAUACACCAUCUAUUCAGAGUGAGUAAGGGUCUGGAAGAACAAAACUGUCUUUCAGGUUCGUGUGUGUGCCGCUUCUCGUUCAAUUUGCAAUGGCUGGAGGUACGCUCGUAAUUUUUUUUAAUUUUCGCUGUUUGAUCUAAAUAUGCUAUUUAAAUUUAUUUGCAUGUUUAGAUCAGUAUAUGUAUAUUUUUACAUUUGGUAUCAGAGCCUAUUUGUACCUCUGUCUUGCUUAUUGGGUCGUUCCUAUGCGAAGUUUAUUUUCUGAGUAUAUGGGUGUUAUGUUUUAAGCCUCCUUAAUUCAAAAUAACAUCAAAAUUAGGAAUGAUAUGAGCUUUCUAAUUUUUCUAUGAUUUAAAACGUAUUUUUGGGUGUCUAAAAUACAUAUAAUGAUAUGGGUUUUUCGAAAUUGAGGUAAUAAUUUUUUUUCCACUGCUGGAGGUUGAAGACAAAGUUUUGCGAGUUUUGUUUACUGUCUUGGAAUUGUUAAUGUACAUUUUAAAUUAACAAUAUUAAACAAAGCAUGAGUUUGUCCAGUGGUAGAUGUGAUGUGUAUUACCUCAUUGUUCUGGGUUUGAAUCUCAUUGCUGCCUUUUGUUGCUUGUUUUCGUUUUAAUUAAUUAAAAGGAAUGUAUAAAUGAAACGAAAACACCUUGGGUUGGUUUCGAACUCUCACCUUACAAGCAUGAAAGGACUCCCUUUGCCGCUAAGCUAUUGCAAUUUAAUUAUUUAUUAAUUGCAGUUCAUGUAUAUUUAUAACUUCUGAAGGAUAAAUUAUUUAUGCACAAACUGUUUAAAAUUGUGUGUCUCUUAAGUUAUGCUGAACAUGCAAUAUUAUGUUAAAUACUGGUAUGCAUUGGAUUUAAUCCUUUAAAGUUUAUUACAUGUUGAAUGAAUAUAUGUGCAAUGUUAUUGGUAUACAUGUAAUUUUUAUGAUUCAAUAUUGAGCACAUUUGCAUUAUUAAAUAUGUUUAUGCAAGGAUUAUUUUUGAAUGUUAAGUGAUUAAUAUAAUUUUAUUAAAUUAGAGAAUAGCCACAACGUCUUUAAUUGAGUAAAAUUAUAUGCUAAAUUUAUAAUCACAUUAGAAAUAUUAAUUGUGAUUAAUCAUAUGUAAUGUGAUGAAAUCUACCCACAAGAAUUUUGUUAUAUUUGUAUGAUUAAUUAGGAUAAAAUAUUAAAUUAUAUUUCUUAAUUUACCCACAGGAAUUAAGGAAAAGAACAUGAUUUAAUAGUUUUAUCAUAAAGUUGCAUGAUGAAUCUAAUUGAGUAGGACUUUAGCCCACAAGCAAGUUUUGUGUCACUAGAUUCAUAUAUUGAGACAUGAUUUGCAUUGACAAAACAUGACAUUUGUUUAGUCUCAAUUUUUCUUAAUGAGCAUGUGUGUUUGUUUGCAGUUUCACAAUCUAUGAAUAUUUCUUGUGACCUUCCCAUUUUGAAAGGUGAUAAUUAUAAGGUUUGGAAGGAAAGAGUUCUCCUUCAUUUGGGCUGGAUGGAUAUUGACUAUGCUAUAAGGAAGGAUGAGCCACCGGCUAUUACUGAAACUAGCGAACCUGAUGCUGUUGAUCUUUAUGAAAAGUGGGAGAGAUCUAAUCGUCUCUCUGUUAUGUUCAUAAAAACCAACAUAUCCGCUAGUAUCCGGGGUUCAGUUGACCAGCAUGAUAAGGUCAGAGAUCUGUUGAAAGCCAUUGAUGAACAGUUUACGACCUCUGAGAAGUCACUUGCUAGCACACUCAUUAUGCAAUUCUCUUCCAUUAAGCUUACUGGAACGAGAGGUGUGCGUGAACAUAUCAUGCGCUUAAGGGACAUAGUGGCUCAGUUGAAAACCUUGGAAGUUACCAUGUCUGAAUCCUUCCUGGUACAUUUCAUUUUGUGCACCCUACCUCAACAGUAUACACCCUUCAAAAUCUCCUACAACACACAUAAGGAUAAAUGGUCUAUUAAUAAAUUGAUGACCAUGUGUGUUCAAUAAGAGGAGAGAUUGAUAAUGGAAGAGGGUGAGAAGGUAAAUUUUACUACUUCUACUUCUGGAAAGGAUAGGAAGAAGUCUGUAGGCACCAAUAAAGGAAAGAUUCCGACUCAACCAACAAUUAAAAAGGAGUCAAAGUCUUUCUUCUGUAAAAAGAAAGGACACAUGAAGAAGGACUGCCCCAAAUUUAAAAGUUGGUUUGAGAAGAAAGGUACACCAUUUGCCUUUGUUUGUUAUGAAUCUAAUAUGAUUAAUGUGAAUCAUAAUACAUGGUGGAUUGACUCUGGUUCUACAAUCCAUGUUUCUAAUACCUUGCAGGGUAUGGAAAGCCUAAGGAAGCCAGUGGGAAGUGAGCAGUGCAUCUACUCAGGGAGUAGGAUGAGCUCGCAUGUAGAGGCCAUUGGAACGUGCGUCUUAGUUUUAAGUAGUGGCUUUAAAUUACAUUUGGAGAAAGUUUUUUAUGUUCCUAGUUUCUGUAAAAACUUAAUUUCUGUUUCUAAACUUGCACCUUUGGGAUUUUAUUUUUACAGACUUUGGUUUUAAUUUACUAAAUAAAUAUGAAAUUAUUGGUUGUGGUCAAUUGGUUGAUGGUCUUUAUUCAAUUGAAUUGCAAAAUGAUGCUACUUCUAUGCACGUUUCUGUUGGGUUAAAACGAUGUAUUGUGAAUGAAUAAUCCUCUAUGUUGUGGCACCGGAGAUUAGGACAUAUCUCUAUUGAGAAAAUCAAGCGAUUAGUAAAUGAAGGAGUACUUAGUACUUUGGAUUUCGCUGAUUUUGAGACUUGUGUAGAUUGCAUUAAGGGUAAGCAAACUAACAAGUCUAAAAAGGGUUCAAAGAGGAGUUCUAAUUUAUUAGAAAUCAUACAUACAGACAUAUGUUGUCCAGACAUGGAUGCAAAUAGUCCGAAAUACUUCAUAACCUUUAUAGAUGAUUAUUCACAAUAUAUGUAUCUCUACUUACUUCAUUCUAAGAAUGGAGCUUUAGAUGCCUUUAAAGUUUUUAAGGCUGAAGUUGAGAAACAAUGUGGAAAACAAAUUAAGAUCGUGAGAUCAGAUAGAGGUGGGGAGUACUAUGGUAGAUACACAGAGGAUGGACAAGCACCAGGUUCAUUUGCGAAAUUUCUUCAAGAACAUGGGAUUGUUGCCCAAUACACUAUGCCUGGUUCUCCGGAUCAGAAUGGUGUGGCAGAACGAAGAAAUCGAACCUUAUUAGACAUGGUGAGAAGCAUGAGGAGUAAUGUAAAGCUUCCUCAAUUUUUGUGGAUUGAUGCUCUUAAGACGGCUGCGUAUAUAUUAAACCGAGUUCCAACCAAGGCUGUCUCAAAGACACCUUUUGAAUUAUUCAAGGGUUGGAAACCAAGUUUGCGACAUAUACGCGUUUGGGGAUGCCCGUCUGAAGUAAGAAUUUAUAAUCCACAAGAGAAGAAACUAGACCCUAAGACUAUUAUUGGGUAUUUCAUUGGAUAUGUUGAAAGGUCUAAAGGGUAUAGGUUCUAUUGUCCAUCCCACAACACUAGGAUUGUGGAAUCAAGGAAUGCAAAGUUUCUUGAAAAUGAUUUGAUCAGUGGGAGUGAUCAAUUUCAGAAUAUUUCUUCUGAAAGGGAUCACUAUGAAGCUGAACCUUCUGGGACAAGUAAUAAGUUGGUAGUCAUUCCCACGCCUCAAGUUAAAAUGGGUGUUAGACAACCAGUGAUUGAAGUUCCACAAGCUGUUGAAAGUGAUCAUGUAGAUCAAGUUGUUUGUGAGGAACAACAUGAUGAUAUUGAACAAACUGGUGAAGAACCAGUUGAACAAGUUCCUCAGCAAGAUGACCAAACAACAUUAAGAAGAUCUACUAGAAUAAAAAAGACAACAAUUCCUAGUGAUUAUGUAGUGUACCUACAAGAAUCAGACUACAACAUUGGAGCCAAAAAUGAUCCUGAGACGUUUUCACAAGCCAUGAGUUCUAAGGAAUCAAAUUUGUGGUAUAAUGCUAUGAGGGAUGAGAUGGAUUCUAUGGCAUCUAACCAAGUUUGGGAUCUCGUUGAGUUGCCUGUUGGUGUAAAAGCCAUCGGAUGUAGAUGGGUCUUCAAAACAAAGAAAGACUCAGAAGGCAACAUUGAGAGACAUAAGGCAAGACUUGUUGCUAAAGGAUUCACUCAAAGAGAAGGAAUCGAUUACAGAGAGACCUUUUCCCCUGUAUCUAAGAAAGACUCUCUUCGAGUAAUUUUGGCAUUAGUAGCUCAUUUUGAUCUUGAGUUGCAUCAAAUGGAUGUGAAAACGGCGUUCCUGAAUGGUGAUCUAGAAGAAGAGGUUUACAUGAAACAACCUGAGGGAUUCUUAUCUAGUGUUGGUGAGCACUUAGUCUGCAAGCUUAAUAAGUCUAUCUAUGGAUUGAAACAAGCUUCCCGCCAGUGGUAUUUAAAAUUUCAUGAGGUCAUUUCUUCAUUCAGCUUUGAAGAGAAUGUCAUGGAUCACUGUAUAUACCAGAAGGUCAGUGGGAGUAAGAUUUGUUUCCUUGUAUUAUACGUAGAUGAUAUUCUGCUUGCGACUAAUGAUAAGGGUAUGCUAUAUGAGGUGAAACAAUUUCUCUCAAAGAACUUUGAUAUGAAGGAUAUGGGAGAGGCAUCUUAUGUCAUAGGCAUAAAGAUCCAUAGAGAAAGAUCUCGAGGCAUUUUAGGCUUGUCUCAAGAAACCUAUAUCAACAAAGUUUUAGAGAGAUUUAAUAUGAAAGAUUGUUCACCAAGUGUAGCUCCCAUUGUGAAGGGUGACAAACUUGCUUUGAGUCAAUGCCCCAAAAAUGAUUUUGAGCGGGAACACAUGAAAAAUAUUCCAUAUGCUUCAGCAGUUGGAAGCCUUAUGUAUGCUCAGGUUUGCACUAGACCUGAUAUUGCAUUCGCUGUUGGAGUCUUGGGAAGAUAUCAAAGUAAUCCAGGUAUUGACCACUGGAAAGCUGCAAAGAAAGUGAUGAGAUAUCUUCAUGGAACAAAAGAUUACAUGCUCAUGUACAGACAAACUGAUUGUCUGGAAGUGAUUGGCUACUCCGACUCAGACUUUGCUGGUUGCGUUGAUUCACGAAGAUCAACAUCUGGUUAUAUUUUUAUGUUAGCCAGUGGAGCUGUAUCUUGGAGAAGUGCCAAACAAACCUUGACUGCUACUUCCACUAUGGAGGCUGAGUUCGUUUCUUGUUUUGAGGCUACCUCGCAUGGUGUAUGGUUGAAGAGUUUCAUAUCUGGCCUUAGAGUUGUGGACUCUAUUUCUAGGCCAUUAAAGUUGUAUUGUGACAACUUUGCUGCAGUGUUUAUGGCUAAAAACAACAAAAGUGGAAGUCAAAGUAAGCACAUCGACAUCAAGUACUUAGCCAUAAGAGAACGUGUUAGAGAAAAGAAAGUGGUCAUUGAACACGUCAACACUGAGUUAAUGAUUGCUGAUCCUUUAACUAAAGGCAUGCCACCAAAGAAUUUUAAGGAUCAUGUAGUGCGAAUGGGACUUGGUUCCAUGAUGUAAUUUCAUUGUACGUACAUUUGUUAUUUUCAAUGAAACUCUUAUUCAGUUAGAUAUUUUCUCAUAUGGUUUUGUGCACAUAUUUAUUUAUUUCGAGAAAAAUCAUUCGGUUUAGAUAUAGAAUAAACAUAUGGUUUAUUCAUUAAGUUGAGAGCUAGUGUUGAGAGACUUGAUAUAUUGUGGUACAUGGAAGAUACUACUCAUCAUCAGAGGACCUAUCGCCAUGACUCAUAUAUUAUGUUUCUUGUUAUGGUUGAUGUUGAGUUAAAUGGACCAAGUGGGAGAAUGUUGGAAGCCCACGUUAUGUGCACGUUGCACGUUCCUUUAUAUUUUAUUACUUUGGAAAAAUUUGUUACUUCUGAAUCUGGUCCAUUUUCCAUCCACAUUCAUCCCAUAUCUUUGCAAAUAUAUUUGCAACCACCUUCAGUAACAAAUCACGUACCCAUCAUUUAUCUCACGUACCCAUCAUUUAUCUCACGUACUGAUAACUUCUUAUCUCACGUCUGAUAACUUCCUAUCUCACGUUCUGAUAACAAGUUAAGAGCUCUGUGAUGGACAGACUCUAUAAAUAGGAUGGGGUGCUCUCAGUUUUGUAUCACUAAACCCACUUCUCUAUUUAGAAAAAAUACACCAUCUAUUCAGAGUGAGUAAGGGUCUGGAAGAACAAAACUGUCUUUCAGGUUUGUGUGUGCGCCGCUUCCCGUUCAAUUUGCAAUGGCUGGAGGUACGCUCGUAAUUUUUUUUAAUUUCCGCUGUUUGAUCUAAAUAUGCUAUUUAAAUUUAUUUGCAUGUUUAGAUCAGUAUAUGUAUAUUUUUACAGGAUGAGCAUAACAACAAUAACAAUGAUGACGAUGAUGAUGGUGAUGAUGAUGACAACAAUGGUCAUCAUGUUUCUCAACAACAACGGACAAUUACACGUCAGCAUCCUAGAACAAGAGGAGGUAGAGACCGUAGACCGAGAGGACAACAAACACAGACAAAUCCAGUCCAACAAGAUGAGAGACCCAGGCGCAUUUCUAGAAGAACUCGUUGUGGGACAUCGUCUUAUUAUUAGUUUGACAAAUAUGUAAUUUUUAUUUAAAUAUAAUCAAUUUUUAAUUUAAAGUCUUUCAAUUUUUUUAAUGUAUUUUUAUUGAUAGAUUAUUUAAACUUUAAAUAAAAAAAAUUUAAAGUAAACUAUAUUAACUUAAUAUUAUCACAAAAAAUAUACUAAUAAAAUCAACUUAAUAUUAUUUAUUAUAUAUUUAAAUAUAUUUUUUUAACUUUUUAUUUUUAAAAAAUAAAAUCAUAAACAUUAUUAAAUUAAAAAAAACAAAUUUACAAAAAAAGGUUAACAAAUUAAAAAUAGGCUGUAAAUAGUAAAACAAUGUUUUUUUCUUAAAAAGGAGAGAUUACGACUUUGAAGUCCUACCUCAAAAAAUUAAAAAAAUAAAAUAAAAAUUUUACGACUUUGGUUUUUUUUUUUAAAAUACGACUUUAAAGUCGUAAAAAAAGUUAUAUUUAUACUGAAGUCAUAAAUAUUUUUACGACUUCAGUUAAAAAAAUAAAAAAAAUUAAAAAGGCGUAACAGGUGUUACGACUUCUGACUCAGAAGUCAUAACAAUUGUUACGACUUACCCUGUUUUGGGUAAUUUUUUGAAAUAUACCCCCAAAUGGAAAAUUUUGAAUUUUUUUACCCCCGAUUGGUAAAAAAGCCGAUCUCUCACCAUCCUUUUAAUUAUUCUUGUCAUAAGCAGCACAUAACAUAACACUGUUUGAAGCAAUUUUAAUGUGAACUCCUUUGGAUGGAUGCUAAUUCCCAGGUUUUAUCUUAAAGUUGUUCUUCUGACAAUGUCAUCCAUUUUUAGCUUUAGGUUGUUAACCAAAAUACAAGCAAGGUGGCAGCUGUUGCUGAAGAAUUCUGAUUAUUUGUGUCCUCUGAUGUACAGAUACUUCAUGGUUACAUAUCCAUAUUUGUAUCAUACUUGUAAUGAAUACCCAUAGCAUAUAAUAAGGCUUCCUAAGUCGGGUAUGCAUUAAAUCUAGACUUUUAUUCAAACUUCUUAUAUACAAUAUUUCUUUAAAUAGGGAAACAAUUGUUAUCAUUAAGUUUUUUAAUAAGUUCGAUAAGAGAUUGAACACCAAUGAUGAUAGGAUGAUGGAGAUGACCCUUCAAUAGAUAUCAUCUAUAUUAAGAUAUAAAGAAAUUAAUAAAAUAUAAAUAAUAAUAUAAUUUUAUGUAUCACAUUGCACCUAAUACUUGUAUGAGUUGUAUCCAACGCCAUGAAACAAAAUGUGUCAGAUAUCAGUUAGAUAAGAUUCAGUUCAGCAGGCAGGUUGGAUAAGAGUAUUGCUUAUGUAUAUCUUAAAAGAAAGUUUCCUAUUUGACAGAAUGUGGGUGUUUUUGUCCACCUAGGAGCUUUUUACCAUGUAAUCUGACAUAGGCUUUAUGAUCUGCACUAAUCUUUUGAAACUUCAUUUUGUCACAUGUUAAUAAGUUGAAAAAGAAAAUAUUGUUUUAGGAGCUAAAGAUGAAUAAGCAGCUAAAGGAAAGUUAUAUAGAAUUAGUAGUAAAAGAGAAGAGUGUAAACCUAUUUGCUAUUUGCUUCAGUACUCAAGUGCUGGUUCCGUUACCAAAUUUCAGUGGUUUUGGUUGAAUAUGUAAGUCAGUGGAAGUGGUGCUGAAUAGUGGAGGGAAUGUUUGGAGUACAUGAUUUGAAAAGGGGAGAAUGAUUAAAAGAAAUAGAAAAUUGACUGACCAAUAUUGAAGGUUUCAUAGGAAUGUUGAAUGUUAGUAAAUUGGAAAGAUGUUACAUACCAUUCAUCUUAUUAGAAGCAUAACUGUUCCUUUUUGUAUAUUUUCUGUUACCUUCCUUUCCUUCAAAAUAUGGCCUUUGAAUUUUGAACCAUUAACUGAGUUGGUAUAGUGGUAAAGUCAUGUAGAUUUUUGUUUUCGUUUUGUGGGGAUAUGAAUGAGAAAAAUCCUUACAACCAGACAAAGCUGUGGCUCAGAAGAAAGAGAAACAUGCCUCACUUCUAGAAUCACUGGAACUAACAUCUUGUAAACAAACUGUUAUACCAAACUUUCCUAAGGUGCAAUUCUCAACCAUUAACCAAUUUCAUCUCAAACAACACUAUCAGUUCUUCAGUCAUGAACUUCCCAUACUGAAAAUUUGUCACCUAUUUCUUUUAUAGGCAGUGGCUUCUUAUGAGAGUCACACUCUCUGAACUUCUAAUGUAAAACUUGACUUUUCAUUUUGUGCUUUAUAAUUGUUAUCUCAUGCAUUGCCCUUUUAAGAUAAGGUUGUUGUGCAUUGUUUGGUUGAGUACAACGAUUUACUGAUGACCAUAACUAUUUGUGGAUCUUAUAUUUUCAAAAGUGUAUGCUUGGUCAUUAAUCAACCAAGCUUGAUAAGCUCCAUCACCUACCAUCCCCUUCUAUGCCAUAUACACAUUUUGCUUAUCUACAUUCCUACUGUUACUCUCAAACAAGUCUAACAAAUAAUAAGUGAAGUUAAUGAACUUUUUUAGUAAUAUUAUUAUAAGGAUUGGUCAAUGUAAUGGUGAACAGAGAAGCAUGCUUUCAGCUACCCAACAAAAUGGAUAAGAGUGUCAGUUGAUAUGGUUCUCUUGUUUUUUUUUUUUCAAUGCAAAAUCACCUUUAAAAUAUAAAAGAUCACUGUAACAAAGGGACAAAGGGUUUUCACCUAACCCAUGCAUGAGAUAUGAUGGUCACAAAAUAUGUUAGGUUUAAUAUGGAAUGAGGGCACAGUACAAACCACUCACAAAUAAUAUCAAACUCCACCACCAUCACACAUUUUACGUUCUUCCAAGGAAGAGAUAAGAUAAUGAAGCCUCCUCCACGUGUCACUUCCACAUGGUACCUAACGAUAAGGCUACCAUUCAAAAUUUUCCUCACUCGUGUGGCCAAUAUGCUGUAAUGUCAUCACUUAUUCAAUCCAACGGUUGUAACUUCUCAGCAACCAAUCCCCUCCAUUUCACACCAUCGGAUUAGUACUACACAAAUCACACUAUUAUAUAUAGUAAGUUUGAGCAGAAGCUUGGAUAUCUGGCAGCAGAAGAACAAGUAGUUGAGAACUAAGAAGGAGAAGCAAAUGGCUUCCUCAAUGAUCUCUUCCCCAGCUGUUACCACUGUCAACCGUGCCGGUGCCGGCAUGGUUGCUCCAUUCACUGGCCUCAAGUCCAUGGCUGGCUUCCCCACCAGAAAGACCAACAAUGACAUUACCUCCAUUGCUAGCAACGGUGGAAGAGUGCAAUGCAUGCAGGUAUGACAACUCCACACAUAUAAAUACACAAGAGGCACCAAAAUGAUUAUAAUUCAUGUUACAUAUUUAGGCAUGUACCAAAAUGUUACUUAAAUAAACAUGUUAGUCAUAGGUUGCUUAAAUUUUAGUCAUAGGAAAAUUUGCACAUGUGCUAGUUAAUCUGUUAACCCCUUUACUCAAUUUUCAUGCAAAUUAAUUACUAGGUGUGGCCACCAGUUGGCAAGAAGAAGUUUGAGACUCUUUCCUACCUGCCAGACCUUGAUGAUGCACAAUUGGCAAAGGAAGUAGAAUACCUUCUUAGGAAGGGAUGGAUUCCUUGCUUGGAAUUCGAGUUGGAGGUCAAUUUCUUGCAAACACUUUUGGUUUAAUCAUAGAUUUUCUUAUUCUUAGUUUGUUUCAACUUAUUUUCAAGAAAUAAUGGCUUCUCUUGCUAGUGUGCUAAAAGUACUUUUGGAAACAAAACAAAAAAUGGUUGUGUUCCAAAAUUUAAAUUUAUCUAACAGAUUUUUCUAUUUGAGAGUUAUCAAUAUGUAUCAAAUCUGUUCCUAUCUCUGACCAAAUUUUAUUCUUCCAAAACAAGCACUUGGUUUUGAGUUUUGAUGGUUGAUCUGUUUGUUUGCAGCACGGUUUCGUGUACCGUGAGCACAACAGGUCACCAGGAUACUACGAUGGACGCUACUGGACCAUGUGGAAGCUGCCUAUGUUUGGUUGCACUGAUGCUUCUCAGGUGUUGAAGGAGCUUCAAGAGGCUAAGACUGCAUACCCCAACGGCUUCAUCCGUAUCAUCGGAUUCGACAACGUUCGCCAAGUGCAGUGCAUCAGCUUCAUCGCCUACAAGCCCCCAGGCUUCUAAGUGUGAAAAAUUUGCAAAGCAUUUGUAGCCGCCACCCCACUUUGUUUGUUUGUACUUAAACUACAUUCCCAUUUGUUUUUGCUUUUUGAGAUUUCAUCAUCCUGUAUUUUUGGUUUCUGUUUUCGGACUUCAAUGGAAAUUAAUGGAUGAGAACUAAUGAAUAAGCUAUUGUGUUGUGUUGCUUUGUUUCAAAAUAACUUCAAUAACCCAUCGUCCUUGCAUUUCUCUCUACUGGGCUGAAAUUAAUCAUUUCUAAAUUUAAGUUAAUUAAUUGUGUCUCUAAAUGAUGGUUAACAGGGGAACUCUGUGUUAUUCAAGUGCACUGCUUAGUUUAGCUGAGCUUGGCCUUACUUUGUCACAAGUCACAAAUCUGAUGUAUGAAUGUUCUUUAUACUUUGGUCUUCCAAGAAAUGAAGUUCAAGACACAUAGUUUGUAAACAUGUUGCUAGGAAGCUACUGAACUUUCAAAACCAAAUAUGAACUCGAUAAUUCUUGGAAACACAGAUAUUUUGUAUAGUAUAUAGCAACAAAAAACCACUAAGGAACUGCUACCAAAUCGUUUUGUUAUUUAUGUGCAAAGAAAGCGAUAUCAAAUUCAAAUUUUUAUUGGUUUCAGAAUCUUUUCUUUCCAAGCAAUAACCACCAACUGCAACGAAACCGUUUUGUUUGUUCCAUUUCUCACUCUCCUCACUGCAAUGUUCAAAUUCUGAUUUGGAAAACAGCACAUAAAAACACAAGAUUUGGUCAUGCUCUGGUUCUACCAAAUACUACAUUUGUUUCUAGAAUUGCCAGAAUCUGAUCCUUUUGCUGACAAUUAAUCUCUAGAAGAUUCUUUUGCUUGUAACUUGGUAGUUAUGGAUUAGCAACUGAUAAAUAAAUCAUUUAGUGGGCUCUAUGUUGUGAGUAGUGAUAGGUAACUUAUGUCGACACCUUUUAGUAGAUUGCAUUAAUAUUUAGACUGGACCCUUUUGAUAGCUACAUUUGUGAACAAGAAUACAAUACGAUAAAGAAAUAGAUAAGAAGUUUCACCUCCUAUACUCCCAUGACCACAUCAUGACAUAUUCAAUGCCAAUCGUGAAUAUACAAAUCAAUAGGAUUUGUUUUCUUCCAAAUAUUUAUUUGUGGACGUGAAUCUACUCACCCUAGAAGCAAGUUUCGUUAAAUUUCCUUUGUUUAAUAACUUUUUGUGAACAUUCAUUCUUUUUUAAUUCAACUUUUAUAUAAAAAUAAUUAGACUCAAAUUCCUUAAACAAGGUCUCAAGUUCAAAUUUUGUGAAUGAAAAAUAUAAUUAAAAGAAGAGACAUAAUUGAAGUAGUCAGUCAAGUUAUGACAAAGCCUUACAAUUCACAAAAUAACUAAAAUAUUAUAUCAAUCAACUUCAUUUUAAUGGAUAGUAGUAUUAUUCUUUUAAAAUACAAGUAAAUGUUAACUAUAAGAUAAUCUUUAUGGUAAUAUAUUACAAAAUAUAAUAGUUAAGGGUCUCUUUGGGGGAUUGUUAGUUGUUAGUUUCAUUUGUUUUUAAAAUAACAAUCAAUUUUUAGUUUUAGUAUAAAAAGUUUUUAAAACCAGUCUUUAAAAUUUGAUUAGUUUUCUAACUAUUAGUUUUAAGAUUAAGUCAUUUUAAAAUUUUCUAAUCUUUUUAAAAUUAAUUUAAGAGUGUAUUUUUAUAUAUGAUGAUAACGACACCAACAACAACAAUGGUGGUAUUUUUGGUGGCGAUAGCAAAGUCAAUAGUGAUAAUAACAGUGUCAAUGAUGGCAGUGAUACUAGUGGUGGUGUUGGUGUUGAUAGUUAUAAUGCAGUAUUGCUAAUAAUGGUAGUGAUUGAUAGUAAUGGGAGCAGUGAUAGUGUUGACAACGAUAGUAAUAGCGGUGAUGUUGGUUGUUGGUGUCAAUAACAAUGGUGACAGUGUUGAUAAUAAUAGUGAUUGUGUCAAUGAUUAUGAUGAUGAUCAUAAUGACGACAUAGAUGGUGGUCCUGGUGUUAGUAGAGGCAAUGAAAAGUGUCAUUAUCAAAUGUAGAGAGUGUGUACUUUUUUAAAAUUAAAAUCAAAAUUACAAAUAUUUUUUGCCCAAAACUUUUGGUUUUAAAAAUUACAUUUAAAAAUAAAAUAUAAAAAACUCACAAUUACGUGACCAAACCCUAAGUCUUUUAAAUCAAUUAGUAUUCUAUAAAGAAAUAGUAUUUUUGAAGUAUUUAUAUAAUUUAAGUAUUUACUUAUUCUUAGAGUGAAUAGAUCCCUUUCGUUUGUUUUAUUCAUCAUACAGAAUCAAUAAUACAGUGGAAUCCUUCUGAAUAUUUUCUUUUAUAUAUAUAUAUAUAUAUAUAUAUAUAUAUAUAUAUAUAUAUAUAUAUAUAUAUAUAUAUAAUGUACCUGGAAAAAAUAAUCUUCCAUUAGUGAGACAGACAAAUAUAACCUUAUUUCCAUAGAGCCUGCAAAAACCUAACUAUCCAGUCAAUAUUUUAUAUUUCCAUAGUUUUUCUGACAAACCAACUUCUUUAAUAUAUUUUUCAAAAGUUUUCAAAUAAGUUAUAUAACAUAUCAUAAUAUUCAAGGUUUUCCAAGAGGAAAUUUAAAAAUUGUUAUUUUGACAAGAUAAGUGCUACAUAAUUGUGUGGUCUAUACCGACUAAUGAGUCAAGGCAUCGUGACUAUGUCGUAACAAAAAAGGUAAAGAAAAACAAGUCAUUAUCAUAGCAUUAUUUGAAGUUGAAGAAUAUUACGUAGUGUGAUAUGAUUUAUUUAUGACUGUUUUGGUUGUUUCCGUUGCGUUUUAUGAAUGGAAGAUCAAAUAGCUAGCUAUAAAAAGACCCUAAACAGAUAACAACCUAUUGGUAAUUUUUUUUUGUUUUAGGCUAUUCAAUUAGAUAUAGGCUCAUAUAUGUAGAUUUUAUAAGUUUAAGCCACAAAAAAUAUAUUUUUAUUAAAACAAUAAAAAGAUAUUGCCGUAGUGUUUAUACGAGAAAUGGCGCAUAGUGAGGUGCUCGAUCGAGUCUCUAUCAAUUUGCUUUUGAUGUGUGCAAAGGAAAAGAAAAGAGAAAAGAGGAAAGUUACAAAGUGAAUGCUUAGAUACUUAUAUCUUAAGUAAAUCCUUGUGUCUUUAUAAUAAAGUUGGAUAAAGACACAUUAACACUCAUCUUAUUUUUUUAAUUCCCUGAGUAUUUAACUCAAUUAGAUACUUAAAGAUUUAAAUUUGAGGCUGUUAUUAGUUAAAUUAAAAUAAUUUCACAUAAAUUGAUUCAAACACAUAUUAUUUGACAUCUUAAGAGAAAAAGAAAAAAAAAUGAAAUGUAAACAAGAUAAAUUAUAUGAUAUGAUAAGAAAGAAAAGACAAAAAUAAAUUGAAGAUGUCAAAUAAAUAUCCAUGUAUCAUUAUUAAUUAAGUUUCAAAAUCAAAGACUGAUACAUGAUUUUUUUUUUAAAAUUCAAAAUAUAUCUCAGUGAAAACUAUUUAAUGUUUAAAAUAACAUUCAUAUAUCAAUGUUUUAUUUGAGCACUAGUUGUUUUGAAUUUAUUUUUGGCAUCUCUCUCAUUUCCUUUUUCUUGAUCACUGCUUCCUUUUUCCCAUUUAUUUUCCCGACAAAACAAUUUUAGUACAACACAUCCUACAUGCACCAUCUAAAGGCUCUCUCACAAACCCAGUCUAAUUAAGGACAAAUUAAUACGGAGAAAUUAAUUAGUUCUCGACUACUACUGUAUAUUUAUAAUAUUGAUUAAUCUUUACCAAACAUGAUACGUAUUAAAGUUUUUUAAUUUAAGAAAAAAUUAAUAAUGCUAAAUUGUAAACACUCUUAGAUUGCUUAAUAAUUUAUUCUCUUAAAAAAUUAUUAGAUGUCCAAAACCAUCCUAGACUCUAUUAAAACAAGGCCACUUAUAUAAUAAAAACAUAAUAUACAAGACUAUUAAUUUUUUUAUUAUUAAUUAAAAAACCUGAAUAUAUAUAUAUAUAUAUAUAUAUAUAUAUAUAUAUUAUCGGUAAAUAUUAUUAGUUUUUGUUAACAGAGAAAAUCAAAUUUAUGACUUUUUUUUUUCUUUUUCCAUCUCCCAUAAUCUUCUAAUUCAUCUUAUAUUUUCAAAAUUCUGAAAAGGUAUCAUACAAAUUGAUUCAGGCCAUAGAGAUGUAGUGAUCCGAAACUACUUAAUAUAUAGUUUCUUCCACACUCACGGCACUCAAAUAUUUCAUUUCCUCACACAUAGACUGCACCUCCCCCCUCACACACUCACACACUCACUCAUUCACAACACCACACUGACUUAUUCAUAUUCAUCCGUCACAUGAAAGGCAAUGGCAAGCACACACACAAGUUACACAGCAAAUCCAAACUCUUCAGUGGCCUUAUUUGCACCAUGCAACCAUAAUAUCCACCCAUUAUAGAUCUUAUAGACAAUAGCAUAUAUAGCCACACCAUAUGCAUUAUGAAUCCAUGGAACAAUCAUAUAUCAUUCGUGAAAAAAAAGUAAAACAAGUCUUCAAAGCUUUUCCCAACCAUAGAACUUCUCAACCAAGUCUUUAAACCUUCACGUGAAUCUGUCAUCAAGACAGCCCCUAAAUUAAGCUUGAGCCAUCUGUGUCAUACACGUAUAAGAGGUCACGCAUGGUUUACAUCAAGUAAGAAAAGAAGCUAUCAUAAAGAUAUUACUUCUAUUUUUUGUUGUUGAAUAAGUCUAGGGUAUAAUAUAUUGUUGAUUUCUCAAAAUAGUUGAGAACGAUAGUUUUAGUUCUUAUUAAAAUUUAAUAUGUUUUUAUUCUUUAUAUUUAUUAAAAGUGACAUGAUUUUAAUUCUUUCAUCAUGAACUAAAAACACAUACAUCUGAAUAAAUAUAAGAACUAAUAACACACACACACACACACACACACACACACACAUAUAUAUAUAUAUAUAUAUAUAUAUAUAUAUAUAUAUAUAUAUAUAAUUCUAUUUGUAUUUUAUCUCUUGCUUGGUUGUCGUGGUAAAGGCGUAAGGCAUAGCCGCAUGGAUAUGAACUUAUCAUAGGGCUCCAUUGAAUCAGAUCAGUUUAAACUUAAAGCUUUUGAAAAUUAUUAUUAAAAAAAUGAAGUUUUGAGGACAUCAAAAUUACGUCACUGAAAGAGAAUAAUGACUUCUUUUAACUUUUUUUUUUCCCUGUUGUAAACUUAGGAUUUUCAAAACCCGAGUUCCAAAUUUGCAAUGGUUUCUUGUUUUUGAUUCGUAAGUGGAUUACACAAAUUUCAUUUUGACGCAAACUGUUGGAUUAUUUUAAUAUUAUGUUCUAGUUGUAAUUAAAAGCCAUUAGGAUUAAUUUAGAAAACUAAGAAUAAAUCUAUAAUAAAUUUCUCUUAUCUUUUCAAAAUACUCAUUAGUCUUUUUAAAAAAAACCCACACCGAAUAGUAUUUUUUAGCCAUAAAAAAAAUAAGGGAACGAAAGACUGAGGGAGGAAAGCCAUUUUAAUUAAAAAAAUAGAAAAUGAAAAAAAUAAAUUGAAAACACAAGAAAAAUAUCGGGCCAGAAAAUAAAUAUGAAUUAUAAUAAUCAAGAGCUUCAUGCAUGCUUAGUAGUUUUCUGUGCAUUAAAGAACUCUAGAGAAAUUAUGUGUUAUGAUCUAUUCUUACAAAAACAUAUGCCAUAGCCUGUGAACGGGAUCCGUGUUCAUGGUCUCUUGUAUAUGCUUUUGUUCUUUAAUUGUUAAUAAUUAAGAACACAUGCCGUAGUGCAAGUUUAAAUCAUAAAGAGUUAUGGAUACCCAUAAUAUUCUAAGAGAUAUAAAAUAAAGAAAUAAUUAAGUUUUUCAUAUUUGAAAUAUAGUUUAUUUUUAAAAAAUUACUUAACAUUCUUUUUUUUCUCUCUAAUACCUAAAAAAAUUUUGCAUUUCAUUUUAGUACUUGUCGUUAGUCCACAUCCAUUAAAUAAUGAUAUAGCAAACGGAGUAUCACGUCAUCACACCUAAUUACUAAACACAUAUGCACAAACAUUCACAUCAUUAAUUUUUGUUUUUGUUUUUUUAAUAUUAAAAAAUGAAAGCCAAAAAGGAGAGGGGGAGUCGUCCGUGGUGGUGUGGGAGGCGCGGCCACCACCGUCUUGGACACUCUUUGGAACUUCACCUUCGUCGCCGCCAUCGUCACCAUCUUCUUGAGCUAUCCACUGGAUAGGGUCCAUCGUCAAGCGAUGAUUUCCCACAGAACAAAAAAUCUGCUAUGCUUCACUUUCUUGCUUUUGCAUUUUCUUGUGGAAAAAAAAUCCUCACAACAAAAAUAGGUUGUCCUUUUCUUUGAUCUACCAAAGCUUUAAAUUUUCCUUAGGUGCGUACUUCAAAUUCUUCUUCUCCUACUCCUAACUGCUCCUUUUUUUUUUUUUUCAAAUUCUCUGUGCGUUUCUAAGGAUUUUGCAUGUUUUGUUCUUCUCUUUGCUGUGUGUUUUGACUUUUAUUGUUUGCGUGUGUGGCAGUUUGGUUUGUUUGUGAGUUUGGAGUGUGAUGCCACCAUCGGCGGUGAUCACGGAGGAGGAGGGGCAGAGCAAAGAUGUCUUCACUGAUAUUGAACUCGCGGAAGUUGAAUUGCCAGAUUUAGGGGCUCUCUGUGCCCCAGGUAAGGAGGUUCCUGUAGUUAUACUCGUCCACGAUUUCACAUAUCAACGCGAACUCCUCCUUGAGGUUAUCAUUCCAAACUUCCUUGAUUUGAACCGAAUCGCCUUUUGGUAAAAUCAACAUAUCAAACGAACAAAUCUGAGUAGCAAAGUGAGAAUCACAAUCAAACCCCCCAUAUCUGUAACAAAAACAUGCGGAAACAAUUCAGAUCUCAAAACCUAACAAAUCCAAAACAAAAAUCGAUGAUAUUUCAUUGAACGAGGAAACAAAUAUAAACAAAAUCAACAAGCCGCGAUACAUAAAGAGGAUUUGAGUGAGUAGAGCUUCGAAUCGGGGGCAUGCAAUCAAGCUUCGUAUCGACGACGACGACAACAACGAAGGCAGAGUUCCAGAGAGUGUCCAAGACAGUGGUGGUCGCCGCCUCCCGCACUAUAACAUCCCAAUUUCGUGAAUUAAAUUAAAAAGGUUUUUCAUUUAAAAUAGAGUUUUAGAAAAAAAAAUGAUGAGGUUUUUGUAAUUAAAUAAAUAAGGAGAAAUAACUUUAUUAAAAUAAUGGUUUGAAGGAAAAUAAAAAGGAUAUUUGAUUUAUUCAUUUGAUAGGAAAUAACAUAGAGUAUUUGUUAAUAAAAUAAUAAAAAUAAAAAAUAGAGUAAAUAAUAAGCUAAGAGUACCUAGCUAUAAAUAAAGACAUGCUAGGUUAUUUUUCAGACUGACGGUAGUCUCUGUGGUUUCUCUUCCUUUCAGUUUCUUUUUUCUUUCUCCUCCUCCCAAAACUAUUUUUCCCGCAUACACUCAAGCCUAUCUCAAUAAAAUUAUGAUCUCGGACUCGUUAAACGUUGGAUCAUUGUGAAAUUUGAGUACUAGGUUUAGAACUUAAUUCCAAAUAUUCUCACCGUUGGAAUUUGCGAAACUAUAUUGGAGCUGAGAGAAACUCCCUUCGUAUUUUAGCUUUCUCUUUUCCCGCAGAGACCCGAAACCUAUCCCGGUAAAACUAUUAUCCUGGACUAGUUAACCGUUGGAUCAUUGUGAAAUUUGAACACCAAGUUUGAAAUACAUUUCCGCAUAUCUUCACCAUCGGGAUUUGCAAAAUGAUUUCUGGGGAGGGAGAAACACUCAUUGCACGUAGACAGUGGAAUGAAGGAUUCAAAUUCUUUUCCUUCUCUCUAAUAUUUGGAAACCUUAUCAGAACAACCAGAGAAAAAGCUUGAGGAAUCUCAGGAAAUUGUUAGAGAUUCCACUAUUGCUGUCAGAAUACACACGUGAGCCCGCUUAGAGGUAAGGGAUGAGUUAUUCAUAAUUGGAGAGUAGUGAGAACAUGUGUAGGGAUCCUUAGAGUAUCAAUUGGAAUGAGUUUUUAGGUUGUUUUUGCAAAUUUUGAUUCUAUCUUUACAAUUGUAACUGUGAAUUAUAUAUUUUUUUACGAACCAAUUGAUGUUCCAAUUAGAAAUUGCUGUGAAAUUCAUGUGUUCUUGUGUUGAGUGUGAACCUUAAAAAUUGAGUUCUUUUUAUUAACGUAAAUUAUACUCUAAAUAAUAUUCUUUUAACGGCUUAUUUUAUACAAAUUAUUAUCUUGUUCUGUAUUUUUCCACAACGAUAAUCAACAUGUUAUGUGUUUAUAUAUAUAUAUAUUGUAAUACAAAAAUAAUAAAUUAAAGAAAGUUGUAAAGGUUAAUGUCUAGUAGUAAUUUCUUUUGAUGUAAUCUUAAAUUAAUUGUUAUAGAAAUUCUUUUUGAUUGAAAAUAAUAUAGUUUGAUUUAAUAUAUAUAUAUAUAUAUAUAUAUAUAUAUAUAUAUAUAUAUAUAUAUAUAUGUUUUGUGUCAUGCAAAUAUUAUUAUUGUGUGAAUAUAUAUAUAUAUAUAUAUAUAUAUAUAUAUAUAUAUAUAUAUAUAUAUAUGUUUUGUGUCAUGCAAAUAUUAUUAUUGUGUGAUGUGUAUAUGAGUUAUGAGACGUGAUAAAUUAUUAUAAUAAUAUUAUAAUAUUAUUGUUGAGAUCAAGUAUAAGUGUAAAGUUAGACAUGUGUUACUUUGUGAAAUACACAUGAACAUGUGAUGGUGGAUUAUGAUAUUAUGAGAUGUUAAGUUGUGGUCAUGAGAUUUGGUUGUGAAUAAGUGUGUGUUUAACACUUGAUGUGAUAGUAUUUGUGUUGUGAGCUAUGAAUUAUACAAUAACCCAAUCAGUGUUUACCUUGAGAAAAAGUGUUUAUGCGUAGUGUUAAAGGAAAAGUGUAGGUUUCCUAGUUAGGAACCAAUGUUAAAUUGUAGCGCAAUGUGUUAAACGUGUUUGAAACAUGAGCGUGAGGUCAUGAAUAUUGUAUAAUUCAUGAGCAAUGUCUGCAUGCAAAAAUUGUUUUAGGGGUUGAAACUGAAUCAGGAAGGUGAGGCCCUAACGGAUUCUUCGUAGUCUAGGCCUUGAGGGUAAAGACACUCAGUUUGAGUGCUCCUUUAAGCCUAUAUUGAUCUCAUAUGGUUGGAGCAUUCUCACAAAACAGAGUUAUCCUGACUGGUCACCUUAUGAUUUUACUUAGUGAGAGUGACCUGACAUACCCAUUGUAUGGUGUGACUUGUUUGUACUCCUAAGUGCCCCGGGGUGGUUUUUCACUGACAUGGUACCACAUUGCAUAUAGACUUGAGUCUUAGCAUAACUAUUGCAUAACGCUUGCUAAUUGUUUACUAUGAAAUUGAUGAGUGUUAUUAUGUCUUGAUCAGAGUAUGUGAUUCAUGUGUAAUGUGAUUGAUGAUUGAAAAGUGAAUUUUAAAUGACAAAGUGGUGGAAUUACGUGAGUUAUGUUUAAAUAAGUUAUAUCUCAUUUAUAUGAUAUGUAUAUCUAGUUGUCUUGUUUCUCUAUUAGUUAGAAAUGUGAUAACUCACUCCUCGUGUGUUGUUUGUGUUUGAAUCUUGUGAUGAUCUCGAACUUUGUGUUCGGGGGAACAUAUGACUAGGUGGAUUGCUUUAAGGAACCUUAUGCUGAAGGAUGUCGGGACACAAUACUCUGAUAGGACGUGACAUCACGGCAUAAGUUUCUAUAUUAAUUGCAUGAAGUCUUGAACGACCUUGUUUUAAGUCGAGAUAUUUUCGUAUUUAUUGGACAAGUCAUUUUAUGAUGUUAGAAAAGUAAAUGUGAGCCUUUUACAAUUUUGAAAUGCUUUUAUUUAAAUGUGCUUUAAAAACUUUUAAUUAAUUCUAAAUUCUUAUUUCUUUUAUUAUUAGUACAUAUAUGUAUGGGGUAGAGGGUGUCACACGUACCGCCACGAACGACUCUCCCUCUCUUUUUUGGCUUUCAUUUUUUUAAAAUAAAAUAAAAAAAAAUUAAUGAUGUGGAUGUCCGUGCCUACAUGUUUAGUGACUAGGCGUGAUGACGUGACACUCUAUCUGCCACUUCAUCACUCAAUAGAUGUGGACUAACAACUGGUACGAAAAUGAAACGCAAAAAUUUUCCUAGUAAAAAUGAUAAUAUUAGGUAGUUUUUUUAAAAAUGGAUUAUAUUCAAGGUAUGAAAAACUUAAUUAAGUCUAAAAUAAACUAUCCUUUUUGUUAUUGUAAAAUAAAAAUUUGAAGACCAUCUAAUUCACCUCAUAAUCAGUUUCAAGUCCAACCAAUUCUAUUCAUCCAUGCUUCACUCAGGUUCUUUUGAGACCUUUUAAGAAAAAGAAAAAGGAAAUGACGAGGCCCUUAUUUAGAUGUAAUAGAGGUGUUUAAAAUUAAAAAAAAAGAUCGUCAGCAAAAAAUUGAAAUGAAUGUGCAUGCAAAGUUAAAACCUAAAAGAUUAAUCGAUCAAUGAUGGAACACCCAAAUAGUCGUAUUUUAGUUUCUGCCAAGCUCCAAAGGGAAAAAGCAUUUUGUAAAAUCAGUCAAUAAGUUAGUAGAUAAAUAUAAAUUGACACAAAAAAAUAUAUGUAGGUAUUUGAGGUAAAAAGUGAUUAAAAAAACGAGUGAGAAUAAAAGAAAGCUACUAACUUAUAAACUAGAGCUUAUUUUCGUAAGUUAAUUGAUACAGUUUAUGAAAAUAAACUACAAGUUAAUAAAAUAAACUUAAACUUGUGUACUAAACAAACUUAUAAGUUGAUUAAAGUAAUUUGUAAGCUAUUAGAGUAUCAUACGAAAACAUUUAGUAUUCAUUCAGAGUCGCAAGUUGCUAGUUUUGGAACUUGUAUUUAGAAGUUUCUCUCGGUGCUUUAAAAAUUUGGAGGUAUUUAUGGUCUCAGAUUAAGACUUGUCACUUCAUAUUAAUUUUUGCUUAAUAAUUGCAUGUUGUUCCUUUCCUUUAUUUCAUUUUUGUCAUAUAACUAGUUACACUAUUAGAAAAUACACCUUCUACAUCAGUUAUUUAAGACCUUUUACAUUGGUUUUUAACCGAUGUUGAAAGUAUUAUCGUUAACAUUGGUUUUACAAAACCGAUGUUAACGUAAAAUUGACAACAUUGGUUAUCUAAAUAACCAAUGUUAUAUAAUAAGAAUUACACCAAAAAAGUGUAUGAAUGUUGAUAGGUGACAUUGAUUUUUCCACAAAACCGAUGUUAACUUAUAUAUUAACAUUAAGACCUUUUACAUUGGUUUUUAACCGAUGUUGAAAGUAUUAUCGUUAACAUUGGUUUUACAAAACCGAUGUUAACGUAAAAUUGACAACAUUGGUUAUCUAAAUAAUCUAUAAGUUAACAUCGGUUUUUACAAAAACCCGAUGUUAACGUGUAGAUUAACAUUGAUUUUUCCACAAAACCGAUGUUAAGUUACACAAACAACAUCAGUUUAUAGAAUCCACAACUGUAUAACAAAUAUGCUGAGACAUUGACCACCAUGUGCAAUUUUGGAGAGAUCUUCGUGCUUGAUGUACAAUGGGAAGUCUGGAUUAAACACCCCGAACACGGUAGCAUCCCACAUAACCUAGAGAGGCUUCAAGAAAAGCUGUGGGAUGGUCAAUGUCAUCAAAUACAGGGGAUCAUUGACCUCAGGAUCCGGCCUAUCUGGAGGCUUUGAUGGAGACACAGUUGCCUGUUUAUCAAACAUAGUGAAAUAACAUAAUUUAAUUACAGUGAACAAAUCAACUGAAAAAAGCAUAUAAUCAUAGUAAAAUACUUGUUCUAAUACACGCUUCACGAGAUAUGUCGGCCAAGCAAGGAAAGUGUUCAGUGCCUGCCCCACUAGUUGAACCUCGUCAAUGGGUACAGGAACGGGAGCCUCUGCAUCUUUAACCUUCUCAACACCAACCUUCACGUGGCCAUGCAACAAAGGGAUGUUGUGAACAACUGUGGAUCCCUCAUAAACUUUUCCUAGGACAACCAGGCGGGAAGGAUUUUCUUCGAUGUACAGCCCGCAUUUGUCUGAGUCACCCGUCUUUGGAUCGGUCGGUGAGGGAUCAACGCAACUCCCUUUUGUGCUAACACAGGCAGCUAGGGGACCAACCUCAGGCUCCAGAGGCAGUGCAAGUCCCUGUGAUUGCAUCUGUGACUGAAGCUAGGACUACAUCUAGUUGAAGGAUGCCAUGAGCUGCCAAGUCACUUUUUCUGUGAUUGACUCCUCCAACUGGUCCCUGAUUUGUUGAGUGAGCUGCUCAAGUUCUUUGGGAGGGAUGAAGGAGGAAUUGCGGGAGCUUUGUAGAGUGGAGCCGAAGUAUUGCUUAAUGGUGACACCGGCUCUAGCAGCAUGCACACGGCCAGGGUGUUCUGGUCACCCAAUGGUAGCAAUCAAGACAUCCUGACGACCAUGGGGGACAAACGAACCCUGUGACGCCUGCUCCUCCAAAGAAUCUUGUACGUAACACAUAUAUUUGUCCAAGGCAUUCACAUAAUAAACAAACAUAAUUACAAUUCUUAAUUUACAUUUGACUUACAAUCUUCUCAGCGAUUUCCUUUGCGGCCUCAGAUGUCAUCUACCCAGUUUUCUUGGUGUGAGCCAUCUUCUACUUCACGUGUCGUCUGAUGGGAGAUGGAGGGUUAAUGACGCCCUUAGUGCUUCCGGACUGAGCAGCUUCCUCUAGUUUUUUCUUUGUCUUCUCAACCAUUAGCUUCUAUUCUAAAUAAUCAUAACCCCCACAAGACAACACGUGGGGGGUGGUGUUUUGCUUCUAGAUGGCCCGUGCUUUUUUCCGCACAUCCAGCAAAAUUCAAACAUUAAUCAAAAUGAUUUCUACAAUCUAUUAUAAGAACUGAAUUUUUAGUGGAAACAAUUCAAAUUACAAAGUACAUACCUCCCAUGAGGGAUCUCGGCGGGUCUGACAAAACCGGACCCAUUUCUCCUUGCUAAUGUCGUACUUUCACAAAUAGUGUCGUCCACACCGUCCUUGUUGGCUGCAAGUGCCCAUUUCCUGGUCAAAUCGGAUUUAAACUGCCUCCACUGCUUGCCCACCGUCUGAAGACUUUCUUCUUUGUCCUACUGUCAGAAGAUUCAGGGAUUUCAAAUUCCACUUGACAAACAAUAAAUUAGGUUUUAUUGUUAGUAAAUUAUAAAUUUUGGCUACUAAACAAAAUCAAAGAAGAAAACAAACAUACCUGAAUAUCCUCCCAUAUCAAAUCCUUCUGAGCCGCAGGGACUUCCUUCCAGGUCUCGUAUGUCACGUCGACCUUAUCACGAGCGACAAUCCCCAAAUAUGUUCUUAAUUUCUACUUUUAGGGACCGUCGGCCUUGCCAGUCGCAGGAUCAACGUGGACCACUGGUCUGCACACCGGUGUUGCUGUCAACCCAUUUACAUUUGAAAACACACACAGUAAAUUUGACAUAGUUAAGCUCCCAAAUUUCAUUAAUGAACCCAAAGUAAGGGAUGGAAGCUACACAGGGAUUGUCAUCAUGCACACUUGCGAAGUGCUGACAUUCAGCCCUUAGGGUGACCUCGCUGUUUUGCAUUGUACUUUUGUCGUCUUGUGCUUUUGUGAAAAAGGAAUACUUGUUUAUGUUGUAUCCUUGCCAAGUUAUAACAUUUCUUUUAGGCCCAUCUGCUAGCUUUCUAAAUGUUUAUGAAGCAUUUUCAUCAACAAAGAUUGUAUCUUUAAACCAAUCAGAGAAAGUCUUGUUAUGCUUUUUCAAAACCCAAUUCUUUGACAUUUUUGGAUUAUUUUGUUUGACUAAAGCUUCAUGCUGAAGUGUGUAUGACAAAACUUCAUUACUGUUGUUCAACACAUACAAGUGAGCUUGUAAUAAAUCUUCUACACUUGGAGUGAUAACAUGCAGUCCUCUUGAACCCUUACCACCCACUCUGUCGUUAUGACGAGACUUAGAAAGGCCAAUAGGUUUAGCCUUUUCAAUGUACUCUGAACAAAAUUCAAUGGCUUCUUCUGCAAUGUACCUUUCAACAAUAGAUGCUUCUGGAUGAUGUAGAUUCUUGGUAUACCCUUUUAAGAUCUUCAUGUAUCGCUCAACCAGGUACAUCCACCGCAACUAAACAGGACCACAACAUUUGAUUUCUCUGACCAGAUGAACAAUUAAGUGAAUUAUGAUGUCAAAGAAAGCAGGAGGAAAAUACAUCUCCAACUGGCACAGUAUAAUUGCAGCCUCAUUUUCCAAGUCAUCAAACUUGACAGGAUCAAGGACUUUGCUACAUAUGGCAUUGAAGAAAAAGAACAGGCGAGUUAUGACUAACCUGACUUUGUUAGGCAAAAUGUCUCGUAGGGUCACGACUAACAAUUGUUGCAUCAACAUGUGACAAUCAUGAGACUUUAACCCUACUAGCUUAAGCUCCUUCAACUGCACAAGGCUCUUAAUAUUUGAAGAGUAUCCUUAUGGGACUUUCACCCGACGCAGACAUUGACAAAAACUUAUCUUCUCCUUUCUGGACAAAGUAUGACAAGCUGGAGGCAAAUAUAUUUUUUUCCAUCAGACCUUGGAUGCAACUGCAAUCGUAUACCCAUGUCAGCUAGAUCAUUAUGGGUAUUCAAACCAUCUUUCCUCUAGCCUUGAAUGUUAAGGAGCGUCCCAAUGACAUUGUCACAUACAUUUUUCUACACAUGCAUAACAUCAAUACAAUGUCUAAUAUCUAGAUUAGACCAGUACGGAAGAUCAAAGAAAAUGGACCUCUUCUUCCAUAUGCAAGUCUUACUUUUAUCCUUCUUUUUCGUGCUCUUGACUUCUAUUAAAUGCUUUUUUCAAUCGCCUGUAAGGGUGAUGAGGUUUUAGAAAACGUCGAUGCCUAGUGUAAACUGUUUUUCUACCAUGUUUUAGUUGUAUGUAGCUUGUGUCUUCUUCACAGAUGGGGCAUGCAUAAUGACCCUUAACAUUGUAACCGCUCAGAUUCCCAUAUGCUGGAAAGUCAUUAAUGCUACAAAAAAACAUUGCACGCAUUUCAAAAGUCUCAUUGCGAAACCCAUCAAACACUAAAACCCCCUCCUCCCAAACCUUUCUCAGGUCUUCAAUCAACGGACUUAGAUAAACAUCAAUGUCAUUUCCUGGCUGUCUUGGGCCCGAUAUUAUCAUAGACAACAUCAUGUAUUUUCGCUUCAUGCACAACCAAGGAGACAAAUUGUAAAUUACCAGUAGAACUGGCCAUGAACUGUGUUGAGUGCUUAAAUUGCCAUAUGGAUUCAUUCCAUCACUGGCUAAUCCUAGCCUAAGAUUUCUUGCCUCUUUGCCAAAAUCCGGAUACAAACCAUCAAUCUUCUUCCACUGGGAGCAAUCAGCUGGAUGAUAGACCAUUCCAUCAGAGUUUCUCCCAUUUGCAUGCCAGGUCAGGUCUUUUGCGUCGUCUCCAUUUGCAAAAAGACGCUUAAACCUUGGAAUGAUGGGAAGAUACCACAACACCUUUGCUAGAGGGCCCUUCUUUGAGUUUUCAUCAGAACUACAGUCCUCAUCAUCCUUCACCUUGUGCCGUGACGCCCCACACGUAGGGCAUUUGGACAUUUCUUCGAAUUCAUGCCUGUACAGUAUUUAAUCAUUCAGGCAAGCAUAAAUCUUCUGAUACUCCAUACCCAUCAGACACAAUAUCUUCUUGGCCUGAUAGUAACUUUUAGGCAACGUGUUUUCCUCUGGAAGCAGCUCAUGAACUACUUGAAGCAGUGAAGUAAAGCUUUUGUCCCUCCACCUAUAUCUGGCCUUGACAUUAACCAAACUUAACACCACCGACAACAACGUCAAGGAAUUCUUGCACCCCGUAUAUAGAGGCUUCUGUGAAGCAUUUUGCAAUCCUUCAUACAUAGGGGCAUGUGCUUGCUAAAAAGACUCUUGCCCAAGGUCACGAAUCAUAUCCUCCAAACGAUCUCCCAUUUCUACAUCAAACGGUUUAGAUUGGGACCCACUCUACAUGUCUAUCAAUUCACCAUGCCAUAUCCAUGUUGUGUAAUUCUUCUUAAUCCCAUUACACAAUAGAUGCUCUCGUAUGUCGUCCAGUAGUUGUCGUCUUCCGUUCAAACAAUUGAUGCAAGGACAAUAAUAUUUUCCAUCUUCAUCCGGUCAACCUCUUUCUGAAGAAAAUUGCAAGAACUGCUCGACGCCUUCCUCAUAUUCUAGGCUGAUGCGACUUUCAUUCAUCCAACUUUGAUCCAUCUAAGUAAUAACUCCGUGAUGCUCACAAAGUUAUUCAAUGCAUGAAAAUCUCACUUUUUUAUUAUAGGUGUGGCCCUAUCCGAUUCAGGAGGACAGUCUUUUAUGGUAGCUUCAUACGUCAGGGGUAAUUCUAUUUUGUUAAAUUUGACAAAAUUUUGGCAGCAUUUCGCAUUGGUCUCCAAGUACACGAUAUGAAAUUAAUUUCUUGAUAAUCAAGUAUGGACUCAGAGAACAACUCGAAAUGCAUUGUACAGAAAUUUCAUCAAAUUAAACAAAAUAAUGUUAACCUUAACGCAUGAAUCUACCAUAAAAAUAUCAGUCUCUCCAAACUGUCCAAACAAACAAUUCAAGAUUGAAUACAAUGAUUAAUGCAAACUGUCCGCAAGAAUCAUUGCAUUCAGUCUCAAACGGGAAUCUAAGGUUCACUCAUCAUGAACACAAUUUGUAUAGCAUAUAUCAAUUGUCAUUAAUGACAAUGAACAAGUAAUAAAAAUAUUAAUUGGUAACAAACAUUUGUACCUGUGAUGAUGAACAACACGGUCCUAAAUGAAAGCAAGAAUCAAAGAUAUAACUCAAUGACCACCUACGUCAAUCAGCAAACUGAUAUAAAUAUGUGACAAUGAGUAGGCUUAAAGUUUAAAUUUGCUUUAAGUGCUUCAUCAAAUGAGUAGGUUGUGUGUGUGUGUGUGUGUGUGUGUGUGUGUGUAAAUAUGUGACAAUGAGUAGGCUUAAAGUUUAAAUUUGCUUUAAGUGCUUCAUCAAAUGAAUAGGUUGUGUGUGUGUGUGUAAAUAUGUGACAAUGAGUAGGCUUAAAGUUUAAAUUUGCUUUAAGUGCUUCAUCAAAUGAGUAGGUUGUGUGUGUGUGUGUAAAUAUAUGACAAUGAGUAGGCUUAAAGUUUAAAUUUGCUUUAAGUGCUUCAUCAAAUGAGUAGGUUGUGUGUGUGUGUGUGUGUGUGUGUGUGAAAGUUGCAAUCUUAGAUUUAUAAUGCUCUAAAAUCUGAUAGGAAUAUAGAUAAAGCUGUAUUGUUGACAGCUGUGUAACUUACUUAACAGCUUGCUGCUAAUUAAUAGUAAAUAUUAUAGAGAUUCAAACCUAGCUUCAGCUUUCACAAUGGUGACAAGGGCUUCCCAAAAGCAAGCAGUAGAGGUACUCCCUAUGCCUUGCAGCUAAAGCAGUUGCAGAGAAGCAAGCAAAAGCCAAAAUAGUUGCCACAAAUGCACUAAUGAUAAGGCUGCAGAAUGAAGAAAAAUGACAAAACAUCAUUCAAAACUCAACACUAGUCACAGAAGCAACUGGCCAUUAAUCACAAAGCAAUUAACUCAACAAAUACCCCAAUCACAAAUCAAUCAUUUUCCCCUUUCCUAACAACAACUACUUUCUGGUUUCCUCAUUAAGUCCUUCUUUCCUUAUAAUUGACAAACUUGAUUCACUAAAUGCAUGCAAUCUACUCUUUAAAGGUUUAGUUUGAUUUCUCACAUUCAAUUAGUUUUUUGUGAUCUACUCACAAAACCUUAGAAUAUGCUUUCCCUGGUCACAAAGAGUUUGAAACAAUGUCCAUUUAUGUUAAUGAUGUUAUCCUAGUUAUAGGUCCAUCUUAUCUAAACCACAGGAUUGGUAAUUUGAGUAAAUUACGCAGUAAAACUACAAAACUGGAUCAAUCAAUAGAGAGAACCAUGCUCAAGUUGCAAUGAAUGAAGAUAAUACGAAGACAAUGCUAAUGGUACAUAGACUUCUUGCUUAUGAGUAAAUGGCUAAUGGUUCAUUGGAUAAAUGGAUAUUCAACAAGAACAAAGAGGAGUUUAUGUUGGAUUGGGAUACAAGGUAUAACAUAGCACUUGGAACAGCAAAAGGACUUGCUUAUCUACAUGAAGAUUGUGAGUCAAACAUUAUUCAUUGUGACAUCAAACCAGAAAACGUGCUCCUAGAUGAUAAUUUCAGGGUCAAGGUUUUUGAUUUUGGUUUGGCUAAGCUCAUGACACGUGAACAAAGGCAUGUGUUCGCAACACUUAGAGGCACUACAGUGUAUCUUGCACCUGAGUGGAUCACAAACUGUGCCAUAUCAGAGAAAAGUGAUGUUUAUAGCUAUGGUAUGGUGUUGGUAGAGAUCAUUAAGGGGAGGAAAAACUAUGAUCCCAGUGAAACUUCAGAGAAAUCCUAUUUCCCAUCUUUUGCUUUUAAGAUGGUGGAAGAAGGGAAUGUGACAGAGAUUCUUGACUCAAAGGUGGAAACUUAUGAAAAUGAUCAAAGGGUUCACAUUUCUGUGAAUGUUUCAUUGUGGUCCUAAUCAUAAAUAUUGCUCUAAUUAUAAAUAUUGCUUUAAGUAGAGACAUGGUCCUAAUCUCUUACAUAGACUAUGACAUCCUAAGCCUAGGAGUACCACCAAAGACAAACUUUAAGGCAAUCCUUACUUCUCAUAUAGUUUUUAUUUCAUUUUUAGUGAAUUCAAUUUAUAGUAACAGCUAACAAGGUUUUAGGCUAAGCAAUCCAAAACAAAAUGGGAUAAAUACCUUGGUCUUCAGAUUUCACCUCAAUAAACACAGCUGAUGCUUCACGUGGUUGCAACUUUUGAACCAUCUCUGCAGCUACUUCCUACAAGAAACAACACAGAUUAUAGACAAUUGUUAAAUAUAUAUUGUAGACAACUAUAUUGUGUACACAACUGUGUAGGUAAAAGGCUAUUUUGAGUGUGUGUGUGUGUGUGUGUUAGGUUGAGUGUGUAUACAACUUUAUGUGUUGUCAUGUUGAGUGUGUGGGAAGCUGAGUAUCUAAUCCUUAUCCAAAGGUAGCCUUCCCCUCUCUCUCUCUCUCUCUCUCUCUUUCUCUGUACUAUAUGUGUGUGUGUGUGUGUGUGUGUUAAUAAAAAGCUAAUGUAUGCUGAGUGUGACAAUUAUCUCCACUCAUUCAAAUUCAAGUUCUGGAGUAUCUCAAAUCCUUAAGCAAUGUAGUCCUAAAUUUUCAACAACAAUGAUGGGUAAAUAUUAGGAACUAGAAUUAAGUUAGGGCUGAAAUUAACAAUGGGGGGACAGCACAGAUGAUGAUAGCGUAAGUAUAGGAGCAGUAGAAAAAGCAAGGGAUUAUUUUGCACUGAUGAUGGAUAAGUAUGAGAUCGAGCCAUCGUGCAUAAGUAGAAGCACAAGUUUUUGGCAAUUGAACCAAAUGAAGGAAGAAAUCCAAGAAAAAGAAGCAAAGGAAGAAUCUCAGCAAAAGGAAGAAAAGAUGCUGCCAAACCCUACCUGGAAAACUCAAUCAGGUUGCUGCAAAAUCAAUUUGCAAAUCUGGACCUAUAGUUUUUAAGCCACAAACUGCAAAUAUCAUAAGAAAUUAUGCAACCUACAAGCAAAGGAGAAAUGGUAAGACUUUCAUUUUUAGUUGUUCAUGACUCAACUAAAGAAUCAGGAUGCAAAUUUGAUUACACAAAUUGAAUAUAUUUCAGAUUUAGAUCUAGACAGCUAUUCUCCUAUCCUCUAACAUCAAAGAUGUUUAUUCUUUAAGAAAAAGAACAGAAAAAAAGGAAGCGACAACGCCCAAUGCUCUCCCUUAUGUUGUUGGAGAGGCUUGUCUCUACCCAUGUUUACAGCAUGUAAAUUCACAUACCCCUCUUCAGUGACUAGGAAGUUUCUUUAACAACACAGAGAAACAGGUUGAGGAGAAAAGGGCCAAUUGCACCUGAGCAAAUGUUCUAUUCUGUUUGUUACUAUUAUACUUUUCUGAUGUGUAUUCGGUUUAGUAAUAUGUGUAUGAUAUCACAACAUGUCUAUAUUUAUCAAUGUUUCUUGUUGAGUUUGGAGGGAGUUAGGAGGGAAUAGCUUGAUUGAUAUUGCUUGUGGUGUACUGCUUUUUCAGAGCAUUUGGUUAUAAGUAUUUGAAACUAAAAAGGAAGCAUUUGGUUAUAAAGAAGAUAAAAAAAAUUGAAAAUAAAAAGGAAGAGUGCCAUUUAAGUGUUGAAAGCUUCCACAGUGUUGGGUUGUUUUUGGCAGGUAGGAAGAGAAGCAAGUUGCAACAAAUGAUAAUUGGGAGUAAAAAAUUCAAAAAGCAAACUCAAGAAACAUGUUCUAAAUCCUAUGUUAAACCGGAUAGCUCAUUCAUGAACUUGAUUUCAAACAUGAUCAAAGGAUGCUCACAAUCAACUCAAGAUGAGGAAAAGUCUUUGGCUCUUAACCUUGAAAAUCCUAAUCAUCAUCUUCAACAGCCAGAUCAGAAACUUCUCAAGUGCAACAAGAAUAAAUAUUUAGAGCUAAAAAAUGCAGGGUUCAGAUCAAAUUUUUAGUCUAUGGUUGGUGCAAAAUUUAAGAAUGUUGGAACAAGAAUGUCUCAAGUCGGAAAGGCUUCUAAAGAUUUUGAGCCAGGUACCAAGGUACAUGGAAUUGAUGCCACUCCAAUAACCUUCUAUACAAAGAACAAUAGCCUUUACAGACAGUAUUUUCAAUCAAAUAAGUUUGAAAUAUCUGAAGGGAGAUUUGAUGCCUGUCCCCCAUUACAGUCGCAGAUAAGACCUAUAAAUUCUCUCAACAGUCAUCAACACUGGAAAAAUAACUCAACAGAGAAUGAAAAAUUGUUACAACUUGGAGCUAACUAAGGAGAAAGAAGGAAUGGCAUUACUAUCAUUACAUUCACCUUCAACUAAACAAAACAGAAAUGAUAAUGAGAAUGUCAAGUCUUGUGCAAUGUAUGAGAGUAAGGAAAUGUGUCAUAGAAGUGAUAAUGUGGAAGGUCUUUGGAUAAAUCGUUUUUUUUUUACCAAAGUCAACUUCCCCCUUGGUAGUUUUUGAUCACCUUAAUGAGAGAGGUGGUUCUGAAGUUCAUUCUGCGUCAAUAUAGAGGAUUCCACUAUCCUUAAGGAUGAUAAGGGAAAUCAAUAUCACACAGCAAAGAUGAAUAAGUUCAAAUCCUUUACAUAUUUCCCUGGAUUGAGAGCUGCAGGGCCAAUGGUGUCCAUGUUUGCAAGGAGAUUAGGUUCCAUAAAAAAGGAAGCAUUUGGUUAUAAGUAUAAACUGGAUAAUAAUUUAUUAGAGAUAAACUAACUAUAUCUUAAUUAACAAGUAUGAUAACAUAAAGUAUUAGCAAAGCUACAUACGAAUCAAGUGUUGCAGCCAAGGCACAACUUGAGGUAGCCAAAGCUAGAUAUACAACAGUUGUUUCAGAUUUAAUAGGUGUGAAAGAGGAGCUGUAAGCAUUGCACAAAGAACCUAUUUCCUUAGUGACUGAUAGAGAUGUAGCUAUUAAGAAAGCUGGAAAGUAGAUUACUUGCAGCUCAAAAGGUGAAUAUCAAACCAACCAUCAACUUCCAGCUAACAUGUGCUUAUUUAAAACUGUCAACGAAGUAUUGCAGCAUUAAUUUGAUAGAAAUUGAUCAAGAACAAUGAUUACACAGAUAACUUGGCAGUUUUGGCUUACACCAUAGCCAACAUUUUUUUUUCUUUUUUGGGACUUGGGUACAUGAAAAUUUAUGGGGAGGAAAAGUUGUUGCAUUCCAAGUUCAUGACAUAGCACAAGCCAUUUGAAAUGGUACUUAAAGUUACACAUGACAUGCCAAUGGGCCUCAUUUAGAUAAAUUUCUCAACAAACACUUAUAGGAAAAAAAAUAGGAGGUAAAAUGAAUGAAAUUUCUCCCUUAAGUGAAAAUCAACUUGUGCACCUAGCUUAUGGACAAAUUAGAUUAGGGAGCUUCUAAAAAAUUAAUGGGAGAAGUUUAAUUCAAUAAACCUCUUUAUUUUCUUAUCUUAUAAAUGCUUGUUAAAAAGUUUAUUCAAACUGGGCUUAAGUAGAUAAAAUUUGAUCCUACUAGUUGAAGUUAACCCUCAUUAACAGAGUCUACAAUUUUUGCUAAAUAAAGCUACAACUGAAACUACCAAGACAUGUUAAUUGUACCUCAGAGAAAGGAGAUUACUUGCAGUUCAAAAGGAGAUAGAGGCUGCAAAGCCUUCUGAAAAUUUGGCAAUAGCAGCAAUUAAAGCAUUGCAAGAAAAAAAGGGUUCAAAUAAAUAAUAAAAUUACAAACAUUGCUUUCAUUAGUUUCAAUCUGAAUCAUUCAUUCACAAAAUUCAGUUAAGAUUCGCUUUUCUUAAAAUCUCAUUUCUCCCUAGAUAUGCUUUGAUAUACAAGUGUGACUUCAAAGUAGGUUUAAGGGCAUGCAAAUACAUAUCCAAACCCACUCUCACUUCUGCAAAUUGGUAAAACCCAAACUCACUCAGCCAAAGCAUACUUCUCCAUCAAAAUCAGGGCAUUGGAUAUGAGUAGCCAUGGUUUAAAGAUUUAAUAGCCAUACCUAGAUAAAACACUCUGAUUGUAAACUUCUGGUGACUCAGAAAGAGUAUCACUAAUUCCUAUGGAUAACGAGUGUUGUCAACUUUCUGGUACCAUCUUCAAUUCCUAUGGAUAAAAAUAAAAUGCAUAUGCUUGUGAUAUUCUUUUUAGAGAAGAAUGUAUUAGGGCACAUUAACAUUAGGUAUGCAGUUUGUUGCUCAUACAGUUAUUCACAAAUCCAAGUCUCAUGCACAAAAAUCUGGAAUUCUCAUACAGUUUGCUGCUCGUAGAAGUUGAUUUAAACUCAAUUAGAUACAUACCUGGCAGCCACUUGUACCUUUUUGUGAAGAAACUAAUAUGGACUAGUAGGUCCAUACUAGAUCUUAGCCUAAUCGCACCCGCACGAUCAACUAUCCAAUGCCCUACGGGGUGCACCUUUUAUACAAGAACACAGUAAGGGUAAGGGAUAUUGCGUUAAAUAUAAAAUACCCUAGCCAUGUUUACUUCACUAAGUGUGCGAUAGAUGAAUGCAAUCAAAUAUUUAUACAGGAUUAGACGAAACAUACCUAGGUAAGGUGGCGAAGGAGAAGAAGCAGAGAGUUGUGACGAUGCUCAAGCUUAGAUGAAACGAUGCUUAGAUGGAGAACAAAGAGCUUCAAGGUAGAUGGAGAACAAAGAGCUUCAAGGUAGACGAAGAACAGAGACCUUAGAUGGAGAAGAAAAGAGAGCGAAAGCUUAGAUGGAGAAGAUGAGAGCGUGAGCCAUAUCUUAACUUAUCAAACGUUAACAUCGGUUUUGUGAAAACCUGAUGUUAACAAACUUAUGUUAACAAACCGAUGUUAACUAAUUAAUGUUAACAUCAGUUUUCCAAUAACUGAUGUUAAUGUCACUUCAUUAACAUCGGAUUUUCACAAAACCGAUGUUAACGGAUACACAGUAUUUACAAUUAUGCCACCGCGUUUACGUUAACAUCGGUUUUGUUAACAACCAAUGUUAAGCCGCCGAUGUUAAAUAUGCCUUUUGUAGUAGUGUUAAACUAGCUUAACUAUAAGCUACUAUUGAGGGUUUUCUCCUAGCUGCAUCAUUAGGGUUUUUUAGAUCCUAAGGCUUCCAUGUUUGUUUUUCCCAUGUGGUUGUGGCUCUACCUAAGCUGAUUUGCUGCCUUAAUUUGACACCUUCUACCCCGAUAUACAUAUUUAUAUAGUAGAAUACAUGAAAAUGCAAAAUUACAUAAAAUGAUUUUAUUCAAUAAACAUAAAAAAGCUCACGUGGGUAAAAUGUUAACAUUCCCGUUAAUCACAAAAUUAAAAACUUAUCAAUUGAGGGUAUGAAAACAUUUCCAACUCAAAACAAGGUUGUUCAAGUUUACCAAAGAACUCAAGUUAAGUAACAAAAUAAAAAAAGUAAAAUGACAUGUUUGGAACAUCAUGCAAUUAAAACAGAAACCCAUGCCCCAAUGUCACAUCCUAUCAUAGUAUUGUGUCCUAACAUCUUCCAGCACGAGGUUCCUUAAAGCAAUCCGCCUAGCCAUCUACUCUUAUGAACACAAGGUUAGAGAUCAUCACAUGAUCCAAACACAUACGGAGUGAGUUAUCACAUUCCUAAACAGGUAAAGAUAGCCAAAGGCUUAUAUAUAUAUAUAUAUAGUAUGAGUAUAACAAGUUCAAAUUAGAACAAUUCAUAUCACUUUAUCACUCUUUGCAUAACAUCACUUGUCCCAAGGAUUUAAUCAUAUUCCACACCUUCACAUUAAUCACGUGUUCAAAACAACAAAUCUCAAGUACAACAUAACAUCUCACACUCACACAAUUCAUUAUCCACCAUCACGUAGCAAGCCACAUGGAUCAUUACACAGGUGUUAUGCAACAGAUACACUAAGACUCACUUCUAUAUGCAAUAUGGUACUAUGUCAGUGAAAAACCUCAUCGGACGCUUAGGAGUACAUGACAAGACAGACCACAUACUGGUAAGUCAGGUCACUCUCACUAGGUAAAAUCAUAGGGAGACCAGUUAGGGUCACCCUGUUUUGCGAGAAUGCUCCAACCAUGUGGGAUCGACACAUGCUUAAAGGAGUACUCAAACUGGAUGUAUUUACCCCUAAGGCCAAGACUCCGAAGAGUCCGUCAGGACUUCUCCCUCCUGAUUCAGGUCUAACCCAUAAAACAUUUUAGCACGCAAACUCUAUCUAUAAACUAUACAAAACACACGACUCCUCAAUUGUUCUCAAAAUAAUUUGAACUCAUUGUGCUUCAAAGUGAUUCAACUCGUCGAGUUCCCACAGUGGACCCCAUCACAAUACUCGUCGCACAUUUACUCGUCGCCCUUAAAGGGUCUUAAAAUCGUGUGAUUUUACAGUUCAUAGCUCAGACCUCAAUGCACACAACAUCUCAAUACAUGUGUGAUCUCUCAAUUUAACACAUACUCAACUUAUCACAUACACUCAAUCUCAAUCACAAUGUUAUAAUCUCAAAGCAACAUGUUAUCACACCUUACAAAUCAUAUACAUAUCACAUAAUAUUAAUAUAUACAUGGCACAAACACAUACUUUACCUAUAAACUAUGCAAUACACACAACUACUCAAUUUUUUUUAAAAUCAUUUUAACUCGUCGCACCUCAAAGUGAUUCAACUCAUCGGAUUCCUACAGUGGAUCCCAUCACAAUACUCGUCUCACAAAAACUCGUCGCCAUUAAAGGGUCUUACAAUUGUGUGAUUGCACAAUUCAUAGCUUACAACUCGAUACAUACAAUAUCUCAAUAAACAUGUAUCUUGCAAUUCAUCACAUAUUCAAUUUAUCACUUACACAAUAUUUCAAUCACAAAUUCACGAUCCUAAUAUAACAAUUUAUCACACUAAUCUAGUAAAUCUUGUUCAAAACACAAACAAAUUAUACAAAAAUGUUUCUCGCAACAUGGGAGAAAAACCCCUCGAACAAUUUCACAUACUCAUAUAAAAAUAAAAGGAAUCAAAAUCAUAGGUCAAAAACAUAAAAACACCAACAACACUCAAUUUUAUCAACCAAUUCACAUCAGGGCAUCAAUUGGUCCAUCAAACAAAAUAAUAUCAUAAUUAUAAUUGUAAAGGAAGAUAUACAAUACAGUAAACAUCCCAAAAUAAACUCUAAUUUGAUCCUCUAAGAUCCCUACACAUGUUCAUUCUAACCCAAUUGCGAUAAACCCAUCAUUUACCUCUAAGCGGGCUCACUGCAUAGUCCGACAGUGAUAACAGGGUCUCUAGUGAUUCUGUAAGAUUCCUGAAGCUUUUCUUUUGGUUUCUCUGCUAGGUUUUCCAAGCAUUAGAGAGAAGGAAAAGGGAUUGGAGUCUCAAUUUCACUGUCUCUGUGAGAGCGGUAUGUCUCUCUAAAAACAUUAUAUCCCAAAUACCAACGGUGGAAAUGUGUGGAAAUGAGUUUCGGAGGGGGUGUCCAAAUUUCUUAAUGAUCCAACGGUUAAAGAGUCUGAGAUCAUAGUUUUACUGAGACAUGUUUGAGUGUAUACGAGAAAAAGAAAGAGUUUUGAGAGAGGAAGAAGGGAAAACGAAUUUGAGAGGAAGAAAGAGCGUAAGGACAUAUCAUAAAUGUAAAAACUGACCUAAUAUAUCUCUAUGUAUAAUUAGGGUACUUUCAGCCUAUUAUUUACUCUAUUUUUCUUUAUUUUAUUAUUUUAUAAAAAUGAACUUUAUUUUACUUUCAUUGAAUAAAAUAACCAGUUAAAACAUUCCUUUAUUUUCUAAAACAUCAUUUAACUCUAUUUAUUUUCUAAUACUAUGAAACUCUUAUUUUAAUUAACAAAAACCCUUUUUCUCUCAUUUAUUUAAUUUCUAAAAACUCUAUUAAUUUUUAAAUAAAUUUCUUUUUAUUUAUUUGACAAAAAAAUGGGGUGUUACACCUAAUAUCAUAUUUAUGCCUAUUUGGUACUUAUGAAAACGACAUCAAAUGGAUCAUGGAAAGAACCUUGACCUCAUUGAUGAGGAAAAGGACAUAUUAGAGUUGUCAGAACAGGAGGAAACAAGUCAACUGGAUAAAAAGGAUGUGGAAGGCUAUUAGCUCGUUGGCAAAUUCUUGAAGCAUGGAUCGAUGAACGUAAGGGUUUUCAAAGCCACAAUGGCCCAAGCAUGGAAAAUGAAGGGAGGACUAGAGGUGAGAGUUGUGGAGAAGAAUCUUUUCACCUAUUGUUUUUCCAGAAGAAAGCAGAGACAUGGUUAUGAGGCUGGCUACAUGGAAUUUUGAUAGGAAGCUAGUGGUUCUAAGUGAUCUUGAUCAAGACAAAAGCCCUAGCAUGGUUUAUCUAAAUUGUUGCCCAUUCUGGGUAAGGAUUUAUGAUUUGCCCCUUAACCUGAGGGUCAAAAGAGUGGCUCAAACAAUUGCAAACACCAUACCCCAAUUUAUGGAGUGGAAUAAGAAUGAGCAGAAUCGGUUGGGUCGCUUUGUAAGAGUGUGAAACCUCAUGGAUGUUAUAAAAUCUCUACGGAGGGGAACACAAUUGAAACAAUGGACGUUGCUACGCAACCUCACCGAGAGACAUAAAUUCCUUAGCUGAAAUUGAUGUGGGCUUGGGAGCCCAUGAGCAAUUUGAUCUUUGUGGAGACUUCUUUCUGAUGAAGGUCUUGACUUGGUGUUCUUUAUGGAAACCAAGAAAAAGGUUACUGAACUGAAUGGUUUGAGAUAAGGGGUUAAAAAUAUGAUAAGGGGGGUUGGUUUUGUUGUGGGGUGACUACAUUGAGGUUGAUAUCAUCUUUUCUCCCAAAACCAUAUUGACGUGUGAAUUUUUGUCCAUUCUCAACAAAAAAAAAAAGAUUCCAAUUCUCAAGUGUGUAUGGCUUUCCUGAGGGGUCUCACAAACACUUCACCUAAAAUUUUAUCUGAGAUUUACAACAUGAGAAUGAAUCCCCUGGGUUAUGUCUAGGGGAUUUUAACAAAGUUCAAAGCCCAAAUGAAAAGAUUGGGGAAAUCCAGUGUGUAUGAGUCAGGUAAAAAAUUUCAAUGACACUCUUAAUGAUGUUAGCCUAAGUGACUUGGGGUAUUUGAGCUAUAAAUUUAUUUGGACAAAUAGAUGGAAAAAAGCCCAACAACAUACAAGAAUGCUUAGAUAGAGUAGUUGAUGAUGCUUAGUGGAGGAGUUGGAGGAAAGAAAUGUUAGGUGUACCAUCUGUCUAGAUUCGAGUCGGACCAUUGCUUGAUCUUUGUUUAAUUCUUGGUGCAAAAAAGGAGGAGGAAAAGAAGGGCAAACAUCUAUCAUUUUGAGCAAAUAUGGUUAAAGGAUAUGAUUUAUGGUAUCUUAGAAAUAGAGGCAAAGCAAAAUGAUCUCCUCCUCAAAGAAGAGUUUUACUGGUCCAAAAGGUCCAGAGCAACAUGGUUGGUCCAAAAGAAACAAAACCAAUACCAUUGAGAAGGUUAAGGAUGGCAAUGGUGACUUCAAAGAUGAUGAGAAAAGAAUUGCAGGUAUUCUAAAUAAUUAUUUCUCCACUAUAUUUUCUUUAUUAGUAACAACUGGGUGCAUGAGGUAUCCUACAUGGUUGGAAUACGAUUAUAUGAUUAAAUGAUAAAUAUUUUAAAUGGAAAGUUUAGUGGGGAGGAAGUGGAGUAAGCAUUCUUUCAAAUGCACCCAACAAAUGCUCUAGGCCUUGAUGGCACCCCUACAUUAUUCUAUCAACAAUUUUGGGACCUUGUUGGUCUAGAUGUCAAGAGGUUGGUGUUAAAUAACUUUAAUGAUGAAGGAGACCCAACCACAAUAAACAAAACAUUGAUUGCACUCAUCCAAAAAGUUAAAAGACCCACAAAUGCAAUUAGAUUUAGACUAAUUAGUCUUUGUAUUAAUGUCAUCUUCAAAAUUGUUAAAGACUAUGGCUAACAGUUGAUGAUGGUUCUUCCUUCCAUGCUCUUAUUGCUUUUGAAUGCUUCCACUAUACGAAGAAUAAGAGAAGUGGAGAUGGAUUUAUUUGAUCAAGGCCAUUUGCAUGGUCUAAAGAUAUGUAUUUCUGCUCCUAUUAUUUCACACUUGUUCUUUGCAAAUGACAACAUUAUUUUUACAAGGCAACACUAGAGGAGGCAAUGUGUCUAGUAAGUAUUCUAAAGACUUAUGAGGGUGCUUCUAGACAGAAAAUUAACCUAGAUAAAUUAGAGCUCUCGUGUAGUUGAAAUGCACCUAGUACUAGAAUUGAUGAACUAACAAUGCUUCUUGGAGAAAAGGCGGUGGAGACCUAUGUGAAAUAUUUGGGUCUUCCUACGUUGAUAGCAAAAUCCGAAACCUAAGUUUUCAAAUUUGUCCGAGAUUGGGUCUGGAAAAAACUCAAAGGUUGGAAGGAGAAGGUUUUGUCAAAGGCGGGGAGAAAAGUGUUGAUAAAAUCUAUGGUUCAAUCUAUACAACCUAUGCCAUGGGUUAUUUCUUCUUGCCACUUUCCACUUGUAGAAAGAUAGAAAGUCUCACAACCCAUUUCUAUCGAGGGAGGGGAUGUUGAUGGGAAGAAGAUCCAUUGGAUGAGCUGGAAAAAUUGACUAGAAAUAGGAACCAUGGAGGGCUUAGAUUCAGAUUUGUUAAAUCCUUCAAUCUAGCCUUACUAGCGAAACAAUAGUGGAUACUCAUUUUCCACCCAGACUCCUUAGUGGACUUUUUUUUUACCAAACAAAGUGAUUUUGUAAAAUUAUAUAGCAAAUUUGGUAUUUUCAAAAACUAUUUAUCAAAUAUGAGUAAUUUUGACUUUUGACAUCAGUUAUAAUUAAUCACCUAUUUCUGGUAAAUAGUUUUCAAAAUCACCUAGUUUGGUAUAUAGUUUUACAAGAGCUAGUUUGUUAAAAAAAAAAGUCUUCCUUAAUAUGGCUAGGGUUUAUAAGGCAUGUUACUUUCCUUCCAAGUGCAUCCUUGAGGCCACGAAAGGUUCUGAUAGUAGCUAUAUGUGGAGUAGCUUACAAAAAGCAAAGGGGAUAAUUGAAUAUAAGGUUGCAUCUGGAGUUUUCGAGAUGGUUUGAUGACCUCAAUAAAAAAUGACACAUGGAUGCCGUGUGUGCCCGGAGGAAAGAUUCCACUUUUUGAAUAUGUGGAUAUUCCUGAUGAAAUGAAAGUUUCGGAGUUCAUUAAUGUUGAGUCGGAUUGCUAGAAUACUUAAACUUUAAAAUUAACAAAAUUAAGACUAUAAUAUUAUUAUUUACUUUUUAAUAUCGACAUUGUUUAACAAUUGUCUAAAAAUUUUACCUAAUUUUUUAUAAUAUAAAGUAGGAAACUUUUGACGUGCUUUUUUCCUCUUGAAAUAAGGGUAUUUUCAACAAUUUUUUUAUAGUUAUUUCAUUAUUUCAUUUAUUUUUUUUGGUGAAUCUUUUAUAUAAUACAAAAUAAGAAAGUUUUGGUGCACUUUUUUCCACCCAAAAUAAGAAUAUUUUUGACAAUUUUUUUGGUUACUUAUUUUUUAGUUAUAUUUUUGGUGGAUGAAUAAAACUGAAACAUUUAAUAGAAAAUGAGUUUUAAAUGCAUAUUUAUUUAUUAGGUAUUGAAAGAAAGAUAAUAGGUUCUAAAUGAGUUUUAAAGCGUAUUAAUAAGUAUUUAAAUUCAUUCAUUGGUUUAUUAUAUUUAUAGAGAUUUAUAAUAUCUAUGAAAAUAACGGCUAGGUGCAUUGGGUCCAUGUUUUGUUAGAGGCUAAACAUGCUUUAGUUAAGUAUCUCUUUGGAACUUCAAAAUUUUACAUGUCUUUGAUGUUGUUCUUGAUUGUAUUUAUCACGUCAUAAGGGUGAAUUUAACUUCUUCAAAAGCUUUUAGACUUUAAUAAUAUUUUCAUUAAUGAAAAAACUAUUAUAUUUUUUUAAAUUGGAAUUUAAAAAUAAGAAUAUCAUAUAUUUUAAAAAUAUUAUUUAAAAUUAAUAAGAAAGUUUUGACACACUUUUUUUCACCUAAAAUAGGUAUACUUUAGACAAUUUUUUUGGUUAUUUCAUUUUUCUUUUAUUUUUUGAUAAAUAAAAAGAGAGACAUUUAAUAGAAAAUGAGUUUUAAAUGGAUGUUUAUUUAUUAGGUAUUGAAAGAAAGAUAAUAGAUAUUAUUGAUGUCAUUAAUGAAUAUUUAAUUUGAAUUCAUCCAUCAAAAUAAUAUGAAGUGCAUUGGAUUCAUGUUUUGCGGGAGUCUAAACAAGUUGUUGAUGUUUUAACUAAGUAUGAGCUGGAUCUUUAGAAUGCUAAGCAAGUCUUUCAUGUUGUUCUUUUACUGUAUUUAUCAUGUCAUAAGGGUGAAUUUAGGUUGCAUUAGUUUUUUUAUAGGCUUAUAACCUUUAAUAAUAUCUAUCAUUAAAAAAAUAUCAUGUUUAUAAAUUUGCAUUUGAAAAUUAAUAAUAUCAAAUUUAAAAGAUAAAAAAGAACUAAAGGUAUUAAUCUGUCAUUAUAGAAUCAUUUAUCAAUUGUAAUUAUAUAUUACCCUAGCUUGAUGGAAGAGAGCUAUGAAGGAAAAUGAAAAUAGUGGUAGCUUGAUCACCCAUUUACAUUACCCUUAUGUUUUAUUGUCAUUGGAGAAUACUUUAAAAAUUAAUAUUUGAGAAUAAUGUCUAUUGAAUGUCUCAUAUAGGAAUAGAGUGAUGUUUAUUAGUGUCCUGUAAUUCUUUUUCUUAAACAAAUCAUUUUGCUUAACUUGCUAAGUAGCUUUAAAUGAUUUAGCUUUUUCCACUUGAAGAAUUAUUCAAGAUUAGAAGAUUUAAGAGGAUUGAAAUAAUACUAAGAUUCUAGCUCAUUGAAUGGAGAAAAAUAAUUUUUGUUGCCAAGAUGUUGCCAAGUAUCACCAAAAAAACCCAACUAGCUUGUUUUUAUUGUUGUUUCCAAACCCUGCACAUCAACUGCUUAUGUUUUUGUCCUUAUGAACUAUGUUUUGUUUAGCCAUCUAAAUUUAGAAAUGAACUUUCUUUUUUGCAACCUUUUCUUAAUAACAAAAGCACCCUUGCCUAGUUGUUAAAUUUACACAAAAGUCUAGUACAAACAAAUCGUUGAGGAUACGAUCUUUGUACUUUGAAAAUACUACAUAGAUUGGUAUGCUUAUCGAUGAUGUAACAAAGCCCCACCCCCAUGGUGGCUCCUCUCCUUGUGCCGCCUACAUCAAGCCCUCCCUUGCCUCUGGAAGCCACCACCACCUUGUCAUGUGCAAAGGCUACGAGUACGACUUCCACCCAGCCACCACCAAUUAAUUAAUGAUAUUUGAUUAUAGAAGUCAUUUUAAAAAUAUUUGCAAAAUAUAUACAUUAAAAUUUAAAUACGGUUAUAAUUUAUCCAAUAUAAAAAUUUUGGGCAUCACACAGGUACAAGAACUAGAACAAUAAUAAAAGUCAGUAGUUGACAACAUCAAUCCACUAAUUUAAGAUGAGAGAGAUGAUACCUACAAAUAUACUUUUAAAAAUUGAAUUUAUAUUUAUAAAAUUAAGAAAAAAAGACAUGCAUAUUUAAUUGGGUUAAAAAGUAAAGAGAAAAAAGAUAUUUCAUUAGGACAUACUAUUGGGUGGAUUUUACAAUAAACCCACUCAACAAAUUGUUCACCAGUAAACUAAUAAUUACAACCAUUAAAUAUAUUUUAAAAAAAAUAAAUUAUUCAAAUUCAGAAUUAUAGUUAAUUUAUCUAGUUAGUUAAAUUUAAUUAUUCUUAUAAUCCAAUUAGAACACCACCAUUUCUCUGAAGAGAAGACCACACCACCGUGAACACUAUCAUACUCUCACUUACUGAAAUCAAAACAAAACACCACUAUCUUCUUUGUCUCAACAAAAAUCAAAACCAAACAAAAUUUGAUUUAGGAAUUUCUUGUUUAUUCAACAAGCACAAUCAAAAUCAAAAUCAAAUCAUCAGCAAAUACAAUCUUAUAAUCAAAAUCAAAUCAUCUACAUAUGUUGUGGGGUGUGUGUGGGGUGAUGUGAGGUAUUUACGGUAUGGUUUGGCUUCAUUUUUGAUUGAAAAGUCAUUUGAGUCAAACAUAAAAAUUUAAUGUUUUCAGUUUGGUUUGGUUUGAAUAUAAUAUCAAAUUCAAAUCAAAUCAAACCAAUCUUUUGUUGUCUGAUUUGGAUUGAUUUUUGUGAUUUUUAAUAUUUUUAAUUUUAUCUUUAUAUGACCUUUAAAAAUAUUUAAUUUAACUAACAAAAAAAAAUUGACACUAAAACUAUCAAACAUUCAAAACCUUAUUUAGACACUAUAGCCCAAUAGUAGCUAAUAGCUUGGUAUACAUUUAAAAAUUUGAUGUAUUUUGACUUCUUGUAGAUAAAUUAUAUGAAGUAUAAACUAAUGCUCUAGUCAAAACAGUAGUUAAGCUCAAAUUACACUUAAAAAUAUUUGUUUUUAUUUUUUAAGUGAUUUUUAGUUUUUAUUUUAGAUCGGAUUGGAUUUGAGCACCCUUAAAAAUGACAUUACUUUACAAAAAAAUGGCGACAAAACGUCACUUUUUAGAAACACAUCAACACUUGGUUAUGCAUUUAAAGGAUUGGUAAAAUGCACAAAAAUUAGGAAAAACAUAAUAGUAUAAUUUGUGGGAAAAAAACUUGAGUUAUAAAAUUCCCAAAAUAAUAAUAGCUAAGUGGUAAAAUGUACACUCAAGCCAUAAAAAUAUAAUAUAAAACUUACCUAGAAAAGUGAUACAAAGAUGUAAAAAUGAUUAAUCCUUUAAUUUAUUCAAAUAAAGAACUUUAUUUCAAAACCAACAUAUUAUGGGAAGAUAUCAGUUGGAGUUGCUACUUUCCUCCUUUCCUUAUUAAUGCAUAUCUCUGGGUGCUUUUGCAUGACCAGGUGGUGCUCAACUCUAGGUCCAUUGUGCCAAAUGUCACCCAACAGGUCCUUGUUAUUACUUGUUCAAGUGCCUUUCUAAGUGCCCUUGUCAGGACCGGGUACUACACAUGCCCCUAAGCUCUAAGGCAUGUGAUAACGACUGUUGAAUCGCUUCAAAACAAAUAAAACUAAGAAAUUUUGUAAUACAUGAGUAACCUAGGCCAACUCAGAAAUACGAUUCAAUUUGGUUUCUACUUCAAUUCACUAAUAAAGAGUAGGGAGAAUUUCAACAAAUAGUUUGAAGGCAAGGUAAAGGAUUGCGAAAACUCAAAAACAAAAUUGUAGAAACAAAACAAAUUUUUUGGAAACAAAAUAACAUAAUAUGAAUCAAGUUUAAUAGCAUCAAUCUAAUUCACCAAACCAAUGCAAAUCGAAUCAUCAUAGUUUUGCAGAGAAUGAUCAUGUUGUGAAAGUUCAAUCAAUGUCAUUAGAGUUAGUUCAAUCAAAUUAAUUUCUAAAUUCAUUGAGAUCGCAAAUUAGGGUGGAGUAUCAUCCAAACAAUUUUUUAUUAAAUUUCAAAAUUAGGAAAUGAAUACAUUACCUAAUUCGUUUUCAAUCCUAAUCAUAUUCAUAAUCAUGAAAAUUUAAAAUAGGAUUGAAGAAACAUAUGAACAUUCACACAAAAUAGAAGUACUAAACCAGAAUUCAAAUUUAGCCUUGCUUGGAGUGGAUCCUAGGAUUGAUUGAGUGUUUUACCUUUCAUGAUCAUCGCCAAUGGAAGAUUCAUGAAAUUUUUGCAAGAAAAAGGAAGAAUAAAAGUGAAAAGAGGAAGAAGAAUGAACAACAAUUGAGAGAAAGAGAUAAAAGAGUUUGAUCUUAAAGCUUGCACAACAAGUAACUAAAUUUGUUUUUGUACAAAAUGAAGUAACUAACUCACUAACUAAAUAAAUUCUACUAAUAUAUAUAGUUACUACUCAGAAGGAAGGGAUGGGUUUUGAUUAGGCUCAUCUAAUCUACCUAAUUAAACUAAUUACACAAAGCACAGUCCAAAUUCGCAACCUAAUUAUUCAAGUGUAGAGGUUCUGACUUCCAAACUUAAUUUGACCCUCGAAAUAGUAGAAUUGGCCCAAGCUUAUUUCUGACAAAAUUGAAUCUCUCUUUCUUAGCUUUCUAGGGACUACUCACAUGCUCCAUUUGGAGUUAUGUAGUGCCUGAUAGACCUUGCACAAGAUAGAUAGGUCAAGUAAGUAAAAAAAAUCCAAAAAUAAGCCACAAUUAUCAAUUAAGCUCAAUCAUUUGCCUAAGACCAAAACUGAGUUAAGAUAGGAAAAUAGGAGUCAAAGAGAGAGGUAAUGUCAUAUGAGUAGAAGUAUUUGGUCCUAGGUCCUUUAAGCUAAGUGCUAUCGGUAGGUCUUGAUUUUGAACUUUUGGAAGUUGCAUUUCUCUAAUAUACCCUUUUUGCAUUCAAAAUCAAUUUUGAUUGAAAGUAUUAAACAAAAUUGAUGAAAAAUCACUUUAAUUGUAGUUACUCCAAGGCUGGAAAGAGUUACCUACAUACGGACUAACCCUUAAAGCUAAGUUAAGCAUUGUAGAGUGAAACAACCAAGAUGUGGCUCUUAAGCAGUUGUGAUCUUGCAUUGACUAGCGAUGCGGCCUAAGUUGUGGUUAUAAAGCUUAGACAAUCUUCAUCUUACAAGAGACUUUAUGGUGUUGAAUUAGGUUAAAAAGCCCAAAUUCUAAAAAUAAUUUCCAUAAAAAUCAUGUUUUCGAUAUCGGAUAUUGUAAAAAAAAAAAAGUUAAAACUAUUGUGCAUUUUGUUCUCUUCUGAACAUACAUAAACAACAUUCUUCCAAUUUAAAAAUAAGAUGUUGUCACGUGAUAUGUGAGGAAGGAAAUAUUACAAUUAGUUGAAACAACUGUGCAUUUUGUUCUUUUCUGAAUACACUUAAACGCCAUGAUUUUAAAUUGUGAUCACGGUUGUGGUUGCAAUUGUGGUGUGUCAGAAAAUCUUUACCCUCAAGGCCUAGACUUUGAUGAAUCCGUUAGGACCUCACCUUUGUUAUUCAGGUCCAAACCCUAAAACAAUUUUUGCAUGCAAACACUGCUCAUGAAUUAUACAAUACCCAUGACCUCACGCUUGUUCUCAAACACGUUUCACAUAUUGUGCUACAAUUUAACACUUCGAGUUCCUAACUUGGAACCCUACACUUUCCUUUUAACACUUUGUGCAUAAACAUUUUUCUCAAAGUAAACACCAAUCAGGUUAUUGUAUAAUUCACAACUCACAACACAAGUAUUGUCACAUCAAGUAUUAAUCACACACUUAUUCAUGACCAUAUCUCAUGUCCACAAUUUAACAUCUCACAAUGUCACAAUCCACCAUCACAUGUUUAUGUGUAUCUCACAAAUUAAUGCAUGUUUAACUUUGCACUUAUACUCAAUCUCAAUAACAAUGUUAUAAUCUCAAAUCAACAUGUUAUCUCACAAUUCAUCAUAUAUUCAAUUUAUCACUUAUACACAAUUUCAAUCACAAUUUCAUAAUCUCAAUAUAAUAAUUUAUCACGCUAAUCUAGUAAAUCUUGUCCAAAAUACAAACAAAUUAUACAAAAAUACUUUUCCCAACAUGGGGAGUAAAACCCCUCAAACAAUUUCACAUAACCAUAUCAAAAUCAAAGUAAUCAAAAUCAUAAGUCAAAAACACAAAAACACCAAGAGCACUCAAUUUUAUCAAUCACUUCCCAUCAGGACAUCAAUUGGUGUGUCAAACACAACAAUAUCGUAAUUAUAAUUGUAAAGGAAGAAUUAUAAUUCAAUAAACAUCCCAAAAUAAACCAUAAUUUAAUCCUCUAAAGAUCCAUACACAUGUUUAUUCUAAUCUCAAUUGCGAUAAACACAUCUCUUACCUCUAAGUGGGCUCACGUGUGUAGCCUGGCAGUGAUAGUCUAGUAGUUUCCUAAUUGCCAUAAACUCAUCACUUACACAAAUUUUGUCCGAGACAUUUGUACAAAAAUUAAAAAAAAUGGUGGUGAUGCAUGUUAAAAUACUAAAUGAGUUAACAUAUUGAAUGAAUAGUAUCACGCUAAAAUUUUAGAAGCAUUGAAAUGAGAAGGAAAAAUAUUUUGGGGUGGCCAAUUUCAUAUUUCAAAUAUUUUAGAAGGAUAAAAAAUAUAUUUUAUCCAAUAAUUAAGUUAUAUAUUUUUUAUUUAAUAAAAUAUUUUUUUAAUUUGUUAGAUAACUCUAGAAUUAGAUUUCUUCAAAAAAAAAACUUUAGAAUCAAAAGAUUUAAUGCAUAUAUGCAUAUAACACAAAUAUACCUUACCAAUGAAUAAGAAAAUUGAGCAUUGAUUUGGCCAAAUAAAAAGUAAUACAGAUUUGUUUUAACUGAAUUAGAUAUAAUAAACAACAAAAUUUAAAAAAGAAAUUUUUAUUCCAAAAAUAAGUCAAGCAUUAUCCAAAAUACUUGCAAGGGAAAAUUAAAUAUGAGAAAUAAUCAGUAAGAUUCUAUAUACAAUUAACAACAUGUAAUAAAUUAAUUUUUUUAGCUUUGGACAAAUGAUCUAUUUAAUUUUUUAUCUUCAUUUUUUGGUUUAUUUUGAUCUUAUCUUUUAGAAAUUUUAUUAUGAUCUUUUAUGUUCUGAAAAAGAAUCAAAAUGGUCCUUUCGUCAAUGCAAAGAUAACGUCGUUAAUGAAGUAAAGAUAUUAAUGGCUAAAAAUUAUCACAAAAUAUAAUUUCUUAUUUUCUUUAGCUUUCUCCUUCCCUUAUUCCCUUGAACCAAAAAAAUAAAAUAAAGAAUCAAAUAGGCCAUUUGAUCUUUUGUUUAAUAUACCUAAACAUGAAUCCAUUAAUUAAAUGAUUUGCAUAUCUGUUUGUCAAAUUUUGAACUUGCAUAAUAUUUUUUAAAUUAAAAAUAAAAACAAUAAGUGUUCCAAAAAUUUGUACUCAAUUUUUUUUAAUAUUUUCAUUGAACAUAAAAUAAAAGACAUAAAGAUUUUUUUCAAUGACUUACAUCAUUUAUCAAAAAAUGUUACCAUCUUCGCUCUAUCCAUUCUUUUAAGUAACCCCCUAUAAGAUAAAGAAAUUUAUCAUAAGCCUUUUUGCAUUUUAUUAUAAGCAUUAUAUAAUAGAUUGGAAAGAAAAUUCAUAAACAGAAUGAAAACCUAUAAUUAUUCUCAAUAUAAAGUAUAUUAGACAAGAUAAAUUUAAGUAUUGAAUUACCUUUCCUUAUAUAUUGUGAUAUACUUGUCUAUCAACCAUAUUAGAAGUAAUAUGAUCGAGUAUCUUGAUCUUCACCAUCUUUUACCAAAAUAUUUAACCCUUUUUUUAUGUAACUCUUGAUAUAGUAACAUAUAAUUGUCCAUGAAAAAAAUUGAGGCAAAAAUAAUCCAACAUGUUUUAAAGAUUGUUCUUGAAUCUUGUUGAUAGUCCUUGCAAAAGAAGUAGCCAAAUGAAAUUGCCUCGGUUGGAACUUGAAAAGGAUCCUUGCAUUAGAAGGAGUUAAUGAAAGUCUUGGAAUAAACACUUUGAGACCAAUGUUGCUUCCAAAUUUAACAUUUCCUUCUAGAACAUAUUCCCCAUUCGUGUGACAAUUAUUAGUCUAGUACCAUUACAUAAUCCUAAUGAUUGAUCAAUGUCAUUUGGAAGACCCGAAGCACUAAUAAUGUUUAAGAACUUUGGAGUAUGCACAUCAUCUGGCCUAUUAAUCUCUUCAUUUUCUGAUGAAGGAGUAUCUAAACUUAGAUUUUUCUUUCCUCCCCAAACAUCAAUGACAACAUGUAACAAUUUCAUUUUUUUGCUAAAACAACCUUGACUCUAAAAAAGGAUGAAUCAUGAAUAUUUUCUAAGAAAGAUGGAUAUAUAAGUAUUACUAACAAUGGAUUCAAGAGAGUUGGUGUCACUUCUAAGCAAAUCAUGGUAUGUGUGGUUUCCUAUAUUAUAUGUUUAAAAGGGACCAGUUUGGGGAUUGUAUUUUGUAUGUUUCUUCCUAAUACUGGUACCAAACAUAGUAAUUCAAAUUAAUUUUAGUGCACCCCUAAAUACCAUUUGGACAUUUACUUAAGUAGAAGAAGCUACCUAAGGAACAUAAUUUUUUUAAAAUUAGUUUAUUUUCUAUAGAUGAUAGUGGUAAAUAUUAUCAUGAGUUGUUUGAUGAUUGUCCAAAUGGAAAUCAAAAAGCUAUCUAGGAUGGAGGUGUUGGAAUUGUGUAAUUUUGUCACAUUGCAUUUUGGCAUAAUUACCAAUAGGUCUAUAGAUCUGAUAAUAACUUUUUUACUCAUUACUUGGUCAUUUUAGGUUCUCAAACACUUGGUUAGAUUCAUUGUUUUGGUUAAACUAAAAGAUAUUACUUUCAUUCUAAAAUGUUUGCUUUUUUGUCAUUUUAGGGACAUGUUUGACUGAAAUCUCCUAUCACUAGUGCAAAAUACACAUUUUAUAACAACUUUUUAAAUAAAAAUUGUUUUAAAAAAUAAUACGGUGGUACUUUCAUAAUUAAAAACAGUUUUUAGAUUGGUUAUAAGAGAACAGAUAUAAACCUAGAUUUUAAAUCGGUUAAAAAUGAAACCGAUAUGAAAGGUUAUCUUUUUAAACCAAUUCAAUUUAUAACUAAUGUAAUUAAAGGGUGUUUUUAGAUUAGUUAAUAAAGUAACUGAUGCUAUAAGACAAAAUUGAUUUUAAAAAGGAUGUUUUUAAAAUAAUCUAGGCAUUAAUUUCAUAUUAUUUUUUAGAUUAGUUAUAUAGGGAUCUAUCUUAAAAACUAAUCUAAUUUAAAAGAUAGUUACCAUUGAAGACCGGUUGAAAUCUAAUGUUAAAUGUCAAAGUUUUUAUAUUUCCUGCAUAGGCAUCGGUCGUACAACCAAUAUAAAAAGUCAUUUUUUAACCUAUGUAAAAAAGUGUUUCUUGUAAUAGUGUACCCUUUUUGUGCUCCUAUCAUGUAUAGAGAUUUUAAUAUCACUUACACGCAAUGAUGAAUCCAGAAAUUAAGUCGUGGGGGCAAUACACAUACAAAAUUUUGUUGCAUUAAAAAUAUUACAUGUUUUAUUUUUAAAAGUAUAAAUAUUCAUCGUAAUUGUUCUUUAUGAGUUUUUGUAUUCCAAAAAUAAUUGAUAAUUUUCUCAUUUUUCAUAUCAAAAUUUUUAUGAUAGUCAAGAUCUAUCAGUUGAUGAAGAAAAAAACCAUAAUAUAGCAUACUAACUACAACAAUAUACAUAUUUUGCACAAUUAGUUUUCAAAUUUGAGUGCAAUAAGCUUUUAGAUGGACAAAUAUCCUUAGAAUAUGAGUCUUAGACAACAAGGGAAAUUAGGAUUAAAAAAAUAUGUUGUUUGAUGAUAAAUAAGUAAAUGUUUAUGAAAGCGUUAGAAUGAUUAUCCUUUAAUUUAUACAUUUUGCACAAUUAGUUUUCAAAUUUGAGUGCAAUAAGCUUUUAGAUGUACAAAUAUCCUUAGAAUAUGAGUCUUAGACAACAAGGGAAAUUAGGAUUAAAAAAAUAUGUUGUUUGAUGAUAAAUAAGUAAAUGUUUAUGAAAGCGUUAGAAUGAUUAUCCUUUAAUUUAUACAUUUUUGCACAUUUGCUAGAUAAUAAAUAACUAAAUAAAUAAAAAUGUUUUUUUAAGAAAAAUAAAUAAAAAUAUUAAAUAUUGAAAAGUGGGAAUAAAAAUAAAAAAGAGAAUCCAAAUAUUUAUUGUUUACACAUUUUUAAUUUAUAUUAAGAUUGAAAUUAUAAUUAUAAAAUCAUAAUAUUAUAGGGGGGCAAAAUAGUACUAUAUAUUCCGUCCUUGCUUUCAUGUUGAUGAUUUCUCUCAAGCCAGCAACACUUACAUUGGAAAGUUGAGGUUAGUCUGAUCUUUCUGCUCUUGUUUCUUUAAAUAUUUGAACUAUUGGCUUGAUUUGUAAACAUUAAGUGCUUAUAAUGGCAAUUGAUUUAUUACUUGCUGCAAUAAUAUAACCGGAAUUUGUAUAUUUUUACUGCAUUGUGUUUGUAAAAUUUAAUUUACAUCAAAUUGUGAUUGUCUUUUUGUUGCAUUAUUACUUGAUCUGCUUCUUGUCCUUGUCAUUAGUGUGCAUAUUUCCUCUCUUGCAAGGUACCAUAUAUAGUGAUGUAUUGUGUUUAAAAAAACAGCUUAUGUUCCGCUGCAUAAUUUUAUGGUUUGCACCUUUAUUUGUUCUUUAUAUCAUGAAUUUAACAUGCUACAGCCUUGAUAGGGUGUGGUCCAACUUCAUGUAUUGAUUGUUAGAUGUAGUAGUCAAUACUAGAAAAUAGACUUUUAACAUCGAUUAUUUUUUACUUUCAACAUCGGUUUUUAUCUAAUGUUGAAACCAUCGACGUUAACAUUAUCCAUGUUAAUAUCAGUUUUCAAAAAAUCAAUGUUAACAUACACUACACAACAUCGAUGUUCACAAAAACUGAUGUCGUAUAAUAAGAAAUAUACAAAAACAGCAAAAACAACAUCGGUUUUGGUCAAAACCAAUGUUGUAAGAUGAAUAAAAACAUCGGUUUUGAAAAAAAACCGAUGUAGAAAUUAUUUUUACAACAUCGAUUUUGCUCAAAACUGAUGUUGAAUAUGCUUACGACAUUGGUUUUGGUCAAAACCGAUGUUGUAAGAGCACUUUCUACAUUGAUUUUAGACCAAUAGAUGUUGUUUUUUUUUUUUUGCAAAUUUUUAUAAUAUUUUGUUUGUUUUUACAAUGAACCAACCAUAACCAAUUUAUAAAAAAUAUAUUAAUUAUAAAUUAAAAUAUUUAAAAAUAUUAUUUUCAUUACAAUGUUACAUUACUUACAAUUUCAUAAUAUUAAUCUAGAUUUAUAAAAUUUAUUUUAAGAAAGCAAGAUAAUUUCUCUAAAGGUCAAUUGUCUCCAAGAAAAAUAAGACUGAUAUGAUAUCCUAAAUGUCUAGCUGCAAAGCUCUUAUAAAAUCCACAGAAGAGAUGAUAUGAAUAUGUAUAUAAAAGCUAAUAGAAUAAAUAUAAAUGUAUAAAUAUGUAUUACAUAGGAAGGAUGAUACCAAUUAAUUAAUAAAUAAAAAUAACUCUUAUUCCAAAUUAAAAAUAGAUAGAAAAGGUUUAAAGAAAGAAAUUACCUCUACAAGAGCAACAAAGGAUGUCAUCAUCAUGGCAAAGGCUUCACCUGCAUCAAAUGUAAGUGCUCCCCUUCGAAAUGGAUAAGGAACUCGUAUCCUACAAACACAAAAUACAUGUUGAAUACAUUCCCAUAAGCUUCAAGUCAUAAGGCUAUGACUAAAUAGUAAAUUAAUAGUGAAUAAUAAAUUAAUAUCUCAAGGAUGCAAUAGUCUUGCAUAAAAAUGUCAAUUAUGCCCAUGCUCUAAGCUUGAUUAUCAUAGGGAGUUCAACAUCAAUAACUUGAAAUAUUAUAAAGAGACAAACAAUUAAUCAAGAUCAAUAGCACUAAUUGCACAUGUGUUAUUAGAUUUUAAGGUUGAUACUAAGGAUAUAAAAACAAAAAAAAAUCAUAAAUUAAAAAGAGAAAUACUAGCUUUUAUAUUUUUAACAUAAUAUAUGUUUUUAGUUUAAUGAACAAAUUUAAAUUAAGUUGCAUCCUUGACAUCAAAACCCCUUAAAUUUACACAAUGUUUGGACUUAGGGUGGCUCAAAAGUUGGUAGAAGCUAGUUAAUUGGACUGUGUCAUUGCGCAGACUUUGAAUUCACUUUCACAACAAUGUAAUAGUCAAGUAUCUGAGUGUAGAUAGAAUAAUCACACCUUCAAAGGACCCUUUUCACUAGCUUUCUCUAGAAAGUCUCCUCCACCAAAAUCAACCUUUUUCCUUGGUUCAAAAUCAACCAUCUCUGUUUCGUGAGUGUGCAAAAUCAAAGUCCAAAAGUGAACAAUUAUGACAUUGAAUGACUAGAUUAUUUAUUUACUUUUCUUUUCUAAGUGUUUCUUUUAAGUCCACUAUGGACAUGGAACAUUGGGGGUGGGGGUGGACUGGCUUUUACUACUACCGGGUAAGUUCCAUUUAAACACUUAAAAUAUGAAUUUAGACUUUUCAAACUGUUCAGGACAACCACCAUGUUUUUUUUGCAUAAGUCACACUUUCAUGUACUAAAACAAGUCAUUUUAACUUCAUUCGCUCCCCAAACAUUAGGGAUUUCAUGUACUAACCACCUAGCACUAAAAAGAUGCAACUGUUGGUCAAGUGGCCUCAAUAAAUUAAGAGGAGGGUGAAUUAAGUUUCAAAAUUUCUCACUAACAAACUUUUAACCUGAUGAGGACAUGACCAAGAGCAAGGGCAAGGAUCCACUUGAUGGACUUGGAGGACCUAUGACAAGGGCUAGAGCAAGGAAAGCAAAAGAAGCUCUUCAACAACUAUUGUCCAUACUAUUUGAAUACAAGCCCAAGUUUCAAGGAGAAAAGUCCAAGGUUGGGAGUUGUAUCAUGGCCCAAAUGGAGGAGGACUAAAUGACACCACUUUGUCUCAAUUUUAGAGUGUUUAGUUUGUCUAAAUAAUGGCCCAAUCCUUGUAAAGUUGGCUGACCAAAAAUAUGUUUUGGGUUAAUCAACUAAAGGGGCUUUAGUUUGGUUUAAUUCAAGUUGUAAUAAGGGCCCAAUUGGCAACUUAGGCAUCAACCUUUGGGAGACCAAAUGGUGAUUGGCUUGAUGGCUUUUAGGGUGACUUUUGGUUGCCACAAUUUCAGUUACACUCAGCCAUUAAGUUCUUUUCAUUCCCUAUGUUAAUGGAUCAUUACUAAAUCUAAGUGGAUUGUAUUUUCCUUUAAUGAAACAUAUGUAAAAUCUGAUGGUAAAGCUUCUUUAUAUGCUGAACCAUUUUAUCAAUAAAGACAAGUUAAGUUUUAUUCAGAAAAAUUAGAGUUUAUCUCUUUUAUCUUAGUGAGAGUGAUUCUCCUAAGUUCUUGAGUGAUUCAAGAACACCCUGGCUAUAUCAAAGGAAGUUCACAUCCUUUGUGUGCUGCCCUCGCCGGAAUGAGUGAUUCUUUCCUUCCACCAUUUCAUCUUCAACCUUAUUCUUUCAAACCACAAUUCUCGAAAAUCCAAUUCUGCCCAAAAUUAUCUUGUGACAUAAUUCUUGUUCUACUUGCUCAAAUUAAGUGAUUCUUGAGCCUAAAUUGAAAUUCAAAACGAGAUCUUCCACCUCGUUUGGGAAUCACCUCAUUUGGAACUCUGUAGCUUGAGUUAUAGUCAUUUCUAUAUUUCUGUCCAGCCGUCACUUCACCUACAUUUUUACCAUCUCAUUCAUCCCUUUUAUGUCAAGAUCCACCUUAUUAAGGCCUAAGAAAUUAGCCACUGCCCAACCCUUGAAUCUUGCCAAUUUCCCAUCCUUUUCUUAAUCAAUUUCCAAAUUUUCCAUCAAGGUUUAAUCCUAGACGAUCUUAAGUCAGCCCUUGUGCAAUGAAGGUUCAUAUCAUAACCCCCUUCUAAAUGAUAGGCUCAGAAUGCAAAACAAGAAGCAACAAUCAAUUUAAUAAUGUUUUUUUAAACAUGCAAGACAAAAUUUAUUGUAAUAACAUAAAUGAGAUAAGGGAAGAGUGAAAUGCAAACUCAAUUUAUAUUGGUUCGGCCACUUCCAGUGCCUAUGUUCAGUUCUCAAGCAAUCCACUUGAGAUUUUCCACUAUCUGUGUAAAUCCUUUAUAGACUUUGAACACACCUUGAGAUCCCUCACCCUUGUGUUCAAAGAUUCUCAAGGAGACAAACCGUCUCUUGAUUACAACUGACUUUCUGAGAUGAACAGAAAGAUUUCUCUCCUUUAGAGUGGAUGAUACAAAUUGAAGAUCCUAAAGGAAUUUCUCUUUUUUAGAGAUGAUAAUACAAAUUGAAGUUCCUAGAUGAACUCUCAAUAGAUUUGCAAGUGUUUGCCCAACAGUUGUUGAGAGAGCAUUUGAUAAUUAAGUUCUCUUAGAAUAUCUCUCUCUUGUUUUUCGAAGUCAAACACACAUAUAUAUUGGCCCUUCGUGCCUUUUCAAAAUGGUUUGAAGAGAUGUGUCUUUUUAAAAAGUUUUUUCUAAAAUUCUUCACUGGUAAUCGAUUACUCAGUUAUGUUUUGAAGAGUCAUGUCUUUUCAAAGUGUUUUCUGAAGUGUCAUUGCUAGAAAUCGAUUACAAACAUCUGGUAAUCGAUUACAUGAUUCAAAAUUCAAAUUCAAAAUCCUUUUUAAAAGUUUUUUUUCAAAAUUGUCUUUUGGUAAUUGAUUACACUGCCUGGUAAUCGAUUACAGCUUUUAAGUUUCAUAUUCAAACUUUUCUGAAAGCUGUUAAAACUAUUUUUGCUUUUGGUAAUCUAUUACAGCCUCUGGUAAUCGAUUACCAGAGAGAAAUACAUAUUUUUCAAAAUGUAAUAUUUACUUCAAAACUUUAUAAGAUAUUUGAAAGCUUAAGUCUUUUAAGGCCAAACCUUUGCAACCUUUUUAAGAGAUUCUUUUAACAUAUAAAGGUUUAUCGUAAAUCGUUUCUCUUGAUUUCUUGAUCUUGACUUGAAUCAAUGUUGAAUAGCUUUAAUCUUUUGGCAUCAUCAAAAUCUUCAUACAACAUAUGCACUUACAAUAUCCCUUUUUUUGAUGAUGACAACAAUCUGAAAACAAGAUAAACGAUAUACGAUUUGUAAUGCUUGCACUCACUCUUACUCCACCUUAAAUUUGCAAUUUAUUGCCUAGUUUUUAGAUAAGAUCUACCCUAGUUUCUCUCCCCCUUUGGCAACAUCAAAAAGCCAAAAAGACUGGAGUAAAUAUCAAAGCCACAAAAUCUAGAGCAAGCAUCAUAACCAAAAAACCAAUCAUCCAUUGCAAAACAAAAACUAAAUAUCCAAAGCAAAGCAUAAAUCAAAUGCUAAAUAUCUAAAGCAAAGUAUAAACCAAAUGCUAAAUAUCCAAAGCAAAACACAAAAUUAACCAAAGUGCUAAAUAACUAAAGCCAAAUACAAGGCAAAAAGAGUAAAAAUGUCUAGAAAAUUAAGAACGUAAAAUACUAGAAAUGUCUAAGAAUCCGCAGGAGGAUCAAAGCAACGUUGAAUGAAGCUCAUGUCGUCUUCAAGACAUAUGAUAUGGGAGUCCAUGGCAUCAAAGCGAUCGUCGAUAAAAGCUCAAAGAUCCCGUAGCUCAAUGAGGACGUCAUUCAAUAAGGAGGAAGAGGUAUCUCGUUGCGGUGGUGGAGAGGGUGUGUGUUCAUCGAGAAUGGGAGGUGGCAGGUCUUGCUUAUGAACCCAUUGGCCAUCCAUAUCCUUCCAGUAUCCGAAAGAAGUAACAACACCAGCACCAAUAGCAAAAGAUCUUUUAACCUUAACAAAAGGCUCAUCCUCUAAAGGAACAUUGAAAUGUUGAAGAAACAAAGUAACAAGAUGAGGAUACAGAAAAUGUGCAUUGGCCAGUAAUGCCUUAUGCAUAUGGUACCAAACAAGAUGGGCCCAGUUAAUUUGGCAACCCGUUUGAAGAGCAAUAGCAAGAUUAAAUCCUACUCAGAGGCCUGAGCAAGAUUGGUGGACCGGGGAAGCAAGACUUGACAAAGGAUAUAAUGCAUGAUGCGACACUCAAAGGUGAAUGAGCCAGCAAGCAAUCUGUCGGUCAUAUCAGCAUGGUCAUUACAGAUCAUUUUACAAGCAUCAUGACUAGAAUAAACAUGUUUUCAAUCAUCAACUAGAGUGCCCUCAAAAGGAACACCCUGACUGCUUAGUUUAGUAAGAGAAUAAAAUAGAGAUUGAUCAACAACAAUAGGUAUUUGAUGCACCUCAGAGAAAAUGACUCCAUCCUGAAUUUUCAAAUUAUUAUAAAAGACUCUAACUAAUUCAGGAUAAUACAAAAAUGGCAUAGACAUAAACUCAACUAAUUCAAAAUUUUGAAACACUUGAUAGCAACCAAAGGUUUCCCCAUCAAAGAAUUUUACAUCUAAAUACUUAGGAUCGAGAAUGACACGAUUGGAGAAUUGGGAAUAGUACCUUUGAUGCUGGUCAUUAGAAGAAAACAAAGUUAAUGACCUGUGAGAUGAAAAAGAAGGAGGAUUUGGUGCUGGUGGGUCACCGGAUGUGUCGUGGCGACAUUGGCCUACAGCGGUGGUGGUGGAGGAGGAUCCCUUUCUCUUCUUUGAGGAUUCUGCCAUUUUGAGCUUGUUUCUGAAAAUUUUGAUCAGUGGGUUUUGUAGAGAAUUGAAAAAGAAGAAAUUUGAGCUUUGUUUGAAGUGAUUUGGACAAGAAACGAGAAAGUUAUGGAGAUUUGAAGUAUUGAGAAAAAGGGGCGCCGUCAAGGAGAGUGAAAGAAAAAAGGGCUGCACAAGGAGAGAGCAAAAUGCAGUAUUUAUAGACAGGGACGAGCUGUAAUCGAUUACAGCUCAUGGUAAUCGAUUACAGGCGUAACCUGUAACUGACCAAGCCCGCUGGUAAUCGAUUACAGCCUAUUGUAAUGGAUUACAGGGAGUGGUAAUCAAUUACCAGACCCUAAAAACAUGGAUUUUUCAUAAAAAUCUAACUAUUUUUCACUCACAAAACACACAUUUAGUAUAACAAUCAUCAACAACAAUCAACAAUCAAAAUAUACAAUCAAACCAAGUAUAAAAAAUUCUCAAACACAGACAUCAAAGAUAAUCAAAAUUUCAAGAACAAUCAUCAACAACAAUCAACAAUCAUCAUAACUAUCAAAACAUAAUUAUCAAAGACAAUCAAAACUCAAGUGAAAACAAUCAUUAAACCUCAAUCAACAAUAAUCAUUAAAAACAAACACAAUCAUCAAGGGCAAUCAAAAGUUUAACAAUCACAAGAAAAGAAAAUAAUAAACAAACAAAUUAAUUAUUUAUCUAAGUCAUUGAUAUCUAGGAGUCCUAAUUCUCUUCUAAUAGCAAAUAAGGUUUCUUUGGGGAGAGGUUUUGUAAAGAUAUCACCUAACUGAUUCUUUGUGUCAACGAAUUCUAGUACACAAUUCCCUUUUUGAACAUGAUCUCUCAAGAAAUGAUGCCUAAUCUCAAUAUGCUUGGUUCUCAAGUGUAGAACAGGAUUUUUGGAUAGGUUUAUUGCACUCGUGUUAUCACAUCGAAUGAGAAUAUGAUUAAGAAUUAAUUCAUAGUUAGAAAGUUAUUGUUUCAUCCAAAGUAUUUGUGCACAACAACUGCCAGCAGAAAUAUAUUCCGCCUCAGCAGUGGAUAAAACAACACUAUUUUAUUUCUUACUAUGCCAUGAAACUAGAGCAGAGCCAAUGAAAUGACAGGUUCCACUAAUGCUCUUUCUAUUAGUUUUGCAACCGACAAAAUCAGAAUAAGAGUAUCUUAUUAGAUUACAAGUGGAACUUUUAGGAUACCAUAAUUCUAAAUUAAUAGUGCCUAAUAGAUAUCUCAUGAUUCUUUUAACUACACUAAGGUGAGAUUCUUUGGGAUUUGCUUGAAAUCGUGCACACAUACAAAUACUAAACAUUAUAUCAGGUCUACUUGCAGAUAAAUAAAGAAGAGAUCUGAUCAUACCUCUAUAUUUCUUUAUGUCUAUUGACUGAUCGGUUUCAUCUUUAUCCAGAUAGCAAGCAGUACUCAUUGGAGUAGUCAUAUGUUUAGCAUUUUCCAUCCCAAAUCCAUCAUUGACAUUCCAAAUUCAUUUUGCAUAUCUUGAGAGAAUUCCCUUUAGAUAUGUCACCGAUAAUGUUAUCAAGAGGGUGGUAUCUAGAAGUUCUCCACCCUUUUGGAAGAUAUGCACUUGAUUUUGUUUCAUCAAUUUGAAAGUCUUCAUCAUUUCCUUUUCCUUUGCCUUUGUGAUCUUCACCAUGAAUAUGCAUUCCUUCUAAAGAAUUUGAAAUAUCAUCUAGAGUAUCUUUUCUUGGCAAAAUUAGGUUAGUUUCAUCAAAAGCAACAUGGAUAGAUUCUUCAAUGAUCAUAGUUUUUUUGUUAUAAAUUCUAAAUGCUUUACUGUGCAAGGAAUAUACCUUCAUUAGAUUUUGCAUCAAACUUACCAAGUUGUCUUUGCCGUUGUUUAGCACAAAACAUUUACAUCCAAACACAUGAAGAUGAGAAAUGUUCGGUUUUCUAUCGUUGUAUAAUUCAUAUGGAGUUUUCUUUAAGAUUGGUCUAAUUAAAGCUCUAUUCAUAAUAUAGCAUGCAAUAUUUACAACUUCAGCCCAAAAAUAUUUAGGAAGGAUUGUAUCAUUAAGCAAAGUUCUGGCUAUCUUUUUUAAAAAUCUAUUUUUCCUCUAAACUACUCCAUUUUGUUGAGGGGUUCUAGGUGCAGAAAAAUUAUGUUCAAUGUCAUUUUCAUCACAAAAUGAUUCAAAAUCCUUAUUUUCAAAUUCUCCUCCAUGAUCACUCCUAAUUUUGAGAUUUUUCUUAUUUUGAAUAAUUUUAGCAAGUUUCUUGAAAGCAUGAAAAACAUCUCUUUUAUGAGUGAGAAAUAAUGUCCGUGUAAAUCUGGAGUAAUCAUCAACUAUAACAAGAGGAUAGUAGUUUCCUCCAAAACUCAUAGUUCUAGAGGGACCAAAAAGAUCCAUAUGCAAAAGUUGUAAGGGUUGAGUUGUAGAUACAAUAUUCUUUGAUUUGAAAGAAACCCUUACUUGUUUUCCUUUAUGACAAGCAUCACAUAAUCUAUCUUUUUCAAAUUUAGGUUUUUGUAAACCAAUAACUAAAUCUUUAGAAAUUAGUUUAUUUAAAUGUUUCAUGUUUAUAUGGGCAAUUCUUUUAUGCCAUAACCAAGGAUCAUCAUCUUUACUAAGAAAACAUUGAUCAUGAUUUAGUGUUCUAUCUAAAUUUAUCAUGUAAACAUUAUUUGAUCUAUAGCCUAUAUGUUUUAUAUUUCUAUCAUGUUUGUUUUCAAUAACACAAUUAUGAGAGUCAAAUAAUACUAGAUAAUCUUUAUCACAUAAUUGACUAAAACAUAGUAAAUUGUGCUUAAGACCAUUAACAAGUAGAACAUUUUCAAUGGAGGUAGAUGAAUUCGUACCUAUUUUUCCAACUCCAAGGAUUAUACCUUUAUUGUUGUCGCCAUAAGUCACAUGUCCACUAUUCUUGGGAGAAAUAUGAGUGAACUUUGAUGCAUCUCCCGUCAUGUGUUUAGAGCAUCCACUAUCUAUGUACCAACUCUUCUUCAAAGAAACCUCUUCAUCGCUUUCAUAAUUUUUGGCCAUUAGACUCAGAUUUAUAACUUCAUUUUCUGAAUCUUCGGAUGAAUGUUGUCUUCCUAAGUGAUGUAUGCCUUCUUUGCUUUCUUAUCAUUGAAGGUUUUCUUUUAAGAUCUUUCUAUUCUUUUCUUGAAACUCGGGCAAUAAUCAACUCUCAGAUGUCCUCUUUACGAAGAAACUGAAAUCAUCAUCUUCCUCUAUUUCAUUCAAAUCUUCUUUAUUACUUCCUUCUUGAAUUGAAGGUGAAGCUUUAAGUGUGAUUCCUUUCUUUUUCUUAUCAUUCUCCUCAUGUUGAUUCAGUCUCAUUAGUUCCAUUUCGUGUUCUUGAAGCUUUCCAAACAAAGUUGCAAGAGACAUGUUAGUAAGAUUUCUUGAUUCUGUAAUAGCCGUUAUCUUUGAUUGUCAUUCCCUGCUUAAACAUCUUAGAACUUUAUUAAUAAGAUCCUCAUUGGGAAAUAUCUUUCCUAAUGAUGCAAGAUGAUUUACUAUGUGUGUGAAUCUCUUUUACAUAUCUUGUAUAGUUUCAUUUUGAUUCAUUCUAAACAAUUCAUAUUGAUGGGUUAGGAUAUUUAUUCUAGACCUUUUUACAUCCGUUGUUCCUUCAUGGGUUACUUGUAAGGUAUCCCACAUUUCUUUUGCAUUCUUGCAAUUUGAUACUCUAAAAUAUUCAUCCAUUCCUAAUGCAAAUGUAAUUAUAUUUUUGGGUUUUAAAUUAUAUUGUACCAAUUUCUUUUCCUCUUCAUCCCAUUGUUCCUUAGGGUUUUCUAUAGUUGCAUUUCUUGCUACCAUAGUAGGGAUGUAAGGACCAAUUUCUAUGGCUUUCUAGAUGUUUAAAUCAAUAGCCUCUAUAAAAAUUUGCAUACGGGUUUUCCAGUAAUGAUAACCCACACUAUUGAAUAUAGGAGGUCUAUUUAUAGAGUUCCCUUCGGGAAAUAAAAAGUUUGAUGAGGCCAUGACUAUUCUGGAAGUUUCUAAACCUUAUACAAGAAUUAAGCUCCGAUACCACUUGUUAGUCAAGUGGCCUCAAUAACUUAAGAGGGGGGUGAAUUAUGUUUCAAAAUUUCCCACUAAUAAACUUUUAACCCCCUUCUAAAUGAUAGGCUUAGAAUGCAGAAGAAGCAGCAAUCAAUUUAAUAAUAUUUUUUUAAACAUGCAAGACAAAAUUGAUUGCAAUAACAUAAAUGAGAUAAGGGAAGAGAGAAAUGCAAACUCGAUUUAUAUUGGUUCGGCCACUUCCCAUGCCUACGUCCAGUCCUCAAGCAACUCACUUGUGAUUUUCUACUAUCUCUGUAAAUCAUUUACAGACUUUGAACACACCUUGAGAUCCCUCAUCCUUGUGUUCAAAGAUUCUCCAAGAGAUAACCCGUCUCUUGAUUAAAACUGACUUUAUGAGAUGAACAAAAAGAUUUCUCUCCUUUAAAGUGGAUGGUACAAAUUGAAGAUCCUAGAGGAAUUUCUCUCUUUUAGAGAUGAUAAUACAAAUUGAAGUCCUAGAUGAACUCUCAAUAGAUUUGCAAGUGUUUGUCCAAGAGUUGUUGAGAGAGUUUUUGACAAUUAAGUUCUCUUAGAAUAUUUCUCUCUUGCUUUUCGAAGUCAGACACACAUAUACAUAGGCCCUUCGUGCCUUUUCUAAAUGGUUUGAAGAGAUGUAUCUUUUCAAAAAGUUUUUUCUAAAAUUCUUCACUAGUAAUCGAUUACAUGGUUAUAUUUUAAAGGGUCGUGUCUUUUGAAAGUGUUUUCUAAAGUGCCGUUGCUGGUAAUUGAUUACAAACAUCUGGUAAUCGAUUACAUGAUUCAAAAUUCAAAUUCAAAACCCUUUUUAAAAAGCUAUUUUUCAAAAUUGUCUUUUGGUAAUCAAUUACACUGUCUGGUAAUCGAUUACAACUUUCAAGUUUCAAAUUCAAACUUUUCUAAAUGUUGUUAAAAUCAUUUUUGCUUCUGGUAAUCGAUUACAACCUCUGAUAAUCAAUUACUAGAGAGAAAUACAUAUUUUUCAAAAUGUAAUAUUUACUUAAAAACUUUAUAAGAUAUUUGAAAGCUUAAGUCUUUUAAGGCCAAACCUUUGCAACCUUUUUAAGAGAUUCUUUUAACAUAUAAAGGUUUAUUGUAAAUCGUUUCUCUUGAUUUCUUGAUCUUAACUUGAAUCAAUGUUGAAUAGCUUUAAUCUUUUGGCAUCAUCAAAAUCUUCAUACAACAUAUGCACUUAAAGCAAGAUGGCAACAGAGUAAAUUAUGCAGCAAAUUUUAACCUUUCAAGGUCUCCAACAUGACUUUUUAUACAUUAUUUAAUCACCAAUAGACUAAGGAAUCGUCUGAUAACCUUUGCAACACUAACCAUACCUCUGAGCACCUUAAUUUUAUUAUUUUAAGGACAAUUUAAACUACAAGGCAGCAGUUGCGACUCUAUUAGGAAAAUCAUUAAAUAAAGUCAAGAUAUAAUCUCAAGAUAUCAAAUACAUCAUUGAGUUAUCAUUGAAUGGUCUCAUGACAACACCUUAUAUGUAGGUUAUCAAUAUAUCUAACAUGAGUCGAAGUCAUAUAUAAAAGUUAUUUGGCAACAAGUUCAUCUGCUUAGGAAAUGCACUUAAACCAAAAUCGAAAAUCUUUAUAUUUCCUAGUGAAUCAAGUAAAAGAUUUUCAAGCUGCACAAGGAAAAAAGGAAAAUUAGAAGAAAUCACCAUAAGGGCAAUAGACAACUUUUCAGAUCUCACGCAAUGCAAACCUUUAAAUCUAUGUGAUAAACUCCGUUACAGUGGCAAUAAUCUACAUUGUCAAUAAGUUGUUGGAAAUAUCUUCUAGAGUCAACUUCACUAAGAUGACCAUGAUAUAUCUGCACAAUCAUAUUAUUCACCAUCAAACAUUUCCAAUAUCUCGAAUGGUGAUUAAUAAAAGCCACAAUAAAAUCCACACAAAAAAGGUUCCAUCUUGAGCUACUCACAAUUUUAUAAACAAUUCACCACCCGUGAUGAACUCCAAUAUGAUAUAAAUCUUGGUACAACUUGCAAGAACCUGAAGUAAACAACGUUUCACAACAAAAACAAGUGCUUGUGAGUGGCAUCAACUAACGAGAGAAACAUUAAGAAUUACUUCUCAGAGCAAAUAUUGAGUCGGCAUGGCUCUUCGUUUAAAACAUUUUUUUUUCAUUUAAUCAAGGAAGAUUCUCAAAUAUCAGAAUAUGAUUUUAGAACUAUCCCUCACUCCAAAAGUCCAAACAAUCAAAAUAAAAAAGAAAUUCUAUAAUUCUGGUUUCUGCAUUGCACACUUUUCCCCAACCCUAAAAGCAUGACAUGAUUCAAAUGUUAUUCACAAGCUUUGCAUUUUUUGGGUUUUAAUUUAUUAGUUUAUUAUUAAGUGUCUUCUUGGCAGGGAAAUAGAAAAACGAAAAGAGAACAACAACAACAUCAUUCUUUGAAAAUUAAACCUGUGUUGUUUAUGGAGAUGCUCGUGCAAAGACCUCACAUGAUUAUGGUAAACAUGUGCAUCCCCAAUAAUAUGGAUAAAAUCACCUGGAAUGAGAUCUGACAAGAAGAACACAUAGUAUAAAGAUUGAUUAUUUUAUGUUUAAAUUACUUUUAAUGUUGUAUUUUCUCUUGUGAUAUUAUCAAAAUCAAUAAGCUUCUGAACCUUGAAUCUACCUAGACUGGAACUUCAAUUAAAAACUUAUUGAUAAACUUAUGAAAACAACUCUAUCAAAAAAUCUAUAAAAAUAAUUGAAAAGUGCAAAUAGGCCACUAAAAUAAUCAAAUUAGUUAAGCAAUGGAAAACCUUUUCUAUACAGAGAUAAUCUAUAACAAUUUUUUCCAAAAUUUGUCAUGAUUUCUUAAUGUUACCAUGCUAGGUAGAUGGAAGUUGAUGAGUCCAUGAGAACCUGGAACAGUGCAAAUAAUGUCUAUGAUAUCCCAACAUACAUAUUUAUAUAAUAUCAUACAUGAGAAUGCGAAAUUAAUUAAAAUAAUUUUAUUCAAUAAACAUAAAGGAACUCACAUGGGUAAAAGGUUUACAUUCACGUUAAUCACCAAAUUAAAAACUUAUCAAAUAAGGGUAUGAAAACAUCUCUGGCCCAAAACAAGGCCAUCUAAUUUUAACAAAAGAAAACAAGUUAAGCAACAUAAUAACAUAAACUAACAUAUUCAGAACAUUAUGCAAAUAAUAUAGAAACUCAUGCCCAAUACCACAUCAUAUCAUAGUGUUGUGUCUCAGCAUCCUCUAGCGCGAGGUUCUUUAAAAUUAUCCACCUAACCAUCUGCUCCCACGAACACAAGGUUCAAGAUUAUCACAGGACUCAAACACAAACAACACACGGGGAGUGAGUUAUCACAUUCCUAAACAGGUAAAUCUAAACGAAGCACAUAUAUAUAAUAUAAGUAUAAUGAGCUCAACUUAGCAUAAUUCACAUCAUUUUACCACUCAUUGUGUAACUUCACUUGUCCCAAGGAUUUAAUCACAAAAUCAUUUUCAUACCUUCACAUUAAUCAGGUGUUCAGAACAACACGUCUCAAGUACAACACAAUAUCUCACACUCACACAAUUCAUUACCCACCAUCACGUAACAAGUCAUAAUAGUCAUUAUGCAAGUAUUAUGUAACAGAUACACUAAGACUCAAUCUUAUAUGCAAUGUGGUACCAUGUCAGUGAAAAACCUCGCCGGGAGCCUAGGAGUACAUGGCAAGACAAACUACACGCUGGUAAGUCAGGUCACUCUCACUAGGUAAAAUCAUAGGAAUACAAGCUAGGGUCACGCUGUUUUGUGAGACUACUUCAACCAUGUGAGAUUGACACAAGCUUAAAGGAGCAUUCAAACCGGGUGUAUUUACCCCAAGGUCUAAACUCUGAAGAGUCAGUUAGGACCUUUCCUUCCCAAUUCAGGUCCAACCUAGAAAACAUUUUAGCACGCAGAUUGUAUCAAUGAAUAGUAAAAAACACACGACUCUUGAAUUAUUCUCAAAAUAAUUUUAACUCGUCGUGCCUCAAAGUGAUUAAACUCGUCGAGUUCCCAUAAUGGAUCUCAUCACAAUACUCGUCGUGCAUUAACUUGUCACCCUUAAAGGGUCUUACAACCGUGUGAUUGUAUGGUUGAUAGCUCACAACUCAAUGCACACAACAUCUCAAUACAUGUGUGAUCUCUCAACUUAUCACAUACACUCAAUCUCAAUCACAAUGUUAUAAUCCCAAAGCAACAUAUUAUCACACUCAUGAAUCAUAUACACAUCACACAAUAUUAAUAUAUGCAUGGCACAAACACAAACUUUACCUAUAAACUAUGUAAUACACACAAUUACUCAAUUGUUUUCAAAAUCAUUUUAACUUGUCGCGCCUCAAAAUGAUUCAACUUGUUAGGUUCCCACAGCGGAUCCCAUCAUAAUACUCGUCGCGCAUUAACUCGUUGCCCUUAAAGGGUCUUACAGUUGUAUGAUUACACAAUUGAUAACUCACAACGCAAUACAUACAAUAUCUCAAUACACAUGUAUCUCACAAUUCAUCACAUAUUCAAUUUAUCACUUACACACUAUCUCAAUCACAAUUUCAUGAUCUCAAUAUAAUAAUUUAACACACUAAUCUAGUAAAUCUUUUUCCAAAACACAAACGAAUUAUACAAAAAUGCUUCUCACAACAUGGGGAGUAAAACCCCUCAUACAAUUUUACAUAAUCAUAUCAUAAUCAAAGGAAUCAAAAUCAUAGGUUCAAUAAUCACAAAAAAAAAACCAAGAGCACUCAAUUUUGUAGAAGCAAAGCUUCAUGGAGAAUCAAAGGUAAUUUAAAGGUGUUUUGAUGAUAACAAUGAUGAUAACAAAAGAUGAUGACAAAAGGUGAUGACAAAAAGCUCAAAGAUCAAUCAGAGAACAACUCAGGUGAAUCAAGAACAAUUCAAGAGUUCAAGAUAAGAAUCAAGAAGAAUUCAAGACUCAAGAAGAAAGUUUAGAGUCAAGAAUCAAGAUUCAAGGUUCAAGAUCUCAAGAAUCAAGAUCAAGAUUCAAGAGUCAAGAGAAGGCUUAAUCAAGAUAAGUAUGAAAAGUUUUUCUCAAAAAUUGAGUAGCACAUGAUUUUUCUCAAAACAUGUUUACCAAAGAGUUUUUACUCUCUGGUAAUCGAUUACCAGAUUGUUGUAAUCGAUUACCAGCAGCAAAAUUGUUUUGAAAGAGUUUUCAAAUUGAAUUUACAACGUUCCAAUUAAUUUCAAAAAGCUGUAAUCGAUUACAAUGUUUUGGUAAUCGAUUACCAGUGCCUUUGAACGUUGAAAUUCAAAUUCAAAUGUGAAGAGUCACAUCCUUUCACAUAAAAGCCUUGCGUAAUCGAUUACACUGAUUUGGUAAUCGAUUACCAGUGAUUGUUUCUGAAUAAAUCAAAAGAUGUAACUCUUCAAAAGGUUUUUGACUUUUUCAAAUUGGUUUUAAGUUUUUCUAAAAGUUAUAACUCUUCUAAAUGGUCUUCUUGACCAGACAUGAAGAGUCUAUAAAAGCAAGGUUUUGUUUUGCAUUUUCAUUCAUUCAUUCAAUCUUGAACACUUAUUCAGACAAUCCUUUAUAAGCCUUGAAUCUCUUUAAACGUCUUCUUCUUCUUUGUACCAAAAGCUUUCUGAAGUUUUUCUGGUUUUCUAAACCUUGAAAACUUGUGUUAUUCAUCUUUUCAUUCUCUUCUCCCUCUACCAAAAAGAAUUCGCCAAGGACUAACCGCCUGAAUUCUUUUUGUGUCUCUCUUCUCCCUUUUCCAAAAGAACAAAGGACUAACCGCCUGAAUUCUUUUGUGUCUCCCUUCUCCCUUGUCAAAGAAUUCAAAACGACACAGUCUGAGAAUUCUUUUGAUUCUUCCCAUUCCCUUAUAAAAAAGUGUUCAAAGGACUAACCGCCUGAGAAUUCUUUUGUAUCCCUAUUCACAAAGUAUCAAAGGUUUAACAGCCUGAGAUCUUUGUCUUAACACAUUGGAGGGUACAUCCUUUGUGGUACAAGUAGAGGGUACAUCUACUUGGGUUUGACUGAGAACAAGAGAGGGUACAUCUCUUGUGGAUCAGUUCUAGUGGAGGGUACAUCCACUAAGUUCAAAGAGAACAAGGGAGGGUACAUCCCUUGUGGAUCUUUGCUUGUAAAAGGAUUUUUACAAGGUUGAAAGAAAUCUCAAGGACCGCAGGUCGCUUGGGUACUGGAUGUAGGCACGGGUUGUUGCCGAACCAGUAUAAAAACUCUUGUGUGUUUGCUUCCUUCUUCCCUACUCUUUUACUUUCUGCUGUGCAUUUAAUUUCCGCUUUUACUUUCUGUUAAGUUUCUCUUCUACUCCUCAUUCUCUUAAUUUAGUAAAAGCCUUAGAAGAGUAAUUUUUUAAUUAGUAAAGGUUUAGGAAUAAUUAAUUCAACCCCCCUUCUUAAUUAUUCUGAGGUCACUCGAUCCAACAAAUUUUAUCAACCAAUUUGCAUUAGGAUAUCAAUUGGUCCGUCAAACAUAACAAUCUUGUGAUUAUAAUCAUAAAGGCAGAAUUAUCAUCAUAAACAUCCCAAAAAAGAUCCCAAUUUGAUCCUCUAAGGACCCUUACACAUGUUCAUUUUAACUCCAAUUGCGAUAAACUCAUUCAUAAGCGGACUCACGUGUGUAGUCUGAUGACAAUAACAAUGUCUCUAGCAGUUCCCUGGGAUUCCUCCCUUUGGUUGUUCUGUUAUGAUUUCUAAGCAUUAGAGAGAAACAAAAGGGAUUGGAGCCUCAAUUUUACUAUCUCUGUGCGAGGGACAUUUCUCUCUCUAUAGACAUUAUUUCUCAAAUCCCAAAAGUAAAAAUGUGCGAAAAUGAGUUCUGAAGAUGAUGUUCAAAUUUCACGAGGAUCUAACGGUUAUUGGGAUUAUAAUUUUAUUAAGACAUGUUUGAAUGUAUGCAAAAAAAAGAAGAUAUUAGAAGAGAAAGAAGGAAAAAAAUUUUAAGACAAAGAUGGAGGGUACAAAUGUUUAAAUUAAGUUAGUUAGGAUACUUACUUUCAACCUAUUAUUUACUUUAUUUAUAUUUUAUUUUAUUAUUUUAUAACAAAGGAAAUUUUAUUUCUCUUUUAUUAAAUAAAUAAUCAAUUAAAACAUCUUUUUAUUCUCUAAAUCAUUAUUUUAUUUUAUUUAUUUUCUAAUAUUAUCAAACUCUUAUUUUAAGUAAUAAAAAAUUCUUUUUUUUCAUUUAUUUAAUUUCUAAAAAAAAUUAUUAAUUUUUUAUUUUACGGAAAACGGGUGUGAGAAUGCCAUUGAGAGUGCUACUCUCCAUAUCUUCUCCGUCCGCAAAACAAACUUAACAUCCUUCAAGCAUUUCACCGGCAAAUAGUCAAGUUCACGAAGUUAGUAUAAGACAAAUUGCAAUCAAUAGGUAAGAAUGCUCAGCUCUGCUCCUAGGUUAACCUGUGCUAUGAAGGUACCCGAAGAAUAAAACUAUAAAGAAGCACAUAAGCUACUAAUUCAAGAAAUGAACAUGUGAAGAGUGGUGAAAGCGAUAACGAAUAGAUGAGAAUCGGAUCGGGGCAGCUAAACGAUGUCGUUUAUCAGAGCUUGUGAAGGGUUUGAUCAAGGCACAUCCCGUGUGUCUCAAAGCCAUGGAACAGUUAAUGUCUCACAUUCUUUUUUUUUUUUUCUUUUUCUUUUUGCACCCACUUUCAGAUUCAAUUGGUGCCUUUCUUGGUUUUUUCUUGUACCCUUUGGGGUUUUAUCAUUUAGCUCCAAAAUGGUACCUUUUGCAAUGUUUGCCAUUAUUUUGCAUUUCACUUUUUAGCAUAAUUUAUUUGUUUCUGAAUCAUACUGAGGAAUGUGGUGCUUGUGGUGUUCAAUUCUCCUGUUUUGGUCUACAUUAGGCAUUCUGACUUCUGAGUUUAGUGAUUUUAGGAAUUUUUGGGAUGUCAUGUGUUUUGUCACCUAAUUUUGAUUUUCAAUGUUUAUUUAAAGUUUAGUGUUUUUUUUUUUUUAAUAUAUACUCUCUCUAGUCAUUAGGCAUUAGAAAAAAAACAUAUUUUUCUCUUAUCAUUCAUUUGAUUGAGGUACUAGUUUCAUAAACUCUUAUUUUUUAUACUAAGUUCCAAAUAUAAUUUGAAAAAAAGUUACUUUUUAAUUAAAAUUGAUGCAAUUAAAUAUUGCUAAGUAACUUUUGUUAGUUAGCGUGAAAUGUUUUUUUUUACUUCUUAUAUUUGAGAUGGAAGGAAAUACAUUUUAAGUUGAUAAGGAAAUGUCAGUAUUUAAUCUUUUAAUCUCCUGAAAAAAAAGUUAUAUAUUUUUAGUUUCUUAAAAUGUGUUAAGUGUAAUAAUAUCUGUUCUUUUCUUGGACUUAGUACUAGUAACAUGAAAUACAACGCCAAUUUUAUAAACAAAAAUGAUACAUCGACACCUUAUGCUAAUGUACUCCUAAAGAGAGAAAGAGAGAACAAAGAGAAACGUGAAUGUGAUAAGAAGAGACAUUGAAAAAAAAUGAGAAGUGCCAAUGAAGUGUUUGUAUUAUAACAGAUGUCCCUAUAUCAUUUUUCUUUUAUAGAUGAGGAAUUAAAAAUAUGAUUUUAUUUAAGGAACAUUCUAUUUUUCUAGGAACAUUUUCUUAUUUACAGGAAUAAAAAUAUACUAUUCAAACUUUUUUUUCCUGCAGGGUGAAAAUUUGAGUAUUAUUAUCUUUUUGACUGUGUUUACAAGAGCGCCACCUGCAACAUUUCCUAGAGCUGAAAAAAAUUAGAAUAUGCUCUGCUCUUAAGCAUGAAUAUUUAUCUGAAUUUCUAAAUAAGCGCAGAAACUGCUUAGUUAGGCUUUAUGUUGACAGCUAAAAUAUUGAAAAUGUUGAGUUCAGUAUGAUUGUUGUACCAUUGUUCUCAAUAAUAUUGAUCAUGUUCAUGACUGAUGUUUAUUCAAUUGAUUGGAGGCUAUGUUAGCCUUUAGUGCUGCUCAAGUAUUUUUAUGUGACAGAUCUGUCAUAAUGAAUAUGGUAUUUCAAAUGCAUGUGGAAUAUGGUAUUUUUCUCUAGUUAUAAUGAAUAUUUCUCAUCUGUAGUCUGUUAUACAAAUGUUUUUAUAUAAUAGAUCUGUCACAUUUUUUUCAAAUGCAUUUGGAAUAUGUAUUUUUCUCUAGUUAUAAUUUCUCAUUUAGCUACUUGCUGAGUGGAUUCAAGUAUAAUCUGACACUCUGAGUUCCUUUCCAUAGAAAAAGUGGAAACUGAAAAGAGGUGUACUUUCUCUCAUUCUCUUUCUUCAUUUUGUCUUGCCCUUUCUGGGUGUGGACUGAGUUCUUAAAUAUAGAACUACUCAUGUGAAAGAUUAUAUGUCUCUGCUCUGUUUCUGAUAUGUGAUAUCUGAUAACUCUUUGCUUAUAUGUAUAUAUAUUAUAUAUGCUGGUUUUAUCAACUUGGUAAGAAUUCUUAAAAUGAAAUGUUUGUUACUAAUAGACAAUGUUAUCAAUGGUGGAUGGUGGAAUGUAGCGGAAAGUCAAAAUUCCACCACAUGAACACAGAAUUGUGGCCUAUGGUGCUGUGUUAUGAGUCACACAUUGAGUAGAGUAAACUACUUGGUGUGGUACAUAGUCCUUGAGGUUCUUCACCUAAUGAACCAGUCUUUUGGGUUGAGCUCUUCUCUUGUGCUUAAUCCUAACAAUUAAUGCUUUUGGAAUGACUGAUUCAUAUUGGAUGCAUAGAAUUAGAGUAGGGUAUUUUUUUUCCAAGUUGCCUACUUUUAAAUAUGCCCUAGAUCAUGUCCACUUAGUUCAUAUGGAUGAUUAAUUUUCAGUAGGUUCUGUGCUUUUGAUCCCCCUCCAUCUCUCGUAUUUGGAUUGAGGGUUCUUGAGUUAAAGGAGCAAGGUGUUAGUAAGGAACAAGCAAUGGCUAUGGCAGAUGUAGUAACGUGAACUGGUUCCUGAACAUGUUAGCUCUGCAAUUUGUUUUUCCCUUGUGUUCUCUUAUCCUCUAAUAAUCCACUUUGGCUUUUUUGCUUCCUAGAUGGAGAGUAUCUGACAGAGAAGAGGGCAAAAAAGAAAGCAUAUACCUGUUUGAGGAAAAAACCCAUAUCCUAGUCCUAUCAAGGAAAUACAAGCUGAGGAGAGGAAAUUGUGAAGCAAUAGAAAGCUGAGUCAGCAGAGAGAUUCAGAGAGGGGGUGAUUGGUGAGAUGUAGAGGGGAAAAGUUACACUACUUUGAAAGUUUGGCUCUUGAACAAAUGAUCUUUGACAAUAACAUUUACUGUUCAGCCACUGAAAAGUUAUUUGUUGUAAAUAAGAAAAUCUAUUUGUUGUGUUAGAUAACUGUAGAGGAAAAUUUUACCAAAAUCUUAUGCAAGUUUUCUGUUUUUCCAGGCCACCCAUGUAGGUUUGUUAGUUGGUACAAAAGAACUAAAUAGAUAAUCAAGAUUUGUAUAUUUACUCUUUUUAUUUUUAUGAUUAUGAGCCUCAUGACCAAAAUAUUAUGCGAUUAAUUUUCAAUAUAAUAUAUUUUAACUUGACUUUUUGAAUGUUAAAAAAUUGAAUCUGUUUUAUAAUAUCAAUGUUCUUGAAGUAUCCAGCCAUAUAGAUAGCUUAAGUGUUCAAGUCAUGUGGAUGUGUCAAGUAAACUGUUUGAACUAACAAAACUUUUGUUAGACUUAGUGAGUAGUGUAGGACACAUGUUGUACAGAUGUCGAGAAAGUGUUGGUGCUAAAAAUUUGUCUAAUCACUGUGCUUAACAAGUUUCAUCUUAUCAUUCAGUAACUAUUGUGUUUUUCUUUAGCAGCCUUUUCCACUACUUUUAUCUCUUGUUCUGUUCUUGUCAUCCUCACUUGUACUCAGGGUCACUUGUUGCAUCUUAUUCUCUUGAUCUUUGUAUGUAGUUAAGUACAUUAUCAGAUUUUGUGGCAUGCAGACACGAGAUCUCUCACCAUCCUUUUAAUUAUUUUCAUCAUAAGCAGCACAUAACACUGUUUGAAGCAAUUUUAAUGUGAGCUCCUUUGGAUGGAUGCUAAUUCCCAGGUUCUAUCUUAAAGUUGUUCUUCUGACAAUGUCAUCCAUUUUUAGCUUUAGGUUGUUAACCAAAAUAGAAGCAAGGUGGCAGCUGUUGCUGAAGAACUCUGAUUAUUUGUGUCCUCUGAUGUACAGAUACUUUAUGGUCACAUAUCCAUAUUUGUAUCGUACUUGUAAUGAAUACCCAUAGGCGUAUAAUAAGGCUGCCUAAGUCGGGUAUGCAUUAAAUCUAGACUGUUUUAUUGAAACUUCUUACAUACACUAUUUCUUUAAAUAGUGAAACAAUUGUUAUCAUUAAGUUUUUUAAUAAAUUCGAUAAGAGAUUGAACACCAAUGAUGUUAGGAUGAUGGAGAUGACCCAUCAAUAGAUAUCAUCUAUAUUAAGAAAUAAAGAAAUUAAAAUAUAAUUUUAUGUAUCACAUUGCACCUAAUACUUGUAUGAGUUGUAUCCAAAGCCAUGAAACAAAAUGUGUCAGAUAUCAGUUAGAUAAGAUUCAGUUCAGCAGGCAGGUUGGAUAAGAGUAUUGCUUAUGUAUAUCUUAAAAGAAAGUUUCCUAUUUGACCGAAUGUGGGUGUUUUUGUCCACCUAGGAGCUUUUUACCAUGUAACCAGACAGAUAAUUGGUAUCUUAAAAUUUCAAAGGGUGGUCCUUCACACCUAAUUUGGAGAUCUAAUUUGUUGAUAUGUCUUCACUAAUAGACUGUAUUGCAAAAUUAGUAAAUUGAAGAUGACAUUACUCAAGUUUUUCAUGUGAGGAAGGAAGGGAGCACAAGGAAAACGGUGAAACCUCACUGAUCAGCAUUUUCAGAGGAACCUAUUAUGAAGCACUCAACUUGCUGACAUAGGCUUUAUGAUCUGCACUAAUCUUUUGAAACUUCAUUUUGUCACAUGUUACUAAGUUGAAAAAGAAAAUAUUGUUUUAGGAGCUAAAGAUGAAUAAGUAGCUAAAGGAAAGUUAUAUAGAAUUUGUAGUAAAAGGGAAGAGUGUAAACAUAUUUGCUUCAGUACACAGAGUGGAUGACUCAAGUGCUGGUUCCAUUACCAAAUUUCAGUGGUUUUGGUUGAAUAUGUAAGUCAGUGGAAGUGGUGCUGAAGAUUGGAGGGAAUGUUUGGAGUACAUGAUUAGAAAAGGGGAGAAUGAUUAAAAGAAAUAGAAAAUUGGCUGACUAAUAUUGGGGAUUCAUAGGAAUGUUGUGUGUUAGUAAAUUGGAAAAAUGUUACUCCAUUGAUAUUUUCAGCAUACCAUUCAUCUAAGAAGCAUAACUGUUCCUUUUUAUAUAUUUUCUGUUACCUUCCUUUCCUUCAAAACAUGGCUUUUGAAUUUUGAACCAUUAACUGAGUUGGAAUAGUGGUAAAAUCAUGUAGAUUUUUGUUUUCGUUUUGUGGGGAUAUGAAUGAGAAAAAUCCUUACAACCAGACAAAGCUGUGGCUCAGAAGAAAGAGAAACAUGCCUCACUGCUAGAAUCACUGGAACUAACAUCUUGUAAACAAACUGUUAUACCAAACUUUCCUAAGGUGCAAUUCUCAACCAUUAACCAAUUUCAUCUCAAACAACACUAUCAGUUCUUCAGUCAUGAACUUCCCAUACUGAAAAUUUGUCACCUAUUUCUUUUAUAGGCAGUGGCUUCUUAUGAGAGUCACACUCUCUGAACUUCUUAUGUAAAACUUGACUUUUCAUUUUGUGCUUUAUAAUUGUUAUCUCAUGCAUUGCCCUUUUAAGAUAAGGUUGUUGUGCAUUGUUUGGUUGAGUACAACGAUUUACUGAUGACCAUAACUAUUUGUGGAUCUUAUAUUUUCAAAAGUGUAUGCUUGGUCAUUAAUCAACCAAGCUUGAUAAGCCCCAUCACCUACCAUCCCCUUCUAUGCCAUAUACACAUUUUGCUUAUCUACAUUGCUACUGUUACUCUCAAACAAGUCUAACAAAUAAUAAGUGAAGUUAAUGAACAUUUUUAGUAAUAUUAUUAUAAGGAUUGGCCAAUGUAAUGGUGAACAGAGAAGCAUGCUUUCAGCUACCCAACAAACUGGAUAAGAGUGUCAGUUGAUAUGGUUCUCUUGUUUUUUUUUUUUUUUUUUCCAAUGCAAAAUCACCUUUAAAAUAUAAAAGAUCACUGUAACAAAGGGACAAAGGGUUUUCACUUAACCCAUGCAUGAGAUAUGAUGGUCACAAAAUAUGUUAGGUUUAAUAUGGAAUGAGGGCACAGUACAAACCACUCACAAAUAAUAUCAAACUCCACCACCAUCACACAUUUUACGUUCUUCCAAGGAAGAGAUAAGAUAAUGAAGCCUCCUCCACGUGUCACUUCCACAUGGUACCUAACGAUAAGGCUACCAUUCAAAAUUUUCCUCACUCGUGUGGCCAAUAUGCUGUAAUGUCAUCACUUAUUCAAUCCAACGGUUGUAACUUCUCAGCAACCAAUCCCCUCCAUUUCACACCAUCGGAUUAGUACUACACAAAUCACACUAUUAUAUAUAGUAAGUUUGAGCAGAAGCUUGGAUAUCUGGCAGCAGAAGAACAAGUAGUUGAGAACUAAGAAGGAGAAGCAAAUGGCUUCCUCAAUGAUCUCUUCCCCAGCUGUUACCACUGUCAACCGUGCCGGUGCCGGCAUGGUUGCUCCAUUCACUGGCCUCAAGUCCAUGGCUGGCUUCCCCACCAGGAAGACCAACAAUGACAUUACCUCCAUUGCUAGCAACGGUGGAAGAGUGCAAUGCAUGCAGGUAUGACAACUCCACACAUAUAAAUACACAAGAGGCACCAAAAUGAUUAUAAUUCAUGUUACAUAUUUAGGCAUGUACCUAAAUGUUACUUAAAUAAACAUGUUAGUCAUAGGUUGCUUAAAUUUUAGUCAUAGGAAAAUUUGCACAUGUGCUAGUUAAUCUGUUAACCCCUUUACUCAAUUUUCAUGCAAAUUAAUUACUAGGUGUGGCCACCAGUUGGCAAGAAGAAGUUUGAGACUCUUUCCUACCUGCCAGACCUUGAUGAUGCACAAUUGGCAAAGGAAGUAGAAUACCUUCUUAGGAAGGGAUGGAUUCCUUGCUUGGAAUUCGAGUUGGAGGUCAAUUUCUUGCAAACACUUUUGGUUUAAUCAUAGAUUUUCUUAUUCUUAGUUUGUUUCAACUUAUUUUCAAGAAAUAAUCGCUUCUCUAGCUAGUGUGCUAAAAGUACUUUUGGAAACAAAACAAAAAAUGGUUGUGUUCCAAAAUUUAAAUUUAUCUAACAGAUUUUUCUAUCUGAGAGUUAUCAAUAUGUAUCAAAUCUGUUCCUAUCUCUGACCAAAUUUUAUUCUUCCAAAACAAGCACUUGGUUUUGAGUUUUGAUGGUUGAUCUGCUUGUUUGCAGCACGGUUUCGUGUACCGUGAGCACAACAGGUCACCAGGAUACUACGAUGGACGCUACUGGACCAUGUGGAAGCUGCCUAUGUUUGGUUGCACUGAUGCUUCUCAGGUGUUGAAGGAGCUUCAAGAGGCUAAGACUGCAUACCCCAACGGCUUCAUCCGUAUCAUCGGAUUCGACAACGUUCGCCAAGUGCAGUGCAUCAGCUUCAUCGCCUACAAGCCCCCAGGCUUCUAAGUGUGAAAAAUUUGCAAAGCAUUUGUAGCCGCCACCCCACUUUGUUUGUUUGUACUUAAACUACAUUCCCAUUUGUUUUUGCUUUUUGAGAUUUCAUCAUCCUGUAUUUUUGGUUUCUGUUUUCGGACUUCAAUGGAAAUUAAUGGAUGAGAACUAAUGAAUAAGCUAUUGUGUUGUGUUGCUUUGUUUCAAAAUAACUUCAAUAACCCAUCGUCCUUGCAUUUCUCUCUAGUGGGCUGAAAUUAAUCUUUUCUAAAUUUAAGUUAAUUAAUUGUGUCUCUAAAUGAUGGUUAACAGAGGAACUGUGUUAUUCAAGUACUCUGCAUAGUUUAGCUGAGCUUGGCCUUACUUUGUCACAACUCACAAAUCUGAUGUAUGAAUGUUCUUUAUACUUUGGUCUUCCAAGAAAUGAAGUUCAUGACAUAUAUAGUUUGUAAACAUGUUGCUAGGAAGCUUCUGAACUUUCAAAACCAAAUAUGAACUUGAUAAUUCUUGGAAACACAGAUAUUUUGUAUAGUACAUAGCAACAAAAAACCACUAAGGAACUGCUACCAAAUCGUUUUGUUAUUUAUGUGCAAAGAAAGCGAUGUCAAAUUCAAAUUUUUAUUGGUUUCAGAAUCUUUUCUUUCCAAGCAAUAACCACCAACUGCACGAAACCGUUUUGUUUGUUCCAUUUCUCACUCUCCUCACUGCAAUAUUCAAAUUCUGAUUUGGAAAACAGCACAUAAAAACACAAGAUUUGGUCAUGCUCUGGUUCUACCAAAUACUACAUUUGUUUCUAGAAUUGCCAGAAUCUGAUCCUUAGCUGACAAUUAAUCUCUAGAAGAUUCUUUUGCUUGUAACUUGGUAGUUAUGGAUUAGCAACUGAUAAAUAAAUCAUUUAGUGGGCUCUAUGUUGUGAGUAGUGAUAGGUAACUUAUCUCGACACCUUUUAGUAGAUUGCAUUAAUAUUUAGACUGGACCCUUUUGAUAGCUACAUUUGUGAACAAGAAUACAAUACGAUAAAGAAAUAGAUAAGAAGUUUCACCUCCUAUACUCCCAUGACCACAUCAUGACAUAUUCAAUGCCAAUCAUGAAUAUACAAACCAAUAGGAUUUGUUUUCUUCCAAAUAUUUAUUUGUGGACGUGAAUCUACUCACCCUAGAAGCAAGUUUCGUUAAAUUUACUUUGUUUAAUAAUUUUUUGUGAACAUUCAUUCUUUUUUAAUUCAACUGUUAUAUAAAAAUAUCUCACUAAGUAGAUCAAAUAUGCAAACUUUUAAUCAACAUUAUGUUGAUCCGAGGAUAAUUAAAUUCAAAUUCCUUAAGAAAGGUCUUAAGUUCAAAUUUUGUGAAUGGAAAAUAUAAUUAAAAAAAAAGACAUAACUAAAGUAGCUAGUCAAGUCAUGAUAAAGUCUUACAAUUCAUGAAAUAACUAAUAUUAUAUCAAUCAACUUCAUUUUAAUGGAUAGUAGUAUUAUUCUUUUAAAAUACAAGUAAAUGUUAACUAUAAGAUAAUCUUUAUGGUAAUAUAUUACAAAAUAUAAUAGUUAAGGGUCUGUUUGGGUGGUUGUUAGUUGUAAGUUUCAUUUUUAAUUUUAAACCAGUCUUUAAAAUUUGGUUAGUUUUCUAAUUCUUAGUUUUAAGAUAAAGCCAUUUAAAAAAAUUUCAAUCCUUUUAAAAUUAAUUUAAAAGGUGAUAAUGUCAACAUAGGUUAUGGUUCUAGUGUUAGUAGAGGCGACCAGAAAUGUCAUUGUCAAAUGUAGAGUGUGUACUUUUUUUAAAUUAAAAUCAAAAUUACAAAUGUUUUUUUUCUUUAUUUUGAAAAUAAAGAUAAAAAAGUGUUUUGAGAUAGUCAAUCAUUUCAACUUCAUUUUCUGCCCAAAGCUUUUGAUUUUGAAAAUUACAUUUAAAAAUAAAAUUAAAAAACUCACAAUUACCUGACCAAACCUUAAGUCUUUUAAAUUAAUUAAUAUUCUAUAAAGAAAUAGUAUUUUUAAAAUAUUUAUAUAAUUUAAGUAUUUACUUAUUUUUAGAGUGAAUAGAUCCCUUUCGUUUGUUUCAUUCAUCAUACAGAAUCAAUAAUACACUGGAAUAUUCGCUUAUAUAUAUAUAUAUAUAUAUAUAUAUAUAUAUAUAUAUAUAUAUAUAUAUAUAUAUAUAAAAUGUACAUGGAAAAAAUAAUUUUCCAUUAGUGUAUUAAAAUUUGAAGAGAGACAGACAAAUAUAUCCUUAUUUCCAUAGAGCCUGCAAAAACCUAACUAUCCAGUCAAUAUUUUAUAUUUCCGUAGUUUUUCUGACAAACCAAUUUCUUUAAUAAAGUUUUCAAAUAAGUUAUAUAACAUAUCAUAAUAUUCAAGGUUUUCCAAGAGAAAUUUAAAAAUUGUUAUUUUGACAAGAUAAGUGCUACAUAAUUGUGUGGUCUAUAGCGACUAAUGAGUCAAGGCAUCGUGACUCUGUCGUAGCAAAAAAGGUAAACAAAAACAAGUCAUUGUCAUAGCAUUAUUUGAAGUUGAAGAAUACGUAGUGUGAUAUGAUUUAUUUAUGACUUUUUUGGUUGUUUCCGUUGCAUUUUGUGAAUCGAAGAUCAAAUAGCUAGCUAUAAAAAGAUCCUAAACAGAUAACAACCUAUUGGUAAUUUAUUUUGUUUUUGUUUUAGUCUAUUCAAUUAUAUAUAGGCUCAUAUAUGUAGAUUUUAUAAGUUUAAGCCACAAAAAAUAUAUUUUUAUUAAAACAAUAAAAAGAUAUUGCCGUAGUGUUUAUACGAGAAAUGGCGCAUAGUAAGGUGCUCGAUCGAGUCUCUAUCAAUUUGCUUUUGGUAGGAAAAGAAAAGACAAAAGAAGAAAGUUACAAAGUGCACUCUUAAUCCUUGUGUCUUUAUAAUCAAGUUGGAUAAAGACACAUUAACACUCAUGUUAUUUUUUAAUUCCCUGAGUAUUUAACUCAAUUAGAUACUUAAAGAUUUAAAUUUGAGGCCGUUACUAGUUAAUUAAAAUAAUUCCGCAUAAAUUGAUUCAAACACAUUAUUUGACAUCUUAAGAGAAAAAGAAAAAAAAUGAAAUGUAAACAUGAUAAAUUAUAUGAUAUGAUAAGGGAAAUACAAAAAUAAAUAAAAGAUGUCAAAUAAAUAUCCAUGCAUGUAUCAUUACUAAUUAAGUUUCAAAAUCAUAGAGUGAUACAUGAAUUUUUUUAUUUUAAAUUCAAAAUAUAUCUCAGUGAAAACUAUUUAAUGUUUAAAAUAACAUUCAUACAUCAAUGUUUUAUUUGAGAACUUUGAUAAAUAAGUAUUUUGUUUCAGGAAUUAUGUUUAUACUUUAUAGUGUAUUAAUCCUAUGACAUAUUGUGUGAUAGUAACGAUGAGAAAGGAAAUAAAAAGGAAUAAAAUAGGAUAAAAAUAUUAAAUUCCUACUAUUAUUUGAAAGAAGAAAUAAAAAGUAGAAUUUUCUUAAUUAAUCUCACAUGAAAAUUAAUAUUUCUCCUCUAUAUAUCAAAAAAAAUAUCCCUGCUCAUGGGCAAGAAAGAAAACAAACAAAACAAAGGGCAACAAACAAGGCAUAGCCACUUGCUUGUGUUGGGACCAAAACAAAACAAAACAAAUGGGUCAUUAUUGUUUAGGGUGGUGGUAAGAUAAGGACUAAACUGUAAUUGUCUGGCUCAGCUGCAUACUUCAAAAAUGUGGUGCACAUGGAAACAAGGGGGAGAAGUGGAGAAAAUGAAGACCAAUGUACAUACUUUCUUCCUCAAUCAAUGUAUCAACAAUAUCAGUCCAUGGCAACGUUGUUUUUCAGGAUGUGACUCUCUCGAGGGCCUAAAGGCCCACCAGGUUCAUCAUUCAUCAAGGUUUUGUAGUUUAAUCAUACAAUUUCAAGCACCAAAGAAAAUGAGCCUUGGUAAGUUUUUUUUUCAUCACCAAAAUGAUAUUUUUUUUCCCUUUCAAAUUCUAUGGUUGCACUUGCACACAUUGGAUUUGACAUGUCAAUAUCAACAACUUUUAAUUAAAUGCAGUUCUUGUAAACAUUCAAUUUCAUCGAAACAAACAAAAUAAAAAUGUACAAAUGAGAACAUUUGAAAAAAAGAAGCAUAACCGAUUAUAAAAGAAGGAAAAGUAAUAUUCAAUCAGAAAAGAAAAUUGUGAUAACCAUCUUUUGUUCUCCCAUCUUAUUUUAUCUUUUUGUCAAAAUAAUUUUACAUUAUCGUUCAAUCAUAAAUCGUUACAGAUAUAAAUUUUAAAGUAAUUAUCAUAAAAAUUAAUAAAUUUAUCAUACAUGAUAAGUUAUAAUUGAAUGACGAUGUAUUUUACAUUAAGUAUAACCUAUUUUCUUUUUUUUCUUCGAUUGUUAUAUUCUUUGUCUAAUAAAAAAGAGAAUAUACUGACAUUAAAAAUAAAAAAAAUAGAAAAUUAUAAAAUAUAACAACACAACAAGAAGAAUGAUUAAGGGUAUGUUGGAUUGCUUUUUGAAGUGUUUCAAAUGGAUAAUUCCAUUUUUUCAUGCAAGUAGAAGCAAUUAUUGCUUGCCAUUUGAGUGAACGUUUAUUGAAGCGAAGGGCAACUUUUUUCCCAUCACGUCCUAGUUGUUUUGAAGUUAUUUUUGGCAUCUCUCUAGUUUCCUUUUGGGGGUUGCUAGGUGCACCCAGCAUUAUUGCUGGUGCACCCAGCACUUAUUGUGAAAAGUCACAAAUGCCCUUGUUAUUUUUUAAAAAAAAAGCAGUGCACCCAACGACCCUUUCUUCUUCCUUUUCCGCGAGCCUCUUCUCCUUCAUUCUUCUUCCUUUUCUGCGAGCCUUUCUUCUUCUCCUUCUUUCUUCUGCGAGCCUCUUCAACUUCUUUCUUCCUCCUUCCUCAUUCUUCCGCGAGCCCAUUUGCUUCUCUAGCACGAGGUGGUUGUUCUUCUUCCGCGCAAGCUGCUGCUUCUCCCUCCUUCGAGUGCGCUUCUUCUUCCAUUCUGCCGCGAGGUGCUGCUCUUCUAUUCUUCAUCGAGGUAAGGUCUAUUAUCCUUUUUCUUGUUUGUUAUUGCUUUCAUUGGUGAUUGCUUAAGUAUUUAGGUCAUCCGCAGUAGAGACAAGUUAGGACCUAGGUGAUCCGCAAAUAGGGUAGAUGAUCCGUAGGUUGUGUUUAUGUUGUGUUGAACUUGCGGAUCACGUUGAUCCGCAAGAAGAAAAGGUUGAUUCGCAUGCUUCCCACAGAUCAAGUUGAUCCGCAUGCUUCAUGCAGAUCAACUUGAUCCGCGGGAAGCAUGCAGAUCAACUUGAUCUGUGUGAAACAUUUUACAUUUUUAAAAGUUUAAAUUAGGUUAUAAUUAAUGAAAAAUGGUUUUUAAUGGUUACUUUUGAAGCUUUUGCCUCAAGUAUGAUAUUGUAUAAUGGUUAUUUAUAUCCUGUAUGGUAGUGAAUAUGCAAUUGAAAAUAUGAACACAAUCUAUUAGGUUGUAGCUUCUCAUGUGCCUAAAAAGGAUUAGAAUCCUUAAAUUUAGACAAGAAUUUGUGAUGGUGCUUGUCAUAUGCCUCAAAGCAGUAAACAUCCUGAAAUUGUUGUGUACUAGAUCAUUAACCAUAAAAUGAUGGUGGUAAGUUUAAAUCACUGAAAUAAUACUCCACCUACAAUAAUACCUCCCAACUACUGAGAAAAUCUUCAUAAGAUUUGGAUGAAUUGAAAAAGAAAAGUAUAUGGUCAGAAUAUUCUAGGAAGGAUAAAAAGAACUGUUGCUUUUCGUUGUCUUGGUGAAUUGAAAAAGAAAAGAAAAUAUCAAGCCAUGAAUGUCAUAAUCCAAAAUCCAAAUAGAUAUUUUUCAAAAUAAUCGGAAAAAAAUGAAAUAUCCAAGCACAAAUUGUCCCUUUUAUGUCUAAUGCUCUAGCAGAAUCAGACCUGAGGGUGAGAGUCAAAUUACUAUAUUAUACUCAAUCAAACAUCAAUAUGCAACUGCAGAGAUAAAUCACAUACUUGAGUAAUAGUUAGGAAAUAAUAGAGCAAACACACUUCAUGCAAAUGAUUGACCUCAACUUGCAAAAAAUUAGAAACAAUAGUUAGAAUAUAUACCCAAAGUAGGUCAAUUAAAAUAGUAGUUAGAAUUCAUGUUAUCCACCAAAUCCCAAAAUGAUGCUAACAAAAAUUAGAACCCUGAAUACAUGAUAUUUGAAUAAAAAAUUUCGAUAAGAAUACAUGAUAUGCAUGGGUCAUCAUAGAACCCAUCAUGCAACAUUAGUAAACUGUCUUGCACAACUUAAAGUCAAUCACACAUUUGCAGAUCAUGGUUAAGACUAGAGGAUUAGGCCGUGCAUUAGGUAGGGUUGGUGCCAAAGGUUUGGGGAGAGGAGGGGAUGGUGAUGAUACUGAUGGUGCUCCCCAGGGCCGAAGGCUGACCGCAUCGGCAAGCAGGUGACGAGUACCAGUCAUUCUUGACGAUGAUGUGCCUGUGGUGCCUGCGAACUCGCCUGCGGUACCAGAGGCAGAGGCUGCUGUAGCUGGGGAUGAGCCCAUGGUAGAUGCUGCCACACAGGACACCGGUGCAGAGACUGACGCACAGGAUACCGGUGCAGAGACUGACGGGGACGAGCUUGAGGGAUUUCUUGGUGGACCCAGGGACCCAUUAGUGCUUACAGAGUAUGCUGACCAUGUUGCGGGCAGCGUAUGGUCUGGACAGGUAUUUAUAAUAUUAAAGUUAGUUAACUUUUAUUUUUUUUUAUUUUUUGGUUACUUAUUGACGUUAUUUGAAAAAAUUGUGUGUUCCUUUGUACUUCAAUUCAGGAACAUCUUGAGUUGAAGUUAUGCUCCCAUGGGAGGAAGGUGCAUAACUUGGGCAGGUCUAUUCCUGCAAUUGAGGACAUGGUUGCUGGGACAGGAUUAAGUCCUUUGAUCGCGUGUUCAAUAGACACCGGCGAUCGGGGACUUAUAUCCUCCUUUGUUGAGAGGUGGCACCGGGAGACUUCUAAUUUCCAUCUUCCUGUGGGGGAGGUUUCGAUCACGCUGGAUGACAUCGCGUCUCUUCUCCAUCUGCCUAUCGUUGGCGCAUUCCAUGACUUCCAGCCUUUGUGCACCGACGAGACGGUGUUGCUGUUGGUUGAGUUACUGAUGGUCUCAGCAGAGGUGGCCAUGACCGAGACAGGCCAAUGUGGUGGACCAUACGUACGCCUGUAGUGGCUACGAGACGUAUACCAGUGCAGAUGUCAGACGCAGCACUGGACAGUUGCCGCUCAUGCUUAUCUUCUACAUCUUUUGGGUUGCACUCUUUUUGCUAAUAAGAGUGCAACCCAUGUUCAUGUCGCACACAUACAGGCCCUACGUAACCUCACUCUUGCUGGGCGGUAUGCAUGGAGAGCUGCUGGCCUCGUCCAUAUGUACAAUCAACUUAAUGAUGCCAGUCUCAGCACCAGCCGACAGUUUGCUGGUUAUAUCACCUUGUUACAAGUAAUUAAUAUGUAUUUCAUAAUUUAAUUACAACAAUGUUUUAAUGACUGUAUAUUUAAUUAACAUGUAUGAUUUUCAUGUAAACCCUAUAGUGUUGGAUAUACGAGCACUUUCCUUCAGUUGCAGAGUGCAAUGCUGAUCCGGACUACGACGAGGUGUUACCACGUGCAUGUCGGUGGAUUGCGACAAAGAAGACUGUGAAGAAGCUAUCUACAGCGACGUACAGGCAGUGCAUGGAUCGUCUGAGGAUCCUGGAUGCCUGCUGGAUGCCAUAUGCGGAGCACCGACCUGUGCAGAACUUUCAUCCGAUUUCGUGCUUCUCUGGAAAGCUCUGCAAGGGGCCUGCUGUUGUCAGAUACAGACUGGAGAGGUUUAUGCACCAGUUUGGCUACAUCCAGUGCAUUCCUGCACACCCUGUCCAUUCAUGGGUGUCAUAUGAUGACAUGGACGAUACGUGGACGCACUACUCAGACCAUCUGGAGGCAGCAGGUGAUCUAUGUGUUGUGUCAGGUCAGUGUGCGCCUGACUACAUAGACUGGUUCUUCGUCAUAUCGCAUCCAUUCAUGACUGCACCACAGACGAAUCCUCCUCGAGAUGCAUAUGCGAUGCAGCCCAGUCAUAUCCCUCAUGAGGCAGCACCGACAUCGACACAUGUGGAUCCUGAUGCAAACGAGCCCAGACAUGCAGUGGUAAGUGUUACUAUUUGGUUAGAUGUAUGCCAUUUACUUCAAUUAUUUUAAUACUAAUUUGUAUAAUUUGUUUGUUUUUUAUUUAACAGGAGGCUUGUCAUGCGAUCGCAGAGGCGUUGGAGCAGCAUCUAAAUGUGCUAGGCACAUCUACACAUGAAGAGGUUAUCCAAAAAUGCCUCAGGAUUGUCAGGAGUGUCACUGAAGACCGCAAUGUGUAUGUGAGGUCUCGACGUAGGCGGUGCACGGAUCAACAAUAGUUUAUUCACACUUUAGAUAUCAUUAGUUUUUGACGAUGUAUUUGACUUGACAUUUUGUCAAUUAUGUUUAAAUUACUUGAUCCAAAAUUUAUUUUGUAAUUGUAUGCUAAGAAAUUACAUAGACCCUAAGAAACUCCAUUUUGAGAAAACAUAAAGACAACUAAAACUUCUCUCCACAAAAACACUUAGGCAAACACAUCCAUGAUCCGCGGCACAAUAAUUUGCAAUAGUAAGCUCCAAAUCUGUUCUAAGAUCGUAAGUUCCUUGAUUAGUUGGUUCCUUCUGCAAAACAACCAAAAAAUUUACAAGCAGACAAGGUUAGGGAGGGGGAGGAAGCAAAUCCUUUUUCAAAAAUAAAUAAAUAUAUGAACUUAAUCCAAUAUCACUUUAAUUGUGACUGAAUAUAAUCACAUUAAUUUAAAAUAAAUCACCUCAAGCAGAAAGGAAAUGUUUUAUUAAACCAGUCAUUAUUUAACAAUAGCAAUGGAUAUUUUUAUAUAGCUACUUCAAAUUAACCUCGCACUAAAGUAGUUACCUGCAUAUAUCAGUGACAACUUUCAGUGCUUGCUUAGACACUUGUUGAUUGUGAUAUCUUCAAAUUAGCCAUUUGUCGCCUUCUCUUGGCUUUCCUUGAUAGAUUAUCCCUAUUAAUAUUUGAUCCGCAUGCAUCCCAACCUUUAGGAAGCCCAAGUAAUUCAUCCUUCUUUUCAAAAAUCUAGCUUCUCAUUGUCAUCAUGUCACUACAAAAGUCAGGGUCAGCAUCCUCUACAUUAUAAUAUUUCUCGUCAAAUGCCUUCUUCAUCAUUCUAUCAUACUCCUGUGGGUCAAAUUCCUCUUCAAUUUCUUCCCUGGACAAUGGGAUAAUAUCAUCACCAUGGAUCCCUGCAGUCUUCAUUAUCUUUUUAACCUUUUCCUGUAUUUCCUGCUUAUUCAAAUUCUUUAAGCGUUUCAACUCCUCCUCCCUCUCUUUUUGUUCUAUAGCCAUUCUCUCCUCUUUGCUCUUUCUCUGCUCUUUCCUUGCAUUCGUCUUCUUCCUCAUUGAUCCCUCCACCUUCCGAGCAUGACCCAACACCCUAUCUUCUGGAUUUUCCUGAAAUCUGUAUUCAUAUUCUUCCUAUCUCUUGAGCUCCAUCUCAUCCUCUGAAAUCUCUUGCAAUUCAUCCUCUCCAACAUUCAAAUUCUUCCCACUCUUGCCAAUCCACAAUUUGACCCAACACCCUAUCAAGUUGAUCCGUUGUUGAUCCAUAGAAGGCUUACGGAUCAACUUGAUCCAUAAACCAAACUCGAUCCAUAGAAGUAAAAUCAACAUACGGAUCAAGGUGAUCCAUGGAAGACUCGCGGAUCAACUUGAUGUUAGAGUUUGUGGUCUUAGUUCCUUUGUCCCACAUUGCUUGGUUUGUAAAAACUUGUGUCUCACUAGUGUUAUAUAUAGAGACACCUUGUAAGCUUUUAUGUGCAAGUAAUAAAAGUUCUCCUAGUGUAGCCGUGGACGUAGGCACAUACAUUGUGUGCUGAACCACGUUAAACUGUGUGUCUUUUUCUUUCUUCCCUUUAUUUCUUUCUCUUCUUUUAUUGCUCUAUACUAACAACUGGUAUCAAGAGCUUUUGGUUACUCCACGGAAUUUCCUUAGUUUAAAGGAAUUAGUGGGAGUCUUCUCAGUUUAGAGGAGGCAGUGGGAGCAAUGGCAUUAGAAGAGGGAAAAAUGAAGAUCGAGAAGUUCGAUGGCAGAGAUUUCAGCUUUUGGAAGAUGCAGAUAGAGGAUUAUCUAUAUCAGAAGAAGUUGUAUCAGCCCUUAUCAGGGGUUAAGCCAGAAGACAUGAAGCAAGAAGAAUGGAACUUGCUAGAUCGACAUGCUCUUGGCGUGAUCAGAUUGACAUUAGCCAAGAAUGUCGCGUUCAACAUCAUGAACGAGAAGACUACUGCAGGCUUAAUGAAGGCAUUAUCAGAUAUGUACGAGAAGCCGUCAGCAGCCAACAAAGUAUACUUGAUGCGCCGGUUGUUCAACCUCAAGAUGGGAGAAGGUAUCUCUGUAACUGAUCAUAUUAAUGAGUUUAAUACUAUUCUUGCCCAAUUGGAAUCUGUGCAUAUUAAAUUUGAGGAUGAGGUGAAGGCAUUGAUUUUAUUGUCAUCACUACCGGAUAGUUGGGCUGCAACUGUUACUGCAGUUAGUAGUUCUACAAGGGAGAACACAUUAAAGCUUAGUGACAUUCGUGACUUGAUCUUGAGCGAAGAUGUUCGCAAGAGAGAUUCAGGAGAAUCUUCCAGUCAUGUUUCCAAUUCAGCAUUGAAUACUGAAGGCAAAGGAAGGACUACCCAGAAGGGUCAGAAUGGUCGAGGCAGAUCAAAGUCAAGAGGGAAAGGUCAGAGAAAAUUUCAAAGUGACGUUACUUGUUGGAAUUGUGACAAGAGAGGUCACUUUAGCAAUCAGUGCAAGGCACCAAAGAAGAACAAGUCGCACAAAAACAAGAAGCGCGAUGAUGAUGAAUCCGCAAAUGCAGCAACUGAUGAACUUGAUGAUGCAUUAAUUUGCAGUUUGGAUAGUCCUGUUGAUUCAUGGAUCAUGGACUCAGGUGCGUCGUUCCACACUACUCCCUCUAAAGAUUUAUUGUCUAACUAUGUUUCUGGAAGAUUUGGAAAAGUUUACCUUGCAGAUGGAAAAUCUCUUGACAUUGUCGGAAGAGGUGAUAUCAACAUCAAGACCUCCAGUGGAUCCCUAUGGACAUUGCACAAUGUCAGACAUAUUCCUGCCUUAAAGAGAAAUUUAAUAUCUAUAGGGCAGUUGGAUGAUGAGGGACAUCACACCACUUUUGGAGAUGGAGCUUGGAAGGUAACAAAAGGCAAUCUCAUUGUGGCUCGUGGAAAGAAGCGAGGAUCUCUUUACAUGAUUGCAAAUGAGGAUAUGGUAGCAGUUACUGAGGCUGUCAAUAAUUCAACCAUGUGGCAUCAAAGACUUGGACAUAUGAGUGAAAAAGGAAUGAAGCUUAUGGCGGCAAAGGGUAAGCUAUCAAGCCUCAAGCAUGUAGAUGUUGGUGCUUGUGAACAUUGUAUCCUUGGAAAGCAGAAAAAGGUCAGUUUCUCAAGGGCAGGGAAGACUCUGAAAGCUGAAAAGCUAGAAUUGGUGCACAUAGAUGUUUGGGGGCCAGCCCCAGUGAAAUCUGUUGGAAACUCACGCUAUUAUGUCACCUUUAUCGACGACUCUACCAGAAAGGUAUGGGUUUAUUUUCUUAAAAAUAAAUCUGAUGUGUUUUCUGUGUUUAAAAGGUGGAAAGCAGAAGUUGAAAAUCAAACAGGUCUAAAGGUUAAAAGUCUGAAAUCUGACAAUGGUGGGGAGUAUGAUAGUCAGGAGUUUAAAGACUUCUGUUCAGAACAUGGGAUCAGAAUGAUCAAGACAAUACUAGGAACACCUGAGCAAAACGGUGUUGCAUAAAGGAUGAAUAGAACCUUGAAUGAGAGAGCAAGGUGUAUGUGGAUCCAAUCUGGCUUGCCUAAAGCAUUCUGGGCAGAAGCAAUAAACACAGCAGCAUAUCUCAUCAAUAGAGGACCAUCAGUUCCUUUGAAUUAUCAGUUGCCUGAAGAAGUAUGGUCUGGAAAGGAGGUAAAACUUUCACAUUUGAGAAUUUUUGGUUGUGUUUCAUAUAUACUGACAAACUCUAAUAGUAGAGAUAAAUUGGAUCCGAAGGCGAGGAAGUGUUAUUUUAUUGGUUAUGGAUCUGACAUGUAUGGCUACAGGUUUUGGGAUGACCAAACCAAGAAAGUUAUCAGAAGCAGAAAUGUUACUUUUAAUGAGAACUUAUUUUAUAAGGACAAAUUUUCUGCAGAAUCUACAUGUGCAGGUAAACUGUCAGAAAUUUCUGAGAAAGCAACACUUGAAGAAAUUUCAGAAAGUGAUGUAGCCAACAGAAACCAGAGUACAGGCGUAGAGGUUGAGUCAGAACCAGAACCAUCAACUCCUCCAAGAAAAUCUAGCAGAAUUUCAGUACCACUAGAUAGGUAUUCCCCUUCAUUGCAUUAUUUGUUGUUAACUGAUGCUGAUGAGCCAGAAUGUUUCAAUGAGGCUACACAGGGGAAUGACACUAUUGAGUGGGAGCUAGCGAUGAAAGAUGAGAUGACAUCCCUUCAGAAGAAUAAGACGUGGUCUUUAACUAAAUUGCCAGAAGGAAAGAAGGCGUUACAGAAUAGGUGGGUCUAUAGGCUAAAGGAAGAAUCUGACGGUAGAAGAAGAUACAAGGCGAGACUUAUGGUGAAAGGGUUUCAGCAGAAACAAGGAAUUGAUUUCACAGAGAUCUUCUCUCCAGUUGUAAAGAUGACUACCAUCAGAGUUAUUCUGAGCAUAGUAGCUGCAGAGAAUCUUCACUUGGAGCAGUUAGAUGUUAAAACUGCAUUCUUGCAUGGGGAUUUAGAGGAAGACAUCUAUAUGACCCAACCAAAAGGUUUUGAAGUGCCAAGCAAGGAGAAUCUUGUAUGCAAGCUUCACAAAAGUUUGUAUGGCUUGAAACAAGCACCGAGGCAGUGGUACAAGAAGUUUAAUGAGUUUAUGAGCAACUCAGGAUUCAAAAGAUGUGACAUGGACCAUUGCUGCUAUGUUAAAAAAUAUACUAAUAGUUAUGUUAUCCUUGUUGUGUAUGUUGAUGACAUGUUGAUUGCAGGAUCUAGUAUGGCAGAAAUUAACAGGUUGAAGCAGCAGUUGGCAGAAAACUUUGAAAUGAAGGAUCUUGGUCCAGCUAAACAAAUCCUUGGUAUGAGAAUUCUUAGAAACAAAUCAGAAGGAAUUUUGAAGCUGUCUCAGGAGAAAUAUAUACCCAAGUUGCUUGACAAGUUUUACCUUGGAGAUUCUAAGACCAGGAAUACCCCUUUGGGAUCUCAUUUGAAGUUUUCAAAGAAGCAAUCUUUGCAAACAAAUGAAGAAAAAUGUUACAUGUCAAGAGUACCAUAUGCAUCAGAAGUUGGGAGUUUGAUGUAUGCUAUGGUGUGUACCAGACCUGACAUAGCACAUGCAGUGGGAGUUGUCAGUAGGUUCCUAUCAAAUCCAGCAAAAGAGCAUUGGGAAGGUGUAAAGUGGAUACUCAGAUAUAUGAAGGGUACUUCAGAGAUGUGUUUGUGCUUCAGAAAAGGCAAUCUCACUUUACAGGGAUUUUCAGAUGCAGACUUGGGAGGAGAUUUUGAUACCAAGAAGAGCACCACAGGCUACAUUUUUACCUUGGGAGGUACUGCUGUGAGUUAGAAGUCUAAACUUCAAGAUAGAGUUGCUCUCUCAACCACGAAAGCCGAGUACAUAGCUAUCUCAGAAGCAGCUAAGGAGAUGAUUUGGCUAAAGAAUUUUCUCAAUGAAUUGGGGAAAGAACAAGAUAAUGCUCCAAUGUUUAGUUACAGUCAAAGUGCUAUAAGUCUUGCUAAGAAUCCAGUCUUCCAUUCUAGAUACAAGCAUAUUCAAUUAAGAUACCAUUUUAUCAGGGAGUUGAUAAAUGAUGGAAACUUAUCUUUAUUGAAGAUCUUAGGAUCAGAGAAUCCAGCAGAUAUGUUGACUAAAGCUGUUACAACUGACAAACUGAGGCUUUGCAUUGCCUCAGUUGGCCUUCAAGGAUAAUUGAAGAUGAAGGCGCUGCACUAGGUAAAGAGUCGAUGAACUCGUUGCUUACAAGGAGCUGCUAGAGUUUGGAACUUAGACCCCAAGUGGGAGAAUUGUUAGAGUUUGUUAUCUUAGUUCCUUUGUCCCACAUCGCUUGGUCUGUAAAACUUGUGUAGGCUUAGUCCCACAUCGCUUGGUUUGUAAAAACUUGUGUCUCACUAGUGUUAUAUAUAGAGACACCUUGUAAGCUUUUAUGUGCAAGUAAUAAAAGUUCUCCUAGUGUAGCCGUGGACGUAGGCACAUACAUUGUGUGCUGAACCACGUUAAACUGUGUGUCUUUUUCUUUCUUCCCUUUAUUUCUUUCUCUUCUUUUAUUGCUCUAUACUAACACUUGAUCCGUAAGCCAAACUUGAUCCGUAGAAGUAAAAUCAACAUACGGAUCAAGUUAAUCCGUGGAAGACUGACGGAUCAACUUGAUCCGUGGAAAACUCGCGGAUCAACUUGAUUUGCACUUGGUUCACGAGUCUUCCACGGAUCAACUUGAUCCGCACAAGGAAAAAAAGGACAUUUUUGGAAUUUUUAAAGGAUGCUGAGUGCACCAACAAUAACGCUGGGUGCACCUAACAACACCCUUUCCUUUUUCUUGAUCACUUCCUUUUUCCCAUUUAUUUUCCCGACACACAAUUUUAGUACUACACAUCCUACAUGCACCAUCUAAAGACUCACUCACAAAUCCAGUCUAAUUAAGGACAAGUUAAUACGGAGAAAUUAAUUAGUUCUCUACUACUACUGUAUAUUUAUAAUAUUGAUCAAUCUUUACCUAACAUGAUACGUAUUUAAGUUUUUUAAUUUAAGAAAAAAAUAAUAAUGCUAAAUUGUAGACACUCUUAGAUUGUUUGAUAAUUUUUUCUCUCAAAAAAUUAUUAGAUAUCCAAAACCAUCAUAGACUCUAUUAACAUAAUAUACAAUGCCACUUAAAAAAAACAUAAUAUACAAGGCUAUUAGUUUUUUUUUAUUAAUUAAAAAACUUGAAUAUUUUUUUUAUCGACAAAUAUUCUUUGUUAAUAGAAAAGAUCAGAUUUUAUGAUUUUUUUUCUUUUUCCUUCUCCUAUAAUCAUGUAAUUUACCUUAUAUUUCCGAAAAAUCUGAAAAGGUAUCAUACAAAUUGAUUCAGGCUAUAGAGAUGUAGUGAUCCGAAACUACUUAAUAUAUAGUUUCUUCCACACUCACGGCACUCAAAUAUUUCAUUUCCUCACACAUAGACUGCACCUCCCCCCUCACACACUCACACACUCACUCAUUCACAACACCACACUGACUUAUUCAUAUUCAUCCGUCACAUGAAAGGCCAUGGCAAGCACACACACAAGUUACAAAGCAAAUCCAAACUCUUCAGUGAUGAACCUUAUUUGCACCAUGCAACCAUAAUAUCCACCCAUCAUAGAUCUUAUAGACAAUUGCAUAUAUAGCCAUCAAAGCUUUUCCCAACCAUUGAACUUCUCAACCGAGUCUUCAAAGCUUUUUCCAACCAUUGAACUUCUCAACCAAGUCUUCAAACCUUCACGUGAAUCUGUCAUCAAGACAGCCCCUAAAUUAAGCUUGAGCCGUCUGUGUCAUACACGUAUAAGAGGUCACGCAUGGUUUACAUCAAGAAAAGAAGCUAUCAUAAAGAUAUUAAUUCUAUUUUUUGUUGUUGAAUAAGUCUAGGGUAUAAUAUAUUUUUUAUUUCUCAAAAUAGUUGAGAACGAUAGUUUUGAAAUAUUUUAAAGGAUAAAAACAUAUUUUACCUAGAAUUCUAUUUGUAUUUUAUUUCUUGCUUAGUUUUCGUGGUAAAGGCGUAAGGCAUAGCCGCAUGGAUAUGAACUUAUCAUAGGGCUCCAUUGAAUCAAAUCAGUUUAAACUUAAAGCUUUUGAAAAUCAUUAUUAAAAAAAAAUGAACUUUUGAGGACACCAAAAUUACGUCACUGAAAGAGAAUAAUGACUUCUUCUUCUUCUUUUUUUUCCUGUUGUAAACUUAGGAGUUUCAAAACCCAAGUUCCAAAUUUGCAAUGGUUUCUUGUUUUUGGUUCGUAAGUGGAUUACAAAAAUUUCAUUUUAACGAAAACUUUUGGAUUAUUUUAAUAUUAUGCGCUAGUUGUAAUUAAAAGUCAUUAGGAUUGUUUUAGAAAACUAAGAAUAAAUCUAUAAUUAAUUUCUCUUAUCUUUUCAAAAUACUCAUUAGUUUUUUUUUAAAAAAAAACCAACACAGAAUAGUAUUUUUUUAGCCAUAAAAAAAAUAAGGGAACGAAAGACUGAGGGAAGAAAGCCAAUUUAAUUAAAAAAAUAGAAAAUGAAUUUUUUUUUAAAAACACAAGAAAAUAUUGGGCCAGGAAAUAAAUAUGAAUUAUAAUAAUCAAGAGCGUCAUGCAUGCUUAGUAGCUUUCUGUGCAUUAAAGAACUCUAGAGAAAUUAUGUGUUAUGAUCUAUUCUUACAAAAACAUAUGCCAUAGCCUGUGAACUGGAUCCGUGUUCAUGAUCUCUUGUAUAUGCUUUUGUUCUUUAAUUGUUAAUAAUUAAGAACACAUGCCGUAGUGCAAGUUUAAAUCACGAAGAGUUAUGGAUACCCAUAAUUUUUUAAGGGAUAUAAAAUAAACUAUCCUUUUUGUUAUUGUAAUUUAAAAAUUUAAAGACCUUCUAAUUCACCUCAUAAUCAGUUUCAAGUCCAACCAAUUCUAUUCAUCCAUGCUUCACUCAGGUUCUUUUGAGACCUUUUAAAAAAAAGAAAAAGGACAUGAUGAGGCCCUUAUUUAGAUGUAAUAGAGGUGUUUAUAUAAAAUUAAGAAGAAGAAAAAAGAUCGUCAGCAACAAAUUGAAAUGAAUGUGUAUGCAAAGUUAAAACCUAAAAGGUUAAUCGAUCAAUGAUGGAACACCCAAAUAGUCAUGUUUUAGUUUCUCCCAAGCUCCAAAGGGGAAAAGCGUUUGGUAAAAUCAGUCAAAUAAGUUAGUUGAUAAAUAUAAAUUAACACAAAAAAAUAUAUGUAAUUAUUUGAGUUAAAAAGUGAUUAAAAAACGAGUGAGAAAAAAAGAAAGCUACAAACUUAUAAACUAGAGCUUAUUUUCGUAAGUUAAUUGAUACAGUUUAUGAAAAUAAACUCCAAGUUAAUAUAAUAAACUGUACUAAAUAAACUUAUAAGUUGAUUAAAGUAAUUUGUAAACUAUUAGAGUAUCAUACGAAAACAUUUAGUAUUCGUUCAGAGUCGCAAGUUGCUAGUUUUGGAACUUGUAUUUAGAAGUUUCUCUCGGUGCUUUAAAAAUUUGGAGGUAUUUAUGGUCUUAGCUGGAUUCAGACUGUUAACUUCAUAUUAAUUUUUGCUUAGAAAAAUUUACAAUAGUUGCAUGUUGUUCCUUUCCGAUAUUUCAUUUUUGUCAUAUAAUUAGUUAAACUAGCUUAACUAUAAGCUACUAAAGUGUCUUAUUGAGGGUUUUCUCCUUGCUGCACCGUUAGGGUUUUUUUAUUGAUCCCAAGGCUUGUAUGCUUGUUUUUCCCUUGUGGUUGUCGCUCUACUUAGGGUGAUUUGCUGUCCCAAUGUGACACCUUUUAUUCUUAUAUACAUAUUUAUAUAAUAAAAUACAUGAAAAUGUGGAAUUACAUAAAAUAAUUUUAUUCAAUAAACAUAAAAGAACUCACGUGAAUAAAAGGUUCACAUUUCGGUUAAUCACCAAAUUAAAAACUUAUCAAUUAAGAGUAUGAAAAUAUUUUCGACUCAAAACAACGUCGUUCAAGUUUACAAAAGAACAUAAGUUAAGUAGCAUAAUAAAAUAAAGUAAUAUGAUGACAUGUUUGGAACAUUAUGCAAUUAAAACAGAAACUCAUGCCUUAAUGUCACAUCCUAUCAGAGCAUUAUGUCUUGACGUCCUCCAACACGAGGUUCCUUAAAGCAAUCCACCUUGUCAUAUGCUCCAACGAACACAAGUUUCGAGAUCAUCACAAGAUCCAAAUACAAACAACACACAUGGAGCGAGAAGUGAAUUGUCACAUUUCUAAACAGGUAGAGAUAAACGAAUAUAUAUAUAUAUAUAUAUAUAUAUAUAUAUAUAUAUAUAUAUAUAUAUAUAUAUAACAAGCUCAACUUAGAACAAUUCACAUCAUUUUACCACUCAUUGUGUAUCAUCACUUUUCCCAAGGAUUUAAUCACAUUUCACACCUUCACAUUAAUCGCGUGUUCAAAACAACAAAUCUCAAGUAUAACACAACAUCUCACACUCACACAAUUCAUUACCCACCAUCAUGUAGUAAGUCACAAGGAUCAUUACACAUGCGUUAUACAACAGAUACACUAAGACUCAAUCCUAUAUGCAAUAUGGUAUCAUGUCAGUGAAAAACCUCGUUAGACAUCUAAGAGUACAUGACAAGACAGAUGACACACUGGUAAGUCAGAUCACUCUCACUAGGUAAAAUAAUAGGGAGACCAGUCAGGGUCACGCUGUUUUGCGAGAAUGCUUCAAUCAUGUGGGAUCGACACAUGCUUAAAAGAGCACUCAAACUGAGUGCAUUUACCUCCAAGGCUUAGACUCCGAAGAGUCUGUCAGGUCCUCUCCCUCCUAAUUCAAGUCCAACCCAAAAAAUAUUUUAACACACAGACUCUAUCUAUGAACUAUACAAAACACACGACUCCUCAGUUGUUCUCAAAAUAAUUUUAACUCCUCGUGCCUCAAAGUGAUUCAACUCUUCAGGUUCCCACAGUGGACUCCAUCACAAUACUCGUCGCACAUUAACUUGUUGCCCUUAAAGGCUCUUACACUCGUGUGAUUUUAAGAUUCAUAGCUCACAACUCAAUGCACACAACAUCUCAAUACAUGUGUGAUCUCUCAAUUUAAUACAUACUCAACUUAUCACAUACACCNNNNNNNNNNNNNNNNNNNNNNNNNNNNNNNNNNNNNNNNNNNNNNNNNNNNNNNNNNNNNNNNNNNNNNNNNNNNNNNNNNNNNNNNNNNNNNNNNNNNAACCCAAUCUCAAUCACAAUGUUAUAAUCUCAAAGCAACAUGUUAUCACACCUCACAAAUCAUAUACACAUCACACAAUAUUAUUAUAUACAUGACACAAACACAAACUUUACCUAUAAACUAUGCAAUAUACAUAACUACUCAAUUGUUUUCAUAAUCAUUUUAACUCGUCUUGUCUCAAAGUGAUUCAACUCGUUGGGUUCUCACACGGAUCCCAUCACAAUACUCGUUGCGAAAAAACUCGUUACCCUUAAAGGGUCUUACAAUUGUGUGAUUGCACAACUCAUAUCACAACUCAAUACAUACAAUAUCUCAAUAGACAUGUAUCUCACAAUUCAUCACAUAUUCAAUUUAUCACUUACACGCAAUUUCAUGAUCCCAAUAUAACAAUUUAUCAUGCUAAUCUAGUAAAUCUUGUCCGAAACACAAACAAAUUAUACAAAAAAAUGUUUCUCACAACAUAGGGAGUAAAACCCCUUAAACAAUUUCACAUAAUCAUAUCAAAAUAAAAUAAUCAAAAUCAUAGGUCAAAAACACACGAACACUAAGAGCACUCAAUUUCAUCAACCAAUUCGCAUCAGGGCAUCAAUUGGUCUGUCAAACAAAACAAUCUCAUAAUUAUAAUCGUAAAGGAAGAAUUACAAUACAAUAAACAUCUCAAAAUAAACUAUAAUUUGAUCCUCUAAGGAUCCCUACACAUGUUCAUUCUAACCCCAAUUGCGAUAAACUCAUCUCUUACCUCUAAACGGGCUCACAUGUGUAGUUCGACAAUGAUAGUGGCAUCUCUAUUGGUUCCAUAAGAUUUCUAAAGCUUUUCUUCUGGUUGCUCUGCUAGGGUUUCCAAGCAUUAGAGAGAAGGAGAAGGGAUUGGAACCUCAAUUUUACUGUCUCCAUGUGAGGGGAAUUUCUCUCUCUACAAACAUUAUUUCACAAAACCCAAUGGUGAGAAUGUGUAAAAAUGUGUUUCAAAGGUGGUCUCCAUAUUUUACAAUGAUUCAAUGGUUAAUGAGUCUGAAAUUGUAGUUGUACGAGGACAUGUUUGAAUGUAUGUAGGAAAAAGAGAGGAUUUUGAGAGAGGAAGAAGGGAAAACGAACUUGAGAAGAGAAGGCAUAGAGACGUAAAUGUAAGAAAUGACCUAACAUGUUUUUAUUUAUAACUAGGGUACUCUCAACCUAUUAUUUACUCUAUUUUUAUUUAUUUUAUAAAAAAAACUUUAUUUCACUCUUUCAUUGAAUAGAUAACCAAUUAAAAUAUCCAUUUAUUUUCUAAAACAUCAUUUUACUCUAUUUAUUUUCUAAUACUAUGAAACCCUUAUUUUAAUUAACAAAAACUUUUUUCUCUCAUUUAUUUAAUUUUUAAAAACUCUAUUAAUUUUUAAAUAAAACUCUUUUUAUUUAUUUGACGAAAAUCUGGUGUUACGCCUAAUAUAAUAUUUAUGCCUAUUUGGUACUUACCAAAACAACGUCGAAUGGAUCAUGGAAAUAACCUUGACCUCGCUGAUGAGGAAAAGGAAAUAAUAGAGUUGUCAAAACCGAAGGAAACAAGUCAACUGGGUAAGGUGGAUGUGGAAGGCAAUUAGACGGUCUUCAUCUUACAAGAGAUUUUAUGGAGUUGAAUUAGGUUAAAAAGCCCAAAUUCUAGAAAAUUUCCAUAAAAAUCAUGUUUUCGAUAUCAAAUAUUGUAAAAAAAUAGUUAAAACAACUAUGUAUGCAUUUUGUUCUCUUCUGAACAUACAUAAACAACAUUUUCCAGUUUAAAACAAGAUGUUGUCAUGUGAUAUGUGAGGAAGGAGAAAUUACAAAUAGUUUAAACAACUGUGCAUUUUGUUCUCUUCUGAAUACACAUAACCACCAUGAUUUUAAAUUGCAAUUGCGGUUGUAGUUGAAGUUCAGUUGCAAUUGUGGUGUGUCACAAAAUUUUUAUAUUAUGGGAAAGUGUGACUUAUGCAGUCACAAUAUGAUUAUGGAAAGUCAAAAUAUCUUGACGUUGCGACCACAAUUGUGGUUGUGGACCACUAUUUAAAAUCAUAAUAAACACCAUCUUAAGGCUCAAAAACAAGGAGGAAUUAUUAAGUAGUCGUGUAUUCAAGUUUUUCAAUUUACAAAAAAAAAAAAAAGAUUAAUAACAGUCAACUACACGUUACAUGAUGAGGCUAACCAGGGAGGCAGUGUUGCACUGGUGAGGAGAGUUGCGUUAGGGUUUCAAAUGAGAGACAAAAGGGGUUCUGCACUUGCAAACACGUAGUAAAUGAAUGACCAGAGAACGCAUAGUAAAUGUUCUAUCCUUUGUAACGAUAAUAGUCCAUUUAGUGUUUGUUAAUACAUUUUACAAGUAGAUAUAAAAUAUAAAAAAAAUUAACACUAUCUUGUGCAUUAUAAAAAUAUUUAUAGAAACAUAUAAAGUAUAUAUAAAAAAAUAAUAUUAUAAUAAUGUUAAAGAAAAUAUAUUUUAUUCAUAAAAAAUAAAAUGUAAAAAAUGCAGAAUUUGAAACUUCAUCUUCUUUAAAUUUCAAUCUCAUAUUUAUAUAAACUUUUUUUUCUUCUUCUAAAAACAAGAUAUUCCCAUGAUGAGAAGUUACUACAUUAAUUCUAUAAAUUAGUUAAGAGAUAAUUUCUCUUUUCACACAUAUCAUUUUAUUUAUAAAGAAAUCAAACCACUCGUAUAUUUAAAAGAGUAAAAAUUACUAGUGGCUACAUCCCAUGAGUAAACUAAAAUUAGCUUAGCUAUAAGUUAAGUAAACUUUUACAGGAACUAAUAUAAAAGAAAUUUUAUGAAUUGACUUAAAAAUAAUUAAAAUUUAAAAAAAAAUAUUUUAUUUUAUUUUUCUAAUUUUUAAUAUUAUUUUUAUUUUUAUUUAUAAGUCUCGAAAAUUAAAUUUAUUAUUUUUAUUAAGAUUCAAUUUAUUAUAUUUAUUGUAUUAAUUAUUUUUAAAUUAAAAUAUUCCUAAUUAAAUAAGAGAAAUAUUACAGUGAUAAAUACUUUAUUUAGAAGAGAAAAAAAAUUAUCGUAAUACAUAUGCCUUUUAAAUAACUUUUUACAUUUUAAGAAACGAAUCUCUAAUUUUCAGUCAAAGUUACCUAAAAAAAAAGAAAAGAGAAGAAAAUCCCUUAUUAAAUUAAUUAACAUUGACAAUGGCAUUUCAUUGUGGUAGAAAAAGUUCCCUUAAAUAAUAAAUGAGUACUUGAUCUACAUUUUCUCUCUCUUCAUUCUCCAACAUCUACGUUAUCUCCUCCAAUUCUUUAAAAUAUUUAUAGAAACAUAUAAAGUAUAUAUAAAAAAAUAAUAUUAUAAUAAUGUUAAAGAAAAUAUAUUUUAUUCAUAAAAAAUAAAAUGUAAAAAAUGCAGAAUUUGAAACUCUUCUUUAAAUUUCAAUCUCACAUUGUAAAAAAUGCUGAAUUUGAAACUCUUCUUUAAAAAAGUUUACAUAUAAAGUUUUUAUUUUAUUUUCAAAUGAACUAAUAUGCAAUAAUUUAUAUAAAUAUGUGUUAUAUUUAAAUGAUAAUCAUGAAAUAAUAAAAUUAAAAUUACAGAAUUUCUUUUAAAAAUUUAGUUUAAUUUUUAAAUGUUUACCUUUUGAAUUUGUUAUUGUUUAUUAAUUAUUACAUUUUUUAAAUUAAAACAUAAUUAAUAACUCAAUAUAUUAUUUUUAAAUAUAUAUAUAUAUAUAUAUAUAUAUAUAUAUAUAUAAUUAAAGAAAAAGAGUUGAUAUUAACCUCGGUUCUUUGAAAAUCGAUGUCGUUAAGCACUUUUUAACAUUGGUUAUUUGAAAACCGAUGUUGUAAGUGUUUAACGACAUCGGUUUUCAAAUAACCGAUGUUCAUGGGACGAUGUUAAAACUCAUUUUUUUAGUAGUGAGGGAUUGUAAUGAUCUCAUACCUUCUAAUAAUUUCUUUGCUACAAAGUUGUUUGGAGUUUGGAUGUUUAUGGCAAAGUAUGUGAAAAGGCACCUAAUGGCCUUUUAAGUUGGCAUUUUCACUUUAAAUUAUUGGUUGAGAGACAAACCCACUAACUAAAUAUUUGCAAGCAAUGAAGAAAAAGAAUAACAAUAUCCUCCGACCUUAUGUGUUUAAUAGAGGUUAAUAACUAACAUAGGCAUAAUAACAUUAUCAAUCAAUGUAGAAAAAGCAUUAAUACAUGCAGCAAUAAUUCUCACUGAUAAAUGAGAAUGCAAAUGUUACAGUGAAAGAUUUAAAAGAACAAUUAGCAACCUUGCUAUGAUACUAAGUGCAGGUUUGAAUUAAAGAAGAGUACAAAAGCCUAUUGAGAGAGGAAUGAUCUCUGAGUUGUCGCUGUUUUCGGGUUAAGCAUGGGAAUGAGUAUGUUGGAGUUGAAGUUGGCUUCGGUGGAUUUUCAAACAAGAGCCUUCGAUAUUUCGGUGUGACAAAUGGUAGAUGAGGUUGUUGCUCGAGACUCAAGAGGGGACAGAUAGGAAGAUGAGGUUCUUGCUUUCAUUUCAGUCUCUGUUGCAAUACUCUAAUUAUAGUCCCUAAUGAUUUGGCAUCUUAGUUGCCAGCCGCAUGUGUCAUGGGUAUGCCAAAUAGGCACUUAGCGUGUCACAUAACACAAAUGUUAUUGUAUGUUGUGCAGUCAAAGGGGAAUAAACAUCGAGAAAAUUUACACUAAUGGAUCAUCAAAUAAACACAUAAGUGAAUCUACACCACAUUUUAAUCCAAUGUGUGACUUCACCUUACACUUAAUUGUUGGAUUGAGGAGCGAGAUGGUUUGCACUUCCAAGGAUUAUUUUUUUAAUUUUAAAGUGUUACACACUUUUAGGGACCAAAAUGAUAUUUAACCCUAUAUUUUGAGUAAUACUUGUAUCUGAAUCUGUAUAACUAAAUAUGUCUUGUCAUAUAAGAUUCUUAAAUUUACUUUAGUAGGCAAACUGGAUAAGAUUAUUGCUAAAAUAAAAGCAACAAAAAUGGUGAAACCUAAUUGUUCAGCAUUUUCAGAGGAACCUGUGAAGGCACUCAUCUUGUUGACAUAGGCUUUGUACUCUGGACUCAUCUUUUGAAACGUUAUUAUGUCACAUGCUACUAAUUAAGUUGAAAAAACAAAGUACAUUGUUUUAGAAGCUAAAGAAGAGUUAUUUAAAAUUUGUAGUGAAAAUGUAGUGUGAAAAGCUAUUUGCAAUUUGCUUCAUUAAUAAAGUGGACAACUCAAUUGUUGAUUUCGUUACUAAAUUUCAAUGGUUUUGGUUGAAUAAGGAAUUCAGUGGACUGAGAAGUUGUGCUUAAGAGGAAGAGAGUGUUUGGAUACAUGUUUUGAAAUGGGAAAGAAUGAUUAAAAGAGAUAGAAAUUAGCUUGUCCAACAAUGCUAUUCUAUUGAUAUUUUCUUCAUACCAUUUAUCUUAGAAGACAAAUGAUUCCUUUUUAUAUUUUUUUCUAUUGCCUUCCUUUCCAUGAUCUUUUUUGUUUUAACCAUUAACUGAGUUGGAAUAGUAGUAAAAUCAUGUAGAUAUUUGUUUUCAUUUGGUGGGGGCGAUAUGAAUGAGAAAAAUCCAUACAACCAAACAAAGUUGGGGCUCAGAAGAAAGAGAAACAUCCCUCCCUUAAAGAAUAACUAAGUUAGAUUUCUUAGGAAAAUUUGUUGAUACUAACAUCUUGUAUACAAAUUUCUAUACCACUUUCAUUUUAAACACUAUUAGUUCCUCAGUCAUGAACUUUCUAUAUUGAAAAUUUGUCGUCUAUUUCUUUUACAGGCAGUGGCUUAGCUUUUCAUAUUUUGCCAGAUUAAAUUAUGAGUUACUCUUUGAACUUUUUAUGCAAUACUUGACUAUUGAUUUUUUCUUAUAGUUGUCAUCUCAUGCAAUGCACUUUUAAGAUAAGGUUACAUUGUUUGGUCGAGAGCAACAAUUUACUUAUGACCAUUAUAUAUUCAAAAUGUAUGCUUGGCCAUUAAUCAACCAACCAUGAUAAGCCCCAUCAUCCACCACCCCUUCUAUACCAUAGGCACAUUUUGCUUAUCUACUUUGCUACUGUUACUUUUAAACAAGUCAAACAAAUAAUAUGGUUUUAAAUCGUAGUUGUGAUUACAGAUGUGAUGAGUCAGAAAAGCUUUACAUUGUGCAAAAAUACGACUGAUGCGAUCAUAAUUACGAUUGCGGUGAUAUGAAAAACCUUAACAUUCUGGUCACAAUUAUGAUUAUAGACUGCAAUUUAAUAUGUAUUACUUAAGCUAAUGAACAUGUUGAGUGUUAGUUGAUAUGGUUCUCUAUAUCUUUUUUCCAAUACAAAUUCACCUUUAAAAUAUAAAACAUUACUGUAACAAAGGGACAAAGACAAAGGGUGCCACUUAACCCAUACAUGGGAAAUGAUGGUCAUAAAAUAUGUUAGGCCAAAAUGCAAACUACACAAAAAUAACAUCAACUCCACCAUAGUCACACAUUUAUGUUCUUCCAAGAAAGAGAUAACAUAAUGAAGCCUCCUCCAAGUGUCACCUCUACAUGGUACCUAACGAUAAGGUUACCAUUCAAUUUUUUCCCUUACUCGUGUGGCCAAUAUGUUGAAAUGUCAUCACUUAUACAAUCAAUGGUUGUAACUUCACAGCAACCGAUCCUCUUCAUUUCACACCAUUGGAUGAGUACUACAAAAAUGACACCCUUAAAUAUAGCAAGUUUGAGUAGAAUCUAGCAGCUGAAGCAAAAGUAAUUUAGAGAAAAGAAGGAAAUGGCUUCCUCACCGAUCUCCUCCCCAGUAGUUACCAUCAUUAACCGUGUCGGUGUCAGCAUGGUUGCCCCUUUCACUGGCCUCAAAUCCAUGGCUGGCAUCCCUACCAGGAAGACCAACAGUGACAUUACCUCCAUUGCUACCAAUGGUGGAAGAGUAUAAUGCAUGCAGGUAAGACAAUUCCAAACAUACAAACACAAAAGGCACCAAAAUGAUUAUAAUUGAUGUUACAUAUUUAUGUAUGCUACAAAAUGUUACUUAAAUUAACAUGAUAGUUAUAGGAAAAUAUGCUCAUGUGCAAGUUUGUUAACUCAAUUUUCAUGUAAAUUAAUUACUAGGUGUGGCCUCCAGUUGGCAAGAAGAAGUUUGGGACUUUUUCCUACCUGCCAGACCUUGAUGAUGCCCAAUUGGCUAAGGAAGUAUAAUAC
This 106603-nucleotide long non-coding RNA is filed under the name Glycine max (soybean). RNAcentral describes it as "long non-coding RNA (GMAX_LNC004309)". Lineage: Eukaryota; Viridiplantae; Streptophyta; Magnoliopsida; Fabales; Fabaceae. The record is from RNAcentral.